Molecule: long non-coding RNA, 96363 nt
Filed under: Citrus maxima (pomelo)
Lineage: Eukaryota; Viridiplantae; Streptophyta; Magnoliopsida; Sapindales; Rutaceae
Description: long non-coding RNA (CMAX_LNC004154)
Source: RNAcentral
AAGAAGCUAGAAAAAAACAGAGCAAAAACAGAAGCUAUACGUGUGUGAGAGAGUGAGAGAGAGUAGCCGUCAACCCGACCAGAAAACCCGACCCGGAACCCGCAACCCGCAACCUUGACCCGACCAUAUCUCCCAUUUCCGGCCACCGUUUCGGCUGAGCUUGGUACCAAUCUGAAGCUUAGAAGCCGACCGUCGUUCCCCUGCCAUCCUCGCCGCCGAAAACCAACCGGAACGCCGGCGAUCGAAGCUUGAAACCCGCGACUAUUUCACUUUGUUCCGCCAGGAUUUUCGCCGAUUUUGGGUGACACCACCAGUUGGAUUUUGUUCCCCACGACUCCCUCUUCCAUUUCCGACCAUCCAUAGGCACCGAGAGUCAUUGUUUUGCCGCCGGUCGAUUGUUGGAAUUCACGACUGCCGAGCUCGAUUCCGGCGCCGUUGCCGCGCGUUGGAGCUCACCGCCGGUACCAUUGAACUCAGCGUGAUUGGAACUUUCAGAUUUGAGCUUCCUAGCCAGCGUUGACCAAUUUUCCGUGACCGUUGACCGGCAAGGGCAUUUUGGUAAUUUCACACUAUGAGGGCAAUUUUGUAAUUUCUGAGCCUGUGGAUAUUUUAGUAAUUCCUAGAGUUGAGGAUUGGGUGUAAUUACGAUUCCGAGGGUAAUUCGGUGAUUUACGAUUUCGGAGCAUGUUAAUGAUUUACGGACUCAAGGGCAUUUUGGUAAUUUUAUGGACACGGGAGUUGUCAAUUAUGGAUAGAUGUUCGUUUCGAGUUUAUUGCAUAAAUUGAGUCGUAAUUUCGAUUUACGGAAAAUACUUAUGUCGUUUCCUUGAUUUAGGAGGAUCUGCGAGCCAGAACCGAUCCGCGGACGUGGACGAUAACCGACUGUGAACACCAUCACUGUGAGUGGAAUAUACAAAACUUAUUUUCAUAGUUAAUUAUGAUAGUAAAAUAUGUUUGCGAAAUAAGUAUUUUAAAUGUUCUGAUUUAAUGAUUUCUUCGAAAUGGAUUUUAUUCACACAUUGAUAUUUUAUUAAAUGUUUGGUUAAUGAUUUUAUGUAUCGACUUUGAAUAAGCAUGAUAGUAUUUUAAAGAUGAGAAACGUGGAUUCAAAUGUGGUAUGAUUUAAAGUAUGAUUAAAAUGUAUGUGACUAUGAGUAUAAUGAUUGUUUUUGAAAUCAUUAGACAGUACCCUUCCCCUCCAGAUACAGUGAUACAUGUCAUAUGAGAUGAGAGGCCUUUGGGGCCCAUCUGAACACACAUAGAGGCUUUGGGCCGUGUGUUUGGACGCUUUUACCUUUUGGGGGCAUAUGCAUGCAGUAUGAUGAUUAUAGAGAUACAGAUAUGAGAUACAGACAGAUAUUGAGAUACAUAUGAUACAGAUAUUGAGAUACAGAUGAUACAGAUGAGUUACAGGCCUUUGGGGCCCGUCUGAGUACACAUAGAGGCUUUGGGCCGUGUGCUUGGGCAUUUUAUUAUGCAUGCACAGAUAUGAUGAGAUAUGAUGAGAUAUGAGAUGGUAUUUCCCUAUCUAUCCGUGUAGCUCCGGGGCGUGACGUUACCCAGAUAGUACGUCAUUGCCCGUCCGUUGAGGUCCGGAUAUGAUGAGAUUAUUUCCCGGGGUACUUGUUUGGUGACGAUUUUCAGAUUUGUGAAUUCUAUAUGAUAUUGUGAUAUGAUUUCCAUGGUUAGUAAUCUGAUUUAAAUGUUUAAUGAUUUAUUAUUGGUUUCUCGCUUAUGGUUUAAUGAAAUCGUAUUUGGAAAUGAGAUGAUUAUUUCUUUUAAAGUAAGAAUUAAUUUUCAAAACUACUAUCCACUCACUGAGUUUUAAACUCACCCCGUUUUUAUUAUAUUUUUCCCCCCUCACUAGGAGGUUGCAGGUACACCAGACCGACCUAGCAACUGGAAAUAUAUUUUGAAUCUUGGCCACGUGAUGGUGUUAGAAGAUAUAGAUGUUUUUGUUAGGACAUCUUGGUCAUCUUGUUCUUUUGAGAUUGUAUAAUUUUGUUAUAUUCUUCUUUUGGGAUUAAGAAUAAACUGAGAUAUUAAUAUUAAUUAUAAUAUUAUCUUUUGAGACCCUGGAGAUAUAAAACUCAGCAUUUUAGUUGAGGAUGUUGAGCACUGGAGUUUGUUGUAUCUUGAAUUGUAUUGGGAGUGUUAUAUUCAUAUUUGUAGAUUGGGAGUGGUAUAUAUAUAAAGGAGACUCUGCCGAAUUUUCGGCAGAAUCUUUACGAAUAGAAUUAUUAUCAAGUCUGUUUUGAUGAGACUAGAUAGACUCACCUGGGGGGAUUCGAGGCGGGUCGUUUCAAACAAAUUAUAUGCUGCUCUGCUCGUAACCUUGCAAUCUUGCUGCAAGUUCUUAAAAAAAAAAAACCUCAAAUUAUCAAAUACACAAAGUGUUUACCAGCAUUCUGAAUUUUAGCCGUUAAGUAGUUCCUUUUACUGUCAAAAUCAAAAUACACAAGAUUGAUCAGAAAGCGGCCUACAUGGUUCCUGAAGUUGCUGCUGAAGGUAAUAUAUCUCUUGAUGCUAAAAAAACAUUUACGUGCUGCGAUAAUUAAAAUCACAAGAAAAAUUAUCAAAUACACAACUCGCUGAUCAUCGGCAGUCUGCUGAUAAUCAAAAAACUGAGUAACACGGUUAAACCAUUCUGUAGGAUCACCACCUGAAUAUCGCGGAAAUUCGAGCUUGGCUACUUGUGGUGGAAAUUGUUGUCGUUCCCCUUCACUCUCCCCUCGGCCUGGACGUAAAGAUCCUGCCUGAUCUUGUUGGUUCAUAACUCCUUGAGAUAGGCUGAAUGACUCGACCAGUUUGCUAAUCAUUGCUUCCAAGUGGUGGAAUUUAUCGUUCAUGCCUUGUUCUAUCCGUUGUAUGUUAUUCUGCAUUCCACCGAGCUCCACUUCGACACGUUCAAUCCGCUCUUUGUUGGUUAACAUUGUUAACCCCUGCUCUGAUACCAAUGUUAGGUCUCGAUCAAAACACGAUAACAAUGAAUUAUACUUGUUCUGUUUAUGGUAAGAACAACAUAAUUUCUUUGAACAAUUACUCGAUGCUUUAUUCCUCAUAGCUGAAGCUUAUUUAUAGUAGUUAUACAAAGACUACUUAUGAUUCCAACAAUCUCGGCUCAAAUCAAUUUAAAUCAAAUAAAGCAAUUAAUAAAUAUCAACUAAAAAACAGAAAACAAAUCAAACUUUAUUUGCUUCACCGUGCGAUCUGCAACAACCCCUUGACGUGGUCUUCCCUUUAUUUGCUCAGCUAUUUUACUUUAUAAGUAAACAUCACGUUUAAACUAGACUUGUAUGGAUAUGCAUGUGACGAGUACGUGAGAUGAAGUUCAUGCAUGAACAUGCAUGGUCAAACAAAGUCCACAUAUCUGUUACUAGGCUUAGAAGCCCUAGCUGACCUCCUUGGUUGUUUAUCAAAUUCUGCAUUCUUCAACUCUGCUUUCGUCUUCUUCAUCAUUCAUUCUUUCCGAUUGAAAUCCAAGAAAACGAUUGCUUGCAACAUUCAUUCAUUUUAAAGGCUUCAAAGAGAAAAGGGUUUUUGUGAAUUUUGAAUUCUUGAUUUUGAUGUGUACUAUUCACAGAAAACGAACCGCAGAAGAAUCUCUACUACCUUGGGCAAGUUUGGGCAAGAUCCUCUGCCAUUACCAAUUCUGAUUCUUGUAACGCUGGCCAUGAUGAUCUUUCUAGUCACCGCCCCUCGGAUUUUCUCUGUUGAGUUGAGCAUUGUAAAACCCACAGAAGUCAAAACCCAUUUGGUGCUUCCGGCCGUAUUACUUGUUCUAGUAAUGCUGGUUCAAUUCCUAUCUUCAUCACAAUUUUGGCUCUCGGAGGGAUUCUUUCAGUUCAGGGUUACUGCUUUGAUUAUGUUGUUAGUUUCAUGGGACCAUAUCAGAACUAGAUUCACGCAAAAUGUUGUCCUUUUGGGUUUAUGUUGUAGAAUUAUAUGUGUUUAGCUUUAGAAAUAGGUGUGUAGUUGUGUAUGGAUAUGCAUGUGACGAGUACGUGAGAUCAAAGUUCAUGCAUGAACAUGCAUGGUCAAACAAAGUCCACAUACUUGGCUUAGAAGCCCUAGUUGACCUCCUUGGUUGUUUAUCAAUGCCCCCGUCUGGAAGAGGGCCCUUGUCCUCAAGGGCCAAGAAUAGAAAUUGCUAUUGAAUCACAGAUGUGUCCUCCCAUGUAGCUUUUUCAGACGGUAACUUCUUCCAACGUACUAGACUCUGCUCAAUGAGCUUGCCCCCUCGCUUCAGCCAUCUUGUAUCAAUAAUUCCAUCAGGUUCAAGCAUAAGAACAUCGUCAUCAUCUAUGGGGGGAAGUUCCUCGCUGCUUUCGGUUAUCUCACCCAUUACCUUUUUGAGUAACGACACAUGAAACACCGAAUGAAUUCGAGGUCCUGUCGGCAAUUGUAGCUUGUAAGCGACGGGUCCUAUCUUUUCAAUAACUCGAUACGGACCAAAAAAUUUACUUGCCAAUUUUUUAUGUACUCACUUAAAAACCGAAGCUUGACGGUACGGCUAUAACUUCAAAAACACCAGGUCAUCCUUUUGAAGUUUCACAUCCCGUUGGUGCCUAUCUGCCGUUUGUUUCAUUCGGUUGGUAGCUGCUGCCAAAUUUCUUUUGAGUUGCAACAGUAACUCAUCUCUUGCCACUAAAGCUUUAUCAACUUCAUUCACAGGCGACGCUCCCACAUGAUACAGCGGCACUGUUGGAGGUUCUAUGCCAUAUAAUGCUUGGAAGGGUGUCAUGCUAGUGGAUAUGUGAUACAUAGUGUUAUACCAGUAUUCUGCCCAAGGAAGGAACUCAUGCCACUUACGCGGCCAUUGAUGAACAAAACUCCGCAAGUACUGCUCGAGGCACCGGUUGACUACUUCCAUCUGACCAUCGGUUUGAAGGUGAUAUGCCGAACUCAUUUUGAGUUGCGUGCCCGACAUCUUGAAGAACUCUUGCCAGAAUUUGUUAAUGAAGAUUGGAUCUCGAUCGCUGACUAUGGAUUUGGAUAUGCUGUGCAACUUCACAACGCCAUCUAUAAAGUCUAUUAGUGUUCCGCCACUGUCUUUGCUGAGAAUGGGUGAGACAAAGACAUGAAGUUGGCUGAUUUGCUGAGUCUAUCGACCACAACUAAGAUGGUAUUCUUGCCCUGCGACAUCGGUAAUCCCUCAAUGAAAUCUAACGUAAUGUCACCCCAUACCUGGCAGGGAAUGGAUAGCAGUUGGAGCAGCCCCGUCGACUUAAGAAUUGAGGGUUUGGUGCGUUGGCAAAUCUCACACUUGCUGACGUAUUGUUGUACCGAAUGGAACAUUGACGACCAAUAAAACUGUUGUGCCAACCUUUUAUACGUGCGUAGGACUCCUGAAUGGCCUCCAAUUCUUGUGUUGUGGGAGUUUCGAACAUAAGCGUUUCUCGUAUCUUCUGAGGGACCACUACUUUCCCAUUAAAAAAUACUAACCCAUUCCGCGUCGUAUAUGGUUCUGCUGUUUGAUUUUGGGCAAUUGUAGUAACUCGUUUCAUGUACUCAUCUUCCUCCGCUGCCGUUUUAAUUUCUUCCCGAAGAGCCACAUGCGGCACAAAUAAAUAAUUAAGCGUCGGGCUAUCAGGUCACCGCGAGAGGGCGUCGGCAGCAGUGUUGUCACGACCUGGCCGGUACAAGAUUUCAUACUCAUAAACCAUUAGUUUGGCAAGCCACUUCUGCUGCUCUGGCGUUGCGGCUUCUGGUCCAAUAAAUACUUCAAACUCUGCUGGUCGAUUUGAAUUAUGAAUCUCUGCCCCAAAAUAUACGGCCUCCACAUUUUGAUGGCUUCAAGUAUUGUCAGCAUCUUUUUGGCGUAAAUAGACCAAGACUUCUUGGAUACCCCUAGUGCAAGACUCAUAAAUGCAAUGGGUCUCCCUUUUUGUUGCAAAACAGCCCCGAUUCCAUCACCUGACGUGUCAGUUUCGAUAAUGAAUGUGUCGCUGAAGUUCGGCAUAGCCAAGGUUGGCGUACUAGACAUUGCUUGUUUGAGUCUAUUGAACGCUUCUUCAGCUUCCUCAUUCCAGCCAAAUUGACCCUUUUUAAGCAAGUUGGUCAAUGGACGAGCAAUAACACCAUAACCUUGCACGAACUUGCGAUAAUACCCGGUUAGUCCGAGAAACCCCCACAACUCUGUUAUUGUUUGUGGUCUGGGCCAAGACAACAUGGCGGCAAUCUUUUUGUCAUCAACUUUAACGCCUUGACAAGUGACGAUAUGCCCUAAGUAUUCCAGUUCUUGUUGGCCGAAUGUGCAUUUACUGGCUUUGACAAAGAACUUCUGUUGUUUAAGAAUCUCCAUAGCCUAUUUAACAUGGUCAAGAUGACUAUUCCAUAGUCUGUUUAACAUGGUCAAGAUGACUAUUCCAAGAGGGACUGUAAAUUAGUAUGUCAUAAAAAAAAACAAGAAUAAACUUCCUGAGAAACUGCCGAAAUAUGGUAUUCAUGAUGGCUUGAAAUGUUGAAGGAGCGUUGCACAGUCCAAACGGCAUGAGUAGGUAUUCGUAGUAGCCGUUGUGAGUGCGGAAUGCUGUUUUGUGAACAUCUGGUGAAUUGAGUCACACCUGAUGAUAACCGGCACAGAGGUCCAGCUUAGUGAAGUAGGUGACUCCAUAUAGUUCGUCAAGCAUGUCGUCGACGGCGGGAAUUGGAAAUCGAUCCUUGAUUGUGGCUUCAUUGAGGGCGCGGUAGUCCGUGUAGAACCUCCAGCUCCCUUUUUUUUUUUUUUUAACAAGUAAUACUGGAGAAGAAAAAGGGCUGGUUCUAGGCCUUAUUAAUCCAGAAUUUAGCAUCUCCUGUACCUGCUUCUCUAUUUCUGCCUUUUGGAAGUGAGCAUAGUGGUAGGGCCUGACGUUGAUAGGUUCUGUUCCUUCUUUAAGUGUGAUAGAGUGAUCAAUUUCACGCUUAGGAGGUAGUUGUGUUGGCUCUUGAAACAACUCUUCGUAAUUUUUUAAUAACUCCUGCAUGGUUGCUGGUGACGUGGCCUCUUCUAAUUUUAGAUGAAAACAAAUUGCAAAGGCUUCAUGUCCCAGUCUUAUUUCUUUAUUAACUUUUGCCACUAAGGGCGUUUGUAAAGAUUGAGGGUUGAGGCCCUGUAGGUGUCGCGGCUUAUUGUUCCAAUUGAAGUUCAUGGUGAGAGUUUUCCAAUUGCACUCCACCGUCCCUAGCUCCUCGAGCCAUUGUAUACCAGCACCAAAUUCAAUCCUGAUAUGGGCAACGCAUAGACUGUUAGCAAAAAAAGAAUGUCUUGGAUUAGAAUUUGUACCUUCUCAAACUUCCCUUGACACGCCAGUUUUUCACCAUUCGCAACUCUGACCGAAACGCCGCCGUUAGUUUUAUUGGAAGCUGCAGUAGAUUAGCUAGACGUGUACUAAUAAAAUUAUGUGUUGACCUGCUGUCGAUUAACACCACAAUCUCAUAGGGUCUGAUUUUCGCCUUGACACGCAUUGUUUGCUGUGCUGUCCAACUAGUUAAGGCAUAGAAGGUGAUUUUGGGAUCCUGUAAUUCUUCUGGAUGGGUUAUAGCUUUAAUAGUUUCACCAGGGUCUUCUUUGCUUUCCAAAAUUAAAAGUUGGGCCUUUGUACACCGGUGCCCUGCCGUGAAUUUCUCAUUGCAAUUGAUGUAAAAUAUGAGAGAAAAGUAGAAUGGACAGAAGCGUUUUUUCAUUGAUAUUUGAUUGAGUAUAUAUACAUAUAUGACUGACUUGCUAUACAUGGUAGGAUCCUUAUAAUUAAGCUAUGCAAUCAAAGUCUAUUGUAAUUUAGGAAUACAUAUAGAAAGAUAUAUUUACAGCUCAAUAUAAUGAAUAAAUUGAUUCUACUUUCCAAUACUCCCCCUCAAGUUGGAGAGUGAAUGUCCAGCACUCCCAACUUGCGAACCAUAGGCAUGAAAAUUUCUUUUCCUAAAGCUUUGGUCAACACAUCAGCAAGUUGAUUUGCGGAACUUACAAAUCUCGUUAUCACACAACCUUCUUGUAUCUUGUCUCUUAUAUAAUGACAAUCCAUCUCUAUGUGCCUUGUACGUUCAUGAAAAACUGGAUUAGCUGCUAUAUGUAAUGCAGCCUUAUUGUCACAAUAUAGCAGUGCAGCCUCUUGAUGUAAAAUCCCCAAAUCUCUAAGUAAGUAACGAAGCCAUGUCAAUUCACAACAAGCUCCAGUCAUUGCAUGAUACUCUGCUUCGGCUAAGGAAAGGGAGACGGUUUUCUGGCGCCUCGAUCUCCAUGAAAUCAACGAAGGGCCCAAGAACACACAAUACCCCGUAGUAGAUCUUCUUGUAAGGGGGCAUCCUGCCCAAUCCGAGUCACAAUAUGCUCGCAACCGAAGAUCACUAAUUGAUGAGAAGAAGAGGCCUUAGCCAGGAGCAGAUUUUAAAUAGCGCACAACCCGUAAAGCUGCCUCCCAAUGAUCAUUCCGGGGUUGGUGCAUAAAUCUGCUUAAUAUAUGGACAGCGUACGUGAUAUCGGGCCUCGCAACUGUGAGAUAUAUUAAUCUUCCAACUAAUCGCCUAUAUCGCCAUGGGUCUUUGAGUGGAUCACUUUUAUCAGACAACUUUAAGCCACGUUCUAUGGGAGUAUCAAUGGGAGCUGCCCCUAAUAACCCUGCAUCCUUAAUAAUUUCCGAUGCAUACUUUCUCUGAGAAAUAAAAAUGCCCUUCCUAGAUGCAGAAAUCUCAAUACCAAGGAAAUACUUCAAGUCUCCUAGAUCUUUAAGGUCAAAUUGAUUAUGCAAGAAUUUUUUGAUAUCAGCUAUACUCACAGGAUCAUUGCCAUUGAUUAAAAUGUCAUCAACAUAUAUCAAAAGAGCAGUAAAGGACUUGCCUUGCUUCUUGGUGAACAGAGAGUAGUCAGCUUUUGAUUGUACAAAUCCAGCUGAACGUAUGGCCUCGGAGAAUUUAGCAAACCAUUGACGAGAGGCCUGUUUCAACCCAUAUAAUGACUUGUGGAGGCGACAAACCAAGUGUUCCUCCCCCUGUCGCCGAAGACCUGGCGGCAGAGACAUGUAGAUUUCUUCUUGGAGGUCACCAUGAAGAAAGGCAUUAUUGACAUCGAGUUGAUGAAGAGACCAACCACGGGCAGCAGCUAACGCCAACAAGCAACGAACAGAAAUUAUUUUUGCUGUUGGAGAAAAAGUAUCCUGGUAGUCAACUCCCUCCAAUUGAGUGAAACCCUUGGCUACAAGUCGCGCCUUAUACCGUUCAACAGAUCCAUCAGAUUUAUGCUUAAUCUUGUAAACCCAACGACAACCAAUUGGAGUUUUACCAGCCGGAAGAGAGGUAAGAGACCAAGUACCAUUUUCCUACAGUGCCUGCAAUUCGGAACGCAUUGCUGAUUGCCACUCAGGGAGAACGAUAGCUUCUGAAUAAGACCUGGGUUCUGUGAGAUGACUGAUUUGAGCAAUAAAGGACUGAUAAGCAGGCUUAUAUCGGUGAUAUGAAAUAUAAUUAGCCAGUGGAUAUCGUGUACCUUUGGUCGGACCUGGAAUUAAGGAGGCCGAUUGGUCGGAGUAAACAUGUGAGCAGACGUAGUCGUGGAGCUUGACCGGUGGACCGGUGUUGCGGCUGGAGCGACGAAGUUCAGGUCCGGGUUCGGGUUCGGGUUCUUGUGAUGCAGCGGGUUCAGGGAAUGGAGGAGGCGAGGAUUGUGGGGCUGGAGAAGAUGGAUCAGAGAAGUGUAAUGGGGAUGGGUCAGUUGAGACUAGUGGGGUAGCAGGUUUAGGACGGCGGGAAUAAGUACGAAGGACAGCUUGGGGAGGGGAAGAUGGUGGUUCUACCGCGAGAAGAGAAGAGGAAAUUGGAUCGGGAGAAUUAGGAGAGAGUUAGGAUGAGGGAAUGGGGCUUGGUGGAAUGACAUGAGAGUUGAAUGAUGAGUCAAGGGAAGAAGGAAUUAAAGGAAUUGGGCUUGAUUGAUGGGCUGUCAAUGGAAGAGAAAAUUUGGGUUGGACGGAUGAGUAAGGAAAAAUGGUUUCGUGGAAUUUGACAUCCCGGCUUGUAAAAAAUUUUUUAGUUGAUAAAUUAAAUAAUUUGUAGCCCUUUUGAGCAAUGGGAUAACCGAUGAAUAUGGAUGGUAUGGCACGAGAGUCGAAUUUGUGAGAAGUGUGAACAUUAGUGGCAUAGGCUAAACACCCAAAAACACGAAGAUGGAAAAAGGAAGGUGGUUUUGAAUAGAGAAGUUCGUAAGGAGUUUUGAGAGAAAUAACCGGAGAAGGUAACCUAUUGAUGAUGUGUACAGCAGUGAGUGCACAUUCACCCCAAAAUUGGGUUGGUAGGUGUGCUUGGAAUUUUAAUGCUCGGGCUACUUGUAGGAUAUGGCGAUGUUUGCGUUCCACAACCCCGUUUUGUUGAGGUGUGUAAACGUAUGAAGUUUGGAAAACAACACCAUGAUCGUGAAAGAAAGAUCGGAGUGAGAUAAAUUCUCCACCAUUGUCACUGCGAAAUGUUUUAAUGCGACAGUCAAAUUGAGUGGAAACAUGGGUGAAAAAGCGUUUUAAAAGAGAUUGUGUUUCAUUUUUGUGUCGCAUAAAAAAAAUCCAUGUGAAACGAGUAUAAUCAUCAACAAUAGUGAGGAAAUAAUAAGCUCUGGGUAAGGGAAGGGUGUUGAUAACGACCCCAAAUAUCACAAUGAAUUAUUUCAAAAGGUUCUGUAGAGGAAAUAACACUGUUAUUGAAAGGAAAAUGACUUUGUUUAGCCAACGGACAUAUGAGGCAAACAUUAUUAGACUUAACAGAAAAAUUCAAAAAGUUCUUAGCAAUAAAACUUAAACGAGAAGGUGUUACAUGGCCUGAGCGAUUAUGCCAGAGGUCGGUGGAUGAGAUGGUGAGAUUGCAGGCUGGUCGAUUUUUUGGUGAGGAAGGUUUUGACACAGAUUGCUUCGUCACUAAUGCCACCAAAAAAUAUAGCCCAUCUCGUUGUUUACCCAAACCAAUCGUCCUCUUCGUAGCCAGAUCCUGCAAAAUACACCAAGAAGGGAAAAACGUCACUGAACAACCCAAACCUCUUGUCAAACGACUAACUGACAUCAAAUCAACUUUAAAUGUAGGCACAAAUAACACAUUAUAUAGAUAAUAGACGGAAUUGAGAGGUAAAGACCCUUUUGCAACAAUAUUUGCUCUUUCUCCACUAGGCAACAAUACAGGCGGUAACGAGCAAUUGUUAUCUUUAUGCAAUAAUUUAGAUGAUGAAGUAAUAUGAUCUGUCGCCCCGCUAUCAAUAAUCCAAUUUCGGGAAACAAUUUUAGACAAACCUGGCUUUGUUACCGUAUUUGCUUUGGAGUGAGAACCUUCAUUUUGAUUAUUCAGGAGUGACAAAAGUUGCUUGAGUUGAGCAUCGGAUAUUGUAAGUGAGCCUUCAUUUGUGUUUGACCCCUCUCCAACUUGAUUAGCCACAUAAAUACCUUUAUGCCGAUUUGAAUUUUGGCCUGAGUUUAUUUUAGCUUUAGGAUGGCCUGGUGGGUAUCCAUGUAGCUUAUAACAUUUCUGGAUCCAAUGGCCGAAAUUCCCACAGUGGUCACACAAAGGCCUACCUCUCCCAGAGCCAAAUCGACGCCGAUCUCCUUCUUGAGGUUCUACAAGUUCUGGCGCUUGAGAGUAUGUUCGAUCGCGAGAAUCUGGAAAACCAUGAGAGCGAGUUUGUUCGGUUUUUUUUGUUGCCGAAGGAGUCAGUUUGCUGCGUACAGCCAUGGCAGCAGCGCUGCUGUUUGAAUCGGUGUUCGUAUGUGCUGAACUAAGGAGGCGCUGUUUCUCUUCUUGGGAGAUUGAAGAGUAGGCUUGGCGAAUAGAAGGCAAAGGAUUCAUGAGCAGGAUUUGACCUCGAAUUGCACUAUAAGUUUCGUUUAGACCCAUUAGAAACUGCAUCAAUUUCUGUCGAUCGGCUUGUGCUAUGUCUGAAUGUGUUGCCAAUUCAUCCCAUAAACUUUUCAACUUAGUGUAGUAAGCUGAGAGAGUUGCUCUUGUCGAAGAGAAGCAAUAUCUCGUUGUAUCUCGAAGAUGCGAGUUGCAUUGCCUUGAGAGAAACCCUCAUAGAGAUCUUCCCAAACCUCAUGAGCAGUAGGAUAAUAAGUCACACUGUCAGCUAUUUCUGGAUCGCAGGAAUUGACGAUCCAGGAAUGAACCAGAUCAUUGCAUCUCGACCAAAUUGCAUAGCCUUCAGGAUCAGUUUCUUCUAAAGGAACUUUGAUAGAACCAUUGACAAAUCCGAGCUUGUUUUUGGAGUUUAAAGCUCGAACCAUAACCCUUUUCCAACCAAAAUAAUUAUCUCCAUUUAGAGGUUUGGAGACGAGAAUCAAUCCGGGGUUAUCCGAAUGGUGAGCGAAGAAGGGAUUGGAGAGAUUUGCCUUGGAGAAAUCUGCAGAAAUCUUUGAUUUUUGUGGAUCAGAACUGCUGGUUUUUGGAAUAUCUUCAAGGGCCAUGAUGGCUGAAAGAGAGAUGCUACACGAGAGAUUAAAGUGCAGCGAGUUCUAGCUCUGAUACCAUGUAAAAUAUGAGAGAAAAGUAGAAUGGACAGAAGCGUUUUUUCAUUGAUAUUUGAUUGAGUAUAUAUACAUAUAUGACUGACUUGCUAUACAUAGUAGGAUCCCUAUAAUUAAGCUAUGCAAUCAAAGUCUACUGUAAUUUAGGAAUACAUAUAGAAAGAUAUAUUUACAGCUCAAUAUAAUGAAUAAAUUGAUUCUACUUUCCAAUAAUUGAAGCACAAGCCUUGUGCUCGCCAGUGUUGCAUCUCAUCCUAGCUCAGUCUUUUGUAUGGCGUAGCUGGUGAGUUUCUGUUGGCGAUUGGUGAUGUUGAUAAUGCACGAUUGCUGAACGCUGGUCGUACUAGCUUUCUCUGACGUGUGAGUUGCUCAUCUUUCAUCCGAGCUAGGAUGAUGGCUUCCUUGAGAGUCUUUGGCCUCAACAUACGUAUUUCUUCCGAAAUCUCUGGUUUGAGUCCCCCCAUAAAAGUCCCCACCAGUGCUCGCUGCGUCCAUCCGUGCACCCAGCUGCCCAAUCUUUCAAAUUCUUUAUGAUAAUCUCGUAGUGACCCAGUUUGCUUCACGCGCGACAAUGCUUCGUCAAAAUCCUCGCAUUCCGUUGGUCUGAAACGAGCCCACAAUUCAUCAACGAAGGUUUUCCACGUCACCAAUUGUCCUUCUUCCUGGUAUGCUCGGCGCAACCACUGCCACCACUGGUUGGCUUCCCCCUCAAGGUGGUACGAUGCUAACACAACUCGCUGAUCAUCGGCAGUCUCCUGAUAAUCAAAAAACGGAGUUACGCGGUUAAACCAUUCUGUAGGAUCAUCACCUGAAUAUCGCGGAAAUUCGAGCUUGGCUACUCGUGGUGGAAAUUGUUGUCGUUCCCCCUCACUCGCCCCUCGGUCUAGACGUAAAGAUCCUACCUGAUCUUGUUGGUUCAUAACUCCUUGAGAUAGGCUGAAUGACUCGGCCAGUUUGCUAAUCAUUGCUUCCAAGUGGUGGAAUUUAUCGUUCAUGCCUUGUUCUAUCCGUUGUAUGUUAUUCUGCAUUCCACCGAGCUCCACUUCGACACGUUCAAUCCGCUCUUUGUUGGUUAACAUUGUUAGCCCCUGCUCUGAUACUAAUGUUAGGUCCCGAUCAAAGCACGAUAACAAUGAAUGAUACUUGUUCUGUUUAUGGUAAGAACAACCAAUAAUUUCUUUGAACAAUUACUCGAUGCUUUAUUCCUCAUAGCUGAAGCUUAUUUAUAGUAGUCAUACAAAGACUACUUAUGAUUUGUAGCCAACAAUCUCGGCUCAAAUCAAUUUAAAUCAAAUAAAGCAAUUAAUAAAUAUCAACUAGAAAGCAGAAAACAAAUCAAACUUUAUUUGCUUCACCGUGCAAUCUGCAACAACCCCUUGACGUGGUCUUCCCUUUAUUUGCUCAGCUAUUUUACUUUAUAAGUAAACAUCACGUUUAAACUAGACUUGUACGGAUAUGCUUGUGACGAGUACGUGAGAUCAAGUUCAUGCAUGAACAUGCAUGGUCAAACAAAGUCCACAUAUCUGUUACUAGGCUUAGAAGCCCUAGCUGACCUCCUUGGUUGUUUAUCAAAUUCUGCAUUCUUCAACUCUGCUUUCUUCUUCUUCAUCAUUCAUUCUUUCCGAUUGAAAUCCAAGAAAACGAUUGCUUGCAACAUUCAUUCAUUUUAAAGGCUUCAAAGAGAAAAGGGUUUUUGUGAAUUUUGAAUUCUUGAUUUUGAUGUAUACUAUUCACAGAAAACGAACCGCAGAAGAAUCUCUACUACCUUGGGCAAGUUUGGGCAAGAUCCUCUGCCAUUACCAAUUCUGAUUCUUGUAACGCUGGCCAUGAUGAUCUUUCUAGUCACCGCCCCUCGGAUUUUCUCUGUUGAGUUGAGCAUUGUAAAACCCACAGAAGUCAAAACCCAUUUGGUGCUUCCGGCCGUAUUACCUGUUCUAGUAAUGCUGGUUCAAUUUCUAUCUUCAUCACAAUUUUGGCUCUCGGAGGGAUUCUUUCAGUUCAGGGUUACUGCUUUGAUUGUGUUGUUAGCUUUCAUGGGACCAUAUCAGAACCAGAUUCACGCAAAAUGUUGUCCUUUUGGGUUUAUGUUGUAGAAUUAUAUGUGUUUAGCUUUAGAAAUAGGUGUGUAGUUGUGUUUGAAAUUUCUUAAUUGUUACAUAUUACUAGUUAAUCAAUUCAAAGUUGGUUCCCUAAGCCUGAAGCAUUGGCAAUAUCUUGUAAUUCUUUGAGUUAAGAUAUACUUGUAAAACUAGGGAUUUUUUUCUUGAUGCGAGAUUUGUAGUAUUUGUGUACUAUUAUCAUUGUCAAUGAGAAGCUUGGUUACAAAAAUUUCAGUUAUUUUUCUUCAUUUCUUUUCAGUAUUUUGGCUUUGUUGUUUGGUUAAUUAAGUCAUGAAUGGUUUGUCUUUGAAGCUUCAGGAUCAGACUCUGUUAACUGAUCCUAACAGGCAACUUUUUAAUCAUUUUCAUAGAAAAAUCUCCACCUGGAGAAUGUUUUGCUCAUUCAAUUCUAAAGAGGGGUUAAAUUUAUGAGUGUGUUGCCAUGGAAUCAAUCAUGAUGAUAUUAACUGACCAUUCUUCUUUGUUCCCCCUAUACUUAUUGAUAAGAUAAGGUCAGUAGGUCACAGAUUAAAUUAAGAGACAAACCAGUGCUUGUACGGCAAAAGAGUCAUCUUAAUUAGUACCUAAUGCAUCAGCUUGCAGAGGUAAAGCAUGUUUUUACUCGCAUUAACUUUCAUAAUAUGGUUGAAGCUCGAUUAAAAGAAACUAAAAUGCCUGCUCAUGAAGAUACGAGGGAAUCUAAAUUUCAUACCCAGAAACACUAGCAAGUGCAUCCCUUGUGGCCUGAGACACUUGCUUUAGAUGGAUUUUGUAAUCAAUUUAUACAUAAUGACAUGGCAAUCAAUUUAUACAUUAAUUAUAAUCUUUAAAUGGAUUUUGUAAAACUACAGACGUCAGGAUUGAAUUUCUGCAUUUGUUGACAUUAUAUGCAUUUAUGUACUCAAACCCUUUUCAAAUAUGUUCUCUAUGUGUGUUAUAAACUAAAAUUGGAUUUGGACAGAGGAACGUCACAUGUAGUUGGGAGGCUUACAUUCUACAGUUCAAUGUGUGUUACUUCUUAUGGUCUUAAGAUAAGAAUUUUUUCACAGGAAAAGUGAGAAAAUUCACCAAGAAGAAUGAAGAAAAGAUUUCCUUCCCGUGACUAAGCAAUUGGAGAUGAAGAAUGAUAAGUAGCAACCAAAUCGAAGGGGACAGAAUCUGUGAGUCUUGUAGACCAUCAGCUAAUCCGAUCUGGCGCAAGAGCUUGAAAAGCAAAGAAAUUGUCUGAAUGCCAGCUUCAUUACAGAGAGUAGGUUAUGCAGAUAGAAAUGCUGUGAAUGAUAACAGAAAAGAGAGCCCUUGAAUUGGCUAAGAUGGAAACCAAAAAUUUGGAAUCUAGAGCUAAAAGCAUUAAAGUUUUCCUUGAAAGACAAUACACGCACAUUCUCUAGAAGGAUACAUCUCAGAAGAUGGAAGUUUCCACUUUAACUCGUAAGAGUGUCUGAAUUGAAGCUUGUGCAAAAAUUUUCACAGAAAAAGCCUCUCAGGAAUAUCAAGAGUGGCCUUUUGGAGAUUUUGAAUGAGAAGGAGCAGUAUUAGUCAUCUAUAGCUUUUGGCUCUGUCAGUUAAGGACUUGAUGCAGAAUUAUCCAAUGCCAAGCACCGAGGGAGAAAAAAUCUAAAAGAAGAAAAUGGCUCAAGUCAAAAUCUGGCAUAAUGAUGUAUCAUUUCAGAAUAUAAGAAGAAGAGUCUUGAGGGCCUUUAGCUAAAGAUUUUGAAUUCUGGACUACUAAUCAGAGAAAGAGGCAGAGCACAGCUAAAAUCUGGUCUGGACUUUAUUUAUUUCCACCAAUUAAUUUCUGGUUUUGCUUAUUCAUUUAAAAAGCCCACUCAACCAAAUGGUUGUGGCUCAAUUGGCGGCGCAGGCUGGGUAAGUGGGAAGAGCUCUCGGGUUCGAUCUCCACUAAACACACCAUUUGGGAGGGGUAAGGAGCCUUAACUGUAACUACACCUCGAAUCCGAAUUAGUCGGGACCCAAUGCGGUCGCCGGAAAUCGGGUGGUUUAAACCAAAAAAAAAAAAAGCCCACUCACGUAUAAAAAAUUCAAAAUAAAUAAUAAAUAACAUAAAUAAAAUGUUCACAAGUAGAAAAGCGAAUAAAAGUUGAAAAUUUAUUACUGAAAUAGCUUAAACUUAUAAAUUAAUAACCUUUACUUGCAGAAAAAGAAAAAGGGUAGGGUAAAAAUUUGAAGUUGUGACCGUUAUCGUUAGGCUUAUGACUAGAAUCGGCGCGCCAAAAAUCCUGACUUUAACUGCCCCAAGUUAAUGAUUUAACGCGUUUCUUUCCCAAUCGAUUUAGGAAGCUUAUUUCUGAGUUACCCAAAUUUAAGUAGGAAACCCACUUCAAGUAGAUACUAUCAUAGAAAACAUUUAAACUAUCAAAAGUUCAGAACGCAAAAAGGCUUCUAGAAAUCCAUUGUUAAUUUCUGAAAACAGAUGAUAGAAUGUAGCAAUUGCGAAACAAAAUUGCUGGAAGCAAAGCCUAGCUAUUAAAUUGAACAUCAAGUUUACAAAAAAAUUGGGUGUGUUUACAAUUUUCUAGAAAUAAAAAUUUCUAUUCAUGUACAAAAAAAGAAACCGAAAAGAGAGCCCUAAUAUUAUUUGUCCAAUUGGGUUUAAGCUACCACCGAAAACAAUCGCGCGUAAACGAUCUAACGGGACCCGUCUGAACGCCAAUUAGCUUCUCAAAUUCCUGGGUAACAUAUAAAGCAUCGUUCCAUUCAACAGUUCUUUGAAUCUUUUCUAUCGCAAGCCUGGCGAUUUCCCUUUCUUUUGGCCUUUGCAUCUUCUUCAACUCCAUCUUAGCGGCUCUGAUUCGAGCUUCAGUAAGAGCUUUCUCCUUUUUCAAUCUUUCCUUUUCAGCUUUAUUGCUUUCUUUCAGGAUCAUGUUUUGUUGGCAUCUCAAUAUAGUCUCAGCAAACCUGGUCCGGAUCAUUGCAGCCCGGAAUCUGUUUUCAGAUUCAACGGACAUGUUCGAACCAGAAAUCGAAGAAUUAUCUCCCAAUGUGUUCUGGUUCUUGAGAUUAACAUUACUUCCACCAGCGACUUCAAGAAAACUAUAGGUCCGUUUCAGACCAAUCGCACGCAUUUUGAUUUGGGAAAUGGACGAAACUCUUUGUGGGUUCUAAUUAUUUUUCAAGAGGGUCUGGGAAUUUGCAAAAAGAUUGAGAAGAUUUAACGAAAUGCUUAUGAACGGAACAAAGGAAUGAUCGUACGUAGUGGGAUUGGGGAAUUACAAGAAUUAGGGUUUUGUUGGACAAAAACUGAAAGAGCAAAGAGUUGAGAGAGUUUUUAGUUGAUUCUUUUUCCUGAGUGAAGUGGGAAUUAAGCAAAAACGCGGUUAAAAUCUUUAUGAUUGAGAGAUGUGGAUAAAGCCGUUAAUACCGCGCACCAAGACUGUUCUCUCUAACCCUAGUAGAGGUUAACGGUCGAUUUUGUUGAGUUUCAAAUUUCCCUUUUUCUUUCUCUGCAAGUAAAAGCUUUUUCUUUUUUGUUUUUAAAUCUAAUUGUUUUAAAAAUAAGGCGCUACUUAAUUUUUUUAUUUUAUUAAUUUUUUCUAUCUUUUUGAAAGAAUAAAAAAUAAUUUUUUUAAAUUUUUUUUUAUUUCCAUAUUUUGGAUAAUAUGUUCUGUUAUAUAAAGGGAGGUGUUUGUUCGAGUUUUUAAAAACAUUAACAACGCCCAAAUUAAUGCUCUGAUUACAUUUGAGAGAAAUGGGUGCCUUUGUACCUAUUAGUUUUUUUUAAAUAAAUUUUUAAAUUACUGAUUUAGGUCUUUAAAAUGGGUAUGAAUCUUUUCACUUUGAAGAGGUAAGCGACACUUGAUAAUGGUUGAAUUGAUCAAUCUCCAGGUGAAUUUAGCAAUUGAAAAUGAAUAAUGGGCAUGAUGAGUGCAAUGAAGUGAAAAGGGUUGUGAAAUAAAUGCACAUUUGGUUUGAUUUUGAGGAGCUAGAAGGGUUAAUGAAGCAAUAUAUGCUUUAGAGAAAAUGGAGAACCUUAGAAUGAAGCUGCAAUUGCUGGAUUUGAUAAUAAGUUGUACAUGAUUUUGUUAGAAUAGUGGGGAAACAGAAGAAUUUGCCAAGAAUGAAUGAGGUCUAUAGAGAAAUGUAAGAAAACAGCAACGUUUCAGUGAAAGACUAUUACAUCACAUGCCAUUAGCAAACAGUAAUAAGCACAAAAUAUGAACUCUGACAGGCAAUUCUAUGUGGUAAAAAACUCAAGAAUGCAGCUAAGACCAAAAAUAAUUGCCUCAACUAAAGAAUGCUCAGAAAUCAUUCCAAGCCUUGCCAUUUUGGUCAAUGUGGGCAAGCAAUGGUAGCACAAUAACAAAAUGUGGAAGGCUCAAACAUCUAAGAACUAAAAGAUGCACCGUAUAAUUGGUUUGUAAAGCAAUUGAAUCACAAAGUUUACAGAAACGAGGUCAUAGAAAUGUAAGGAAGCAAUGAAUCAAGCAAGGUUUCGAUGCUUCAUCAUUAGAAAAUAAAAUUAGUCGAAGUUUUACUGUACAUGGUUGUAGCAGAAGAAAAUUAGGGAACUCAUUUUAUUAAAACAAAGCAUUUUAGCCCCAUGAAAUAGGACCUCCAUAGAAUAAUUUAUCAGCUCAUUUUGAACAGAAGAAAACACAACUCAGAAGGGUCAACACAACUUAGAACUGUUGUUCCUGAAGCUCCACAGUGGCACAGACACACCAUUUACCAGUCCAUUUUCUUUAUCAUUCACUACCAAUGAAAGCCAAAAUGUGGACUGUGCAAACAUCAAAGAAUGAAUUUUGUUCUUCUAAACAUCAAAUUGAUAAUGUGUAAUGUGGAGGAGCAAUGGAAUAAAUCAACGAAUAUAGGAACAAAAUUGAUCCAUCAAUAAAUAAUUUCUCACAAACAGGCUCUACUGGUAUGUUUUCUUAACAGGAUUACACCUUGAUAUUUUCAAAAUUUAGCUUAGUUCUUGACAAUGGCUGUCAUGUUUGUAGAACAAGCUCCAUGCAAUAAGAUGUGCACAAGAGGCAGGGUAAAGGUAGCCAGAAUUAAUCGAAUCGGGCUCUAUAUAAGUUGAUUGGAGAAAGAAAUUGCAGAGUACAAUUUCAACACAUAACAUUAAUGUAGAGUAUUACAAUGAAGCCAUGAGUGGUAAAAUCAAUAGCAGUAUUACAUUACAUAAAUGAAUCAAAGAAUGGCUUAAAAUGUGGAACCGAAGAUUGUUCCAUGAUCAGGGGAGAUAAUCAUCUUCAGGCUGCCUACGCCAGAGGAAAUAACAAUCAUCUAUCCACCUUGGAUGUACCAAGAACUUCUCCUCUUGCUCUGCCCAGAGACAAUCCUCAGGUUCCGUAGAGACCAAAUGCGCAACUGAGGAGUCAAUUACUAUUGUGCACGUGGCUCCCAUCUCCUCUGCCCUUGAACUGCUUCGUAUAAAAUCCGCAAAAUCACUGAAAAGUAAAGAACAUCCCUUGAGAAUCCCACUACGAAUUUUCGGCAAGUAAGUCCGAACAUCUCCACAGACACUGUCAUAGAACAACCUAUGUAUUGUUUUCAGAACUCUCAGAACGCUUGCCAAUGCCCCUUCAUUCUCACUUUCAUCAGUCAAUGUCUCAGAAUAAGAUUUGUGAUCGCCUUUCAAUUCUUUAUCUCUAAAGUAGUCAUAUUUCGCCACAACAAUCAAGUUUUCAGUGUGAUCACUCCACACACUCUCAGUGUCAUCAAGAAUAACAAUGCCCCUCUCUUGGCCCAAUACUAGGUCCAGGUUCUUCCUAUCUUUUCCGUUGAAAUGUUCCCGAGCAAUGAUCCGGGAACUGAAGUAUUUGGAAUCUGGGUCCAGGAGCUUGACAGCUGCCUUAGCGUAACAUCGGGUACCCAUCCAAAAACUUCUUGUUGAAAAUUUUAAUAUACUCGUAAGCGCACGAAUCUAGAGAUAGAAUAGUGGUAACGAGGUCGAUCCCACAGGGAUUGUUAUAAAUUGAAAAGUCUAAUUUAAAUCUAAAAUUAAUAUUAAUUCUAACCUAGUUGACCAAAUUGAGUUUCUAAGAAAAUUAAACCAAUUAAACUAAGGAAGCAAUUUAAAUAAAGGAGAAUUCAAUAAGAUAAGAAUUACCAAGGUUUCAGAAUCCACCACUAUUCAACUAGUAAUUAUCUAAUUAUUAAUUAAUCCUCAAUUUUAGAGUGACAACUCGAAAUCAAUCUAUGUCAUCUCAUGGAUAUAACAAUUAAGCCCAAAUAAUUAAUCUUGUGUAAGUUCUUUUUCUGCUUAAUAAUAUGACAUCUAAGCAUUCCAUGUAAACAUAUUGAAUAACAAAGAGUCAAAGUUUUCCUAAGCACUCCAUGUAAAAAAUUUAAUGAAAGACAUAAAAUCAAAGAUAAUUAUGUAUAAACUUUAUAAAUCCAAGCAUAGAUUUAAUCAAAUAUUAAUCUUAACAAUCAAUAAUGCAUGACAGAAUUGAUGAAAAGAUUUUAUCAAUAUCCAAUUAAUCAUGUGAAAUAAAAAUCAUAAUCAUCAAAGAACAUAUAUAGGGAAUUAAUUAAAUAAAAAGAUAAUUAUUUUAUUGAAUAGAGUUUCAUCCUUAAUCUCAGUAUAAGAAAAUUAGCUAGACAUACUUGAAUUAAGAGCAAUAAAAGAGAUAAAACCAGCCAUGAGAAAUAUUGAACUGUUGCUGCCGAUUGCUCUCUUCCAGCCUUGCGUCUCUCUCCUUUGGCGGCUCCUCUCUCCCCAAAAGCCAAAAGCUUAGCUUUCUUAUAUAGCCUUUAAAAUGGGCCCCACCUUGUCAAUCCUAAAGCCAAAAGGGUUUGGCCUUUUAUUUGUUUUGCUUCACUCACGUGGGCACUUUGAAUUGUAAUAGGUUUCCUUUUCCCAUUUAUGAAAGCCAAGUGGGGUCCAUUCUUAAAGCUAAAAUCAAUUUCUCUCUUUUGUCCGCAUGUGCAUGAUGAAUUAACUUGUUGAAUUCGGUUCCUUGGCUUGAUUUCCACAUGCAUGUAUGUCUAAUUCCUUCCAAAAAUCAAUUAAUCUUUAAUGUUUAUAAAUUGAACUCCUUUAUGCUCUUUUUCUUCAUAAUCUCCAAUUAAUUUCUUAUUCAAUAAAAUUAUUCAAUUAAUUAAAAAUAACAAAUAAAUAUAACUAAUAAUUAUUUAAUUAAUGGUAAAAUAUGUACGUAUUAUAUGCUCAUCAGGUACCCAUCGUGCAUACAUACAUCUCAAACAAGCUACUGGCUUGUUCAAGAAAAGUGCGCACAAAUGGCCUCAACUUCACCAAAUUGUCAUCAUCUAUCUGGAAUAAACUGCCAUUGAAAGGAUGAACUUGCUUCUUCAAAUAUUUCUCUCCGGAUGAGUGGCUUUUAAUCUUUCGACAGUGGAGCAGCGUAUGGUGUAAAUCUAGAACAAGAUGGAGCUUCCUCUUCCUCAACAAAGCCUUUGUGCUUCUUUUCUUCAAACCUAAAACUUCUUCUUCACUGUACCUUAAUCCUGGCAGCAUAUAAUCAAAAGAUAAACCGAAAGAACCAUCCAUGCCUUGGUUGCAAAAAAUGCACCUUCUGUUCCGAACAGUAGAAUGGGUGCAUGACAAAAGCGGCUCAGAAGAACAAGAAUCUACACCAGCGAAACCACCACAGCUUCUCUUGAUAACAAACUUUGUCUUCCUAACACACUCGAGUUUGUAACUGUAUUUCCCCAUUUUGUGUGUUUUGAUUGUUUGUUUGAAGAGGGUUUUGAAAAUUUGCACGAAAGGAUUUUAAAAGAUUCAAAGAACAAAGAUUGAGAAGCCCUAGAAUGAAUGCCUGUUGCUAGAAAUUGUUUUUAUUGGGUUUCAAUCGGUAAGAAUUACCAAGAAAAAGAGUCAUUUGUAGAAUUUCAAAGAGAUUUUAUUGAAACAGAGUUGAGAGGUAGUGAUUGUGUAAAAAAAAAUCUUUUCCUGAGUGACGUGGGAAUUAAGAAAAAACGCGAUUAAAAUGGCUAAUGGAGGGAUACGGAUACAGUAGUUGUUAGAACUCAAAAGACUUUGGAGCCAAGAUGGUUCUCUCUAACCCUAAGCUAAGCCUAUUUCCUUUCUGGGCAAGUAAAAGCUUUUUCUUAAUUAAUUUAACUGUUUAAUGAAAUUCAGUGUUAUAAAAUAAGACGUUAAUAUGUUUAUACUUAUAUUCAUUCUUUCUUUUUCUUUAUUUUUUCAAAUAAAAAAAUUAUUUUACCUUUUUGGUUUCUCUGUAUACUGGUGCAAGUGGGUGCUUGAGUUUCUUAGUACAUAUAAACUAACGAGUUUACCUCAAAUGGUUUUAAUGUCAAACAAUUUCAGGAGUCAUUUGUUAAGGAUGACUUUACUGCAUAACAUCAGAUAUUUUAUUAGAUAAUAUUUAUGUGAAAAAUAAAAAUUUUCCUGCAAGUCCUUAGAAGUGGUGAACAGAGGAUUAUGUAAUUUAGCAUUUUAGUCAAGUGCUUUAUCAGGAAUCUCACAAUGCGCAGACUGUGAGGCUGAGAAGGAUGACGAGCCGGUUGAGGUGUUUUGUAAAAUGGCGGCGAAGAAUUGCAUAUGUUCUGUACUUUGACUAAUUGAUAGAGGUCUAGUAGAGGUUAAGUGAAGUUCUUGAAGUUUUUGAACAGCCGAAGAAGAGUGAUUUGAACCGGAAGCGCAUACUUGCAAUGCUCUUUUGGGGCUUAGUGUUGGUCAAUGAGGAUGCAUAUAAGAUGAUGGACGAGAUGGGAAAGUGUGGCAUUGGUCCGAAUUCUCGACUUUAUGAUAUAGUCAUUUUCUCAUCAACUAACAGAGGCUAGACAAAUUAAAGAGGCUUACUCAGUUUUUCAGAGAGCAGUAGUAAGCCACCUAACCCAGCCAACUCUGAGUACCUAUGAAAUUUUUAGGAUGCUUUGCAAUCAAGACCUUGUAGAUAUGGCAAUGAGGAUUUGAGAACUGAUGAAGUCAAAGGGCGUGCUUCCUAGAAUGCACAUUUUAUUUUGAAUUCACAGUCUAAACUUGGGAUUACUCCCAUUUCAAUUUUUUUUCCCCGGAUAGCACAUAAAAUGGUUAGAUGCAAGAAUGGAAAAAAAUGAGACAAGUCAAAAUAUUGCCCCAGUAUCAAGCUUCUGUCAACCUUUUACCAGUCUGUGUCUUUUGGCAAGCUAAGUAAUUGAUCAAAGGAGACGCUUCUGGUAGAAAGAUAUGAACCAAAACUUCACUAACAAAAUCAAAAACUCUGAAGAAAACAUCUCACAGCAUAGCUUUUGUGAUUUACAAAGCCAAAAAUACGAAGAAACAGAGAAGAAAAAGCCACAAAAGUUUUUCUGAUUUUCUGAUCUGAGAUGAUUGCGACAUAUUAUUCAGGUAGAAUACCUUCAACACCAUGAAUAAACGUCCAGUCACUCCGAUACAAGUUAAGCGACAAGACUAGCUAAUCAAGAGACAAGUCCUUGCGAGUUUGCUUCGUAUUGAUCUUAAACCGUCCAAGAAUGCCGUUCUUGACUGAAAUCAAUCAAAUCAUGAUAUGAAAUCUUGCAAGGAAACAUAAUAUUUCAACAGAGUACCUUGAUUAAGUAUCCACUAUAAGAUCAUGCCAGCAUUAAGAAAUAUUAAUAUUUCAGAAGUUUUAGAGCACAUGAGUUUACUUCAUCAAACAUAGCAUGCUUUUUCCACAGAACAAUUUUUUAUAAUUUCCUCUGCCUUUCGAGCUCUUCCACUGGAACAAUUAGUCAUGAAUACAUCAAAGUGCAACAUAUCUUAAGAAAGUUUCAUGCUCUCUAAAAUUUCUUAUGUACACUAAAAAUUUUCAUGUACUCUCAAAAUUUUCAUCGAAACCUAGCUGGUUCAUAUAGCUGGACCGACCUUGUUAUAUCUCAAAAUUUUCCCGCACAAUCAAAGAGAUAAGAAAAGUUUUGACUCUGGACUACCAAGCUAAAGUGUGUGUGUAUAUCUAUUGUCAUGCUCAAGUUUGGACGUCAGAACCGAGGAAGCCAGCUUAUAAAUUCGUAAACAUGGAGGUCUGGACCUACGUAUUUUCACACAUAUGUAUAUGUUGAUGAAGAGUGAAGCUAAAAUCAGAAAUUAUAAUUGAGUCCAACAAGUCAGAUAUAUAGUCAGAAAGUAUCUGCCUCGUCGUAUAGUCUUCAACGACAUGUCGGUUGAUAUCUCGUUUUGUAUAUACGGCAUUAACUCAAUGUUGUCUGGGGUGUUUAGAGAGGCACAUGACUUGUCACAUGCGUCACUUAAAUCAUUUGCCUCAAAUGACAACAGUAGCUGCCGUUUUGAAGAUAAUAGCUUAUACAGGUGUGGUCAAAGCUGUUUCAAAUGUUUGUUGAAGUUGUUACAAAUGGCGGGAAAAAUCUGGGUUUGUUACAAACCGACUAACCGACAUGACAGGUGGAGGAGCUUCCUACAUCGAUUUCUAAUUGUAUAUAAAGCCUUGGAGCUUAUCCUUUGACACACUAAGUUCAUUUACAUUUUCUCUGAAGCAUUGUAUCUUGUAAGCGCACUGAUAGUAAAAGCUCUCUUCAAUUUUCACAAUGGAUGUAAGCAUAAUCAUGGUCGAACCGUUAUAAUAUCUUGCGUUAGUUUUAAUUUUUAUUGCUUCUCUGGGUAAUUGAUUCUUGUGGUUGCGUUAGAUACUGAUUUUGAUCAACAACAUAGGGUUAAUAGGACUUGAUUUAAGGGGUUAUUAGCUCAUUAGCUUAGAUUAGAUCUUAGGGAGUGUUGCUGAACCUUCACAGCCUUCCCACUUGAUAUCCGGUCUUCCUUAUCUCGUGCAAUUUAAGGGGAAACAACUACGGGCAUCGAACUCACACGCACUCUAUCAUGCGUAACAACACUCCUCUUCUUUUCCUAUGGAAUUUGCAAUAUUUUCAUUUCUUCACUGGGGCCAUUCUAAAUCAAUUCCAACUGGAACAGAUAGGAACCAAUAGAAGGCAACUGCUGGAGCGAACUACUCAUUGCUGUCUAUCCCCAACCUAAGGAAAGGGCAUUCGAAGAGUAGUAUUGUUUUGAGGGAGGGACAGCGUGGUUGACGAGCCACUACGAGGAGGCGACUGGAGUGGAGUGCUUUUAUCAAAUGAUGCAUGUGGCUGAGCCAUUCCCAUUCCAACUGGUUGCCCAAACGAGAUUCUUCAGAUAGCGGAGAAAACCAUUUCUCUAAAAAAUAGAGGCUCGGUAAAUAUUUCAGUUGUAUCUCCUUUUUUUUUCUUCGAAUGGUUGAGUUUUAUCUAAAUUUGUGCUGAAUUGCUCAUGGUUUAUGACGCAAAAUAUGCAGUAAUAUCAUUGCUCUGUAUGCUGGUUUUCUGAUGCUUAAAUAUUAAGCCUUAGAAUAAAUAAAGAUACCAUCGGCUGGUGUUAUGACAAAACUACUGGAUUGAUGAGUGCAAUUGCUUAGCCGUGGUGCUCUAUUUGUAAGAGUAGCCACUUCAUGUGAAUUGCUAAAGUGUAAGACUGAAACCUGAAACACCCCUUUAUCCUGCAUUUACCCAUUUUUGGUGAACAACCUUUUCUGCUUUUGAGAACAUAUUGGUGAGCUUUUUCUUAGUCAUAUUUAUUUAUUUUUCAUAUUAGUCUUAAUAUAAUGCAGCAUGAACUUGGUUCAAUGUCUGUUUUAGCUGAUCCUUUGAGAAAGCAUGUCCGUUUGGAUCAUGACGCUGAGGCCCAAGCAGCAUCCUGUUGUGUAAGUAUAUUUUCAUUUCUGCAUAAAGAUGAAAAUAUUACAUUUGCUAGAGUGACUUUAUUACAAGUCCUUUUCCAGCUUCUGGCCCAGCUUUUGUACUUACGCAGGUGUUACCAUCCUAUAGUUGCUACAAUAGACAGCUAAAAUGUGAAGUAUUUGGAAAAUGUCUUUUAGUUUUUGCACCAAGUUAACGCUUGCAUUAUGGUGGUUCCUUUGUUGGAGGGCUCUUCAACACCGUAUCUAGUUACAAUUUGGUUACGUAUUUGCAGCGUUCCUGUGUUAUUGAAUUUGAUGAGGAAAUCCUAGACUGCCUAGUGUAGCCACCGUGCUGAUGAUGGAAGUUUGGUACACAGUCACACUCACUAUUGUGAAUCCGUUUAUUUCUUAAACACAUUUAUCUGUUUAACCAUUUUUUUUUAAUAGAUUUGUAAAUCGCAAGAGGGCCUGGCAUAACAACAAAUAAUGUUGCCGAAUAUUGAGACUUGAUUUUGGGAUUGAAAUAUGCCCUUCAAUACGGCUUUUACAACAUCCGUGUGCGGGAGACUCCAAACUUGUCUGUACGAAGGUUUGUGCUACCGUUACAAAAUAUUUUUUAAAAAAAUUGGAUUUUAUGAUUAGCUCAUUGAUGACAAUGUUUCACGAUAUUCUGAUUGUUAUCUCGUUGGUUCCUGAACUUCUUCUUUUCCUAGCUUUUCUUGCACAGGUUGUUUCAUGAUGCAGGUUGUUGGUGUUGGAGAAAAAUACAGGUUUUUAAAUUUUUAUAAAACCUUUUUAAAAUCGCUCUUAUAUAAUAUAUAAGAAUUUGUAAUCUAGAAAUCGUACCUUGAAAAUCUGAUUUAGAUUUUUCCGCUGAAGUGAUUUAGGCUCCCAGAUCAUAAUCCGUCACCACCACGCCUGUUAAAUCACGAUCCGUCACCACCACGUUGUUAGAUCACGAAAUGUCACCAAUGAUCUUCCAGGUUAUGACUCAGGUUUGAUCUGCACUUGACGUGUGGGCGCCUUUAUCACUACCAAAGCAACUAGCACGAGAAAUUUUUUCUCUCAACAAUAGAGAGAAAAAUCUUUUUAUCUGAUCUGUAUAAAGUGGCUGCUAUGUUUCUUUAGAGAAAAUAAACCUUUUAUAUCUCCCUUUAGUGAAAACCCUAGGCUCCAAAUAAUAAAAAACAAAAUUCACGUUACUUACUUUUUCUAUAGGGGACCCACCUUGUAAAAUAACAUAAGGCCCCUACACACAAGCUAAUUAAAUGGAGCUCCCACUAAAUGAUAUAUUUAGGCUUUUGACCCAAAUAGCUAGUUAUCUUGCUUAUUAAUCCAGUAGUGGUACAGUCAAUUAAAUGAGCUAACUCGGAGAUCAUUUGGGAAUAUACAAUAGUGGCUAUAACAAUUAGGCCUGUAAUUAAAUUAGCCUAAUUAUUUAAUUCCAAAUCUACUCCACUAAAAGAUUAGAAUUGACCUCCAUAAUUGUAUGCUCGAAUAAUAAUUCGUCCCAAGCCACAUUGAUUUCUUUACUGCACAAUCCUUUAUACCACAUCAUUAAUUAAAUCGAUAUCUCAACUGUCCAAUCAAUUUAAUUACAUCUUGUUCCUUGACACUUACUAGUUUUCUCUAAUAAUCAUUUUCAACAUACUAAAUAUGUUGACACACUCUGGCCAGAGAAUUCUAUAAUUAAGUGCCGAAAACCUAUCAAAAGAUGUGUUGUACAAAUUCUAUAUUGUUAAUCCAUAACUCUAAUACUCAUAAUUGCUCCCACCAAGAUACCGGGUAAUCUUGCCACAAUUGUGUGUCGUGCCCAUUGGUAACUCAAAUGGAAUAACAAUUACAAUCACGAAAUCAUAACUAACUCAAGAUUAAGAUUACAGUAAAAUCAAUGCCUAUGAGAUUUAAUAAGUCUGACAGUCAUUUCAAGGUUAAUUAAAUCUCAUAUGUGAUCCUGUUCAAUGUAGUCGUACUACAUCAAUAAAUUCAUACAUGAUUAAGACAAAUCAUUCAAUGAAUUCAUUACAGUCUAUACCUAAAUAAAGUGCCCAACUUUAUUUAUCAACUGCGAACUAAAUUUAUUUAAUCAUAAGAUAACUUAUAUUUAUGUCUUCUGUGAAUCCACAUGGUGAUCACAUAAAUACAUAUAAUAUGAUUAAAUGGACUUUGAUCAAAAUAUUAAUGCAAUUAAGAUAUUUGAAUAAAAUACCUCAUUAAUUUUAUUAAUCAGAAAAAAUGUUUAUUACAAUUAAAUAAACACAUAUGCUUUUAAAGAGCAUAUUUUCCCAACAGUUGGUUCAUGGAAGACCAUUCACCAGGGCAUGGCUGAACUAUAUGGGGAGGCCAAGAGGGUGAGGAUAAAUUGCUUUCCAUAUAGAUAGCUUAUGUUCUAAGGGUGACUAUAGUUUUUGUGCCUUACGGUUCUUAUGGCUUUGUACAAGAUAAUGUCUUUAUUCUCCCAUUGACUCCCAUGUGUUGGUUAUAAAAGUUCUCGCUGCUGCUUUUUCCUUUUCUUGCACAAGUUUCUGAUGUUUUUCUUUGCACAUUUGGAAGAACCUGAACUCUAAGGCUGAUGCUCGAGCGAACGUGGCUGCUGGUCUUAUUGGUGAGGCUGGCUUAAUUAUUUGACUGUUAUGCCAUUCACAUUGCUUUAAUCAAUCCAUGAAUACCUAAUUAGCUUUAUCUGUUGCUCUAGUUGGUGAAUUUGCAGAGAAGCGCGCGAUUUAGUGCAUACGAUGAUUGGCUGUUGGAUACAUUUUAGGUUUGUUUUAGAACGAUUGUGCAUUGAGAUGUAGCAAACAUCAUUACUCUUAAGGUUAAAAAUUUAUUAUCUAUGAAGGUGAUAUUGGCCAUUCUCAGAACUCAACUCUGCAAAUGAAUGAGCAGGUUUUUUGCAACUAGAUUUGGUGGUGUUAAUAGGAGGUCAAAUAACCUGAGCGAGCCCUUGACGACUUUAUUUUGUUUUCACAUUUUGAUAAUAGAGAAUACCAAUUGAUUAUGAACCUCACCUGAGAUCGGGCUGAUCAAAAGAGAUAAGAAAAGAAAUGUACAAACCUAAAUGCUAAACUACUCUCUUUUGGGAAAUUUACAAAAAUAACCAUAAAACUUCUACUAUUUUCACAAUUAACCCUCUAAACUUUUUUCUAUCAACAUUAGCCAAACACAAGCUUUUCUCCCCAAAUUACCAUUGUUUACAAACCAAAAGCAACUUUCUUUCUCCCCUUUCGUCAAACCAAACACAGCUUUCCACUCUUGAAUCAUCACCGGUGACGGCAAAAGGCACCUUGUCGCACCAAGAGUAAAUUCAUUGCAACUGACUAUUAAUUUGAUAGUGCUCAAAUAGUUUAUUUAUCUUUUAUAAUUUCAGGCUUAAUGGAUUCAGUUGUACUUUAAUUGUGUUAUGAUGGUUGGUGGGAGACAUUAGAUGAUGGCCGUAUGGAGUAUGUAAAUGGUAAAAAUAGAGUUUUUUUGGUUGGGAAAAAUUGUUUGUUCGAUCAGUUUUUGGCAAGAGUAUACGAGAUGUUACAAAUAAAUCCUAAUGAAUAUAGCAUCACAAUGAAGACAACUUUGAGGUCUAAUAACACAUUAUAUCGUAUAUGUGCACUGCCCAUGGAUAUAUUUGAUGAUGAAAUGGUGAGGGUUGUGUUGCAUAUGGCAUCCAAUGUAGCCAAUUUUGGAUGCAUUCCUAUAUUCGUUACCACAUAACCUUGAGUUUCGAGCGAAGAUAUUGAGCGACAUGUCGAUACAGAAACUUCCUUUAGAGCAAAUAUGUCUGGCCCCGAUAAUGAUGAAGAGGUGUUGCCAAGGACAAUGUCACUGCAGCAAUAUUACUCUCCAAUCCACGAUAAUUAUGACAACAUUGAUGACAACGACAUUACGUUACAGGAUGUUGGAGAAGAGGUAUUUCCAAUAACGACGUCGUUGGAGCAACGAUAUUCUCUAUAUCACAACAAUGAUUUCCGAGACAAUGAUGAUCUUCAUGAUGAGACAGAUGGGGAUAAUGUUUGUGCAGAGCCUUCUAAUAGUAUGAGGGGCAGUCAUUUCAAUAAUGCUGGUGAUGAUGGAGGAGCUGGUCCUUCGAAUAUUCCGUCGUUUCAGCAUGAGGAUGAGUGUGAAGACAAUACUUCUGUGAAUAACAGAGGCAAUGGACCUAUUCCUCCAAUGGUUCGAUCGAGAAGGAGGAUUGACCCCCUCACAAGUCUUGCUCCAAUUUUACCUUUGAACAUGGUUGCUCUAAGCUUUCUUAGCAGUUGUGACUCAGAUGAUAUCAGUGUGGGUAAGUUAUUUGCUGAGAAGAAUGAGUUUAUAUUACAACUACGCAAGGUUGCCUUUAGGGAUAAGUUUGAUUUUAAGAUUGCACGGUCUAAAACGACACGUUUCGAGGCUCACUGUUGUUCGGAAUCAUGUAAAUGGAGUAUUCGAGCAACUAGAAGUUCGAACGAGCAAAAUGUUCCUUGGGUGGUGCGGAGAAUUGACAAUGUACACACUUGUCAUAAUGAGGUAUUGGUUGAUAGACGUCAACAAGUAAGGAGCUGGGUUGUCGGUCAUAUUAUCGCAGAUAAAUAUAUUGAAGACACGAGGAUUUAUACCCCGAAUGACAUAAGAGCAAAUAUGCAACAGGAAUACGGUGUUCAGUUAACAUACCAACAGGCAUAUCGGGCCAGAGAAGUUGGUCUUGAAAUAGUUCGAGGCAACCCUGCAGAGUCAUACAACUUGCUCCCUAAAUACUCUCACGUAUUAACUAAAGUGAAUGAGGGUACAGUCACUCACCUCGAGCGGGAUGGAGAUGGUAAUUUCUUGUACUACUUUGUAGCACUUGGAUCUUCCAUCAAGGGCUUUAUGCAGUACAUUCGGCCUGUCAUUGCUGUAGAUGGUACUCAUCUCAAGGGGCUAUAUCGUGGAAGCAUGUUCGUAGCAACAUGUCUUGAUGGUAAUAAUCAAUGAUAUCUAUUAGCCAUUGGGGUCAUGGAUUCAGAAAACAAUGAUGUUUGGGAAUGGUUUAUGAUGAAGUUACACGAAGUGAUUGGCGAUAGACCUGAGUUGGUAAUUAUCUCUGAUCGAUGCACUGCCAUAAGGAGAGCCGUUCUUAAAGUAUUUCACAAUGCAACUCAUGGCGUUUGUUUUUAUCAUGUGAAAGGUAACAUUAAGUCAUGGUUUAGGAUGUCCAAAGCUCUUUGGGAUGAAUUUGAGCCUGCCUUUAUUAAUGCAACAAAAGCAUAUGGCCACGAGGAAUUUAAAAGACAACUUAAAGGGUUGUGGAUGAUCCACUCAGGUGCGGCUGAUUACUUAGAAAAUAAUGUCGGUACGUGUAAUUGGGUAAGGUCUCAGUUUGAAGGUAGGAGGCACAACAUACUUACCACCAACAUCGUGGAGAGUGUUAAUUCUUUCAUUAGGGAACCACGAAAAUUUCAUGUUACUCAUCUUGUUGAUUACUUUAGGAAAACAUUGCAGCAAUGGUUUUAUGAUAGAAAAAUUAUGGCUGAAUCAAUGAGUACAACAUGGGCAGAUGAAAUAGUCACUGAGAGGAGAACUAUAGCUAAAAGAAUGAUAACCGGCCGGUGUCUCCACACCAAUUUCAAGUUGUUGGUGGUGGGAUUAAGGAAGGUUUGGUUGACUUGCAAAAGAAAACUUUCUCUUGUAGAGUGUUUCAGCUUGAUCAGCUUGUAUGUGCUCAUGCAAUUGCGGUGUGUCUAACUGUCCGAGUGGAUUUUAUUAACCUUUGUUCAGACUUUUACACUACAAAAUCGUUGGCGAUGGCUUAUGUACAAUCGUUUGUAUUUUAAACAUUUUUGUAACAUAUAUGAAAAAUAAAAUGAAAUUGAGGCGGUUAAGGAUUUUAUUAAAAAGAAUAGAAUAAGCUAGAAACAAGGAACAUAUACACACACGUGUGAGAGUAAUAGAAGCUAUCAACUAACUCGGAAAACCCGACCCGACCCGCAAACUUGACCCAGUCGUAACUUCCAUUUUGGGCCACCGUUCCGGUCAAGCUUGGUACCAAUCUGAAGCUUGAAGACCGGCCAUCAUACCCCUGCCAUUCACGUCGCCGAAAAACAACCAGAACGCCAGCGACCAAAGCUUGAAAACCCGCGACUGUUUCGUUUUGCUCCGCCAGGAUUUUCGUCGAUUUUGGGUGAUACCACCGGUUGGAUUUUGUUCCUCACGACUCCCUCUUCAUUUUCGACCAUCCAUAGCCACCGGGAGUCAUUGUUUCGCCGCCGAUCAAUUGUUGAAAAUUCACGGCUGUCGAGCUAGAUUUUGGCGUCGUUGCCGCGCGUUAGAGCUCACCGCCGGUACCAUUGAACUCAGCUUGGCCAAAAGUGUCUAACUUGUGCUUCCCGCCCAGCGUUGACCAAAUUUCGGUGGCCGUUGACCGGCAAGGGCAUUUCGGUAAUUUCACACUAUGAGGGCAAUUUUGUAAUUUAUGAGCCUGUGGAUAUUUUAGUAAUUCCAAGAAUUGAGGAUUGGGUGUAAUUACGAUUCCGAGGGUAAUUCGGUGAUUUACAAUUUCAGAGUAUUUUAAUGAUUUACGGACCCGAGGGCAUUUUAGUAAUUUUAUCAACAUGGGAGUUGUAAAUUAUGGAUAGAUAUUCAUUUAGAGUAUUAUUGCAUAAAUUUAGUCAUAAUUACGAUUUAUGAAAAAUAAUUAUGGCGUUUCCUUGAUUUAGGAGGAUCCGCGAGCGAGAACUAGGCCGCGGACGUGGACGAUAACCGAGCGUGAACACCGUCACUGUGAGUGAAAUAUACAAAACCUAUUUUCAUAGUUAAUUAUGAUAGUAAUGCAUAUUUGCUAAAUAAGUGUUUUAAAUGUUAUGAUUUAAUGAUUUUCUCAAAAUGGAUUUUAUUCACGCAUUGAUAUUAUAUUAAAAUAUUUGGUUAAUGGUUUUUCAUAUCGAUAUUGAAUAAAAUAUAAUAGUAUUUUAAAGAUGAGAAAAGUGGAUUUAGAUGUGAUAAUGAAAAGAAAUGUGGUAUGACUUAAAAUAUGGUUAAAAGGUAUGUGAAUAUGAGUAUAAUGAUUGUUUUUUAAAUCAUUAGACAGUACCCUUCCCCUUCAAAUACAGUGAUACAAAUGAGAUGAGAUAGAGGUCUUUUGGGCCCGUCUGAACACACAUAGAGGCUUUGGGCCGUGUGUUUGGGCGUUUCUGCCUUUUGGAGGCAUAUGCAUGCGGUAUGAUGAUUACAAAGAUACAAAUAUGAGAUACAGAUAGAUAUUGAGAUACAAAUGAUACAGAUGAGAUUCGGAUCCUGUUUAUCCGUGUAGCUCUGGGGCGUGACGGUACCCAGAUAGUACGUCAUUGCCCGUCCGUUGAGGUUCGGAUACGACGAGAUUAUUCCCUAGAUACUUGUUUAGUGAUGAUUUUCAGAUAUGUGUAUUUUAUAUGAUAUUGCGAUAUGAUUUCCAUGGUUAUUUAGUACGAUAUUAUAUAUGCUUUUCAUGGUUAGUAAUAUGAUUUAAAUGUUAAAUGAUUUACUAUUGGUUUCUUGCAUAUGGUUUGAUGAAAUCGUGUUUGGAAAUGAUAUGAUUAUUUCUUUUAAAGUAAGAAUUAAUUUUCAAAAACUAUUAUCCACUCACUGAUCUCACUGAGUUUUAAACUCACCCCGUUUUUAUUAUAUUCCCCCCCCCACCAGGAGGUUGCAGGUACACCAGAUCGACCCAGCGACUGUAAAUAUAUUUUGAGUCUUGGCCACGUAAUGAUGUUAGAAGAAAUAGAUGUUUUUGUUAGGACAUCUUGGUUAUCUCAUCCUGUUGGGAUUGUAUAAUUUUGUUAUAUUAUUCUUUUGGGAUUAAGAAUAAACUGAGAUAUUAAUAUUAGUUAUAAUAUUAUCUUUUGAGACUCUGGAGAUAUAAAACUCAGAAUUUUGGUUGAGGAUGUUGAUCAUUGGAGUUUGUUGUAUAUUGAAUUAUAUUGGGAGUUAGAUUGGGAGUGUUAUAUAUAUAAAGGAGACUCUGCCGAAUUUUAUUGCUUUCUAGAUGGCUACUCAGGAUAUAAUCAGAUUCUUAUAGCACCAAAAGAUCAAGAGAAAACUACUUUCACUUGCCCUUUUGGCACUUUUGCAUAUAGGAGAAUGCCAUUUCGAUUAUGUAAUGCACCUGCUACAUUUCAACGAUGCAUGUUAAGCAUUUUCUCUGAUAUGGUUGAACGAUUCCUUGAAGUCUUUAUGGAUGAAUUUUCUAUCUUUGGUGAUUCAUUUGAUCAAUGUUUACAUCAUCUAACACUAGUUCUGCAGAGAUGUAUCGAGAAGAACUUAGUCUUAAAUUAGGAGAAGCGCCAUUUUAUGGUAAAACAAGGUAUUGUUCUCGGUCACAUCAUUUCGAGCAAAUGUAUUGAGGUUGACAAAGCCAAGGUGAAUCUCAUUUCUAAUCUUCCUCCACCCAAAACAAUCAGAGAAGUAAGAUCUUUCCUUGGGCAUGCUGGUUUUUAUAGACGUUUCAUUAAAGAUUUUAGCAAAGUUUCUAGACCUUUAUGCAAUCUACUUGUUAAGGAUGUACCUUUUAUCUUUGAUGAUUCAUGUCUUGUGGCAUUUGAAAAACUAAAGCAAUUGUUGACAUCAUCACUCAUCAUUCAGCCCCCAAAUUGGAGCUUACCAUUCGAGCUCAUGUGUGAUGCAUCUGAUUAUGCAGUAGGAGUAGUUUUAGGAUAAAGAGUUGAUCGAAUUUCCCAUGUUAUUUACUAUGCUAGUAUGACAUUGAAUGAUGCACAGUUGAACUAUUCAACUACUGAAAAAGAAAUGCUAGCAGUAGUGUUUGCAUUAGAGAAAUUUUGAUUUUAUCUCAUUGGUUGUAAAAUAAUUAUAUUCACAGAUCAUGCUGCUCUUAAAUAUCUACUCACAAAGAAAGAUGCAAAAGCUAGACUAAUUCGUUGGGUGUUACUUUUGCAGGAGUUCGACUUAGAAUUUAAAGAUAAGAAAGGCACAGAGAAUAUUGUGGCUGACCAUCUCUCCCGUCUCCAUUUUGACACAAUUACAGAACCAUUAACAUUGAAUGAGUCAUUUCCAGAUGAACAAUUGAUGAGUGUGGAAGUAUUACCAUGGUAUGCUAACAUCGUGAAUUAUCUUAUUACAGGUCAACUUCCAGAGCAUUGGACCAAGCAAGACAAGGCCAAAUUUUUUACAGAAAUAAAGAAUUUAUUUUGGGAUGACCCGUAUUUGUUCAAGUAUUGUGCAGAUCAAAUUGUUAGACGAUAUGUCCCAGAAAGUGAAAUUCAGAAUAUCCUUUCAUUCUGCGAUGAACAAGCUUGUGGAGGCCAUUUCAGCGCUAAGAAAACAACGACUAAAAUUUUACAAUGUGGUUUCUAUUGGCCAACUAUAUUUCGAGACGCUUACACUUUUUGUUCUUCAUGUGGUAGGUGUCAACGAAUGGGGAGCAUUACACGAAGGAAUAUGAUGCCACUAAAUCCAAUUUUAGUGGUUGAGAUUUUUUAUGUAUGAGGUAUCGACUUCAUGGGACCCUUUCCCCCUUCUUUUUGGCCAUCAAUACAUAUUGGUUGCUGUUGCUCAUGAGCAAUAACAUACCUGCUGACAUCCGUUGGUUAAUCGAGGCCAAAGUACGUUUGACAGGUGAGUUACCUCCAAAAUUUAUUGCAUACAUGCCUGGUUGUGGUAAAGGAAAUUAUGCAAGAAAACGAAGAGCUCGAAGAAUUUCUGUUGCUUGUCAUAAAUGUGCCAGAAUGAGAUGCAAUAAAAACCCAUGUUCUUUAGGAAUGGUGUCUGAUAACAGGGAAGAUAAGAUUCAAUUCAUUAGGGAUGGCUUGAGUAAGGAGUCAUUUAAUGAUAUCCUUUUGUCUUUUGAAACGCAUCCCAGUGGAUAUGUGCAAGGAGCAAUUCUCCAGUUAUGACCAUUAUUCCAGAAAGAGCAUGCACGAUAUAGUCUUAGGAAUCUAACUAUAAACGACCAUGUUUGCCAGUUUAUAAGAAAAUUGGAUAGGAAGCCUAUCCUCCACCCAUAGAGGGCGUUCAAGCCGUUUCUGGAUGUAAAACCAGAGGAAGAUGUGAGCCACAGUCGCAACUACAUGUAAAUAUCCUUUUACUUCACUGUUAUUUUAUCAUUUGCAUUAUUGUCUUUAAUAAUUUUAUUUUAUCAUUGUUUCUUUUUCUUUUUAUUGUUUUCUUUUUGACUCGCGAGCCAUGUGCUUUACGCGUUAUUUGACAUUGACAUGCCUCCUCAUACACAGUUGUGACCUAUUGUCACCAAGAUUCUUAAAUAUGACUUUUUGUUAAGCACUCACAAAUUAUUUUUUAGAAAUAUUCCAAUGGCAGCUACUCUCAAUAGACAAUUCAAGAACAUUUGUGUGCUUUCUGGAUUUAACUAUGGCAAACAUAAAGAGUUCGUUGAGGCAGCCAUAGAUCUUGGUCGAAGGAUAGCAGAGAGAAAAUUACACUUAGUGUAUAGAGGAGGUAACCGAGGGUUAUCAAAAUUGGUCUCAGAAGCUGCUUUUGUCAGAGGAAGCCAAGUGUUAGGUAUCAUCCCAAGAGCCCUAAAACCUUUGGACAGUUUGUCUGACUAACUGACUGGAGAAGAGUUAGUCGUCUCAGGUAUGCAAGAAAGAAUAACUAAAAUGCUUAAUCAUGCUGAUGCUUUUAUUUUCCUACUAGGAGAUCUUGCAACUCUAGGGGCACUUAUCACAUUAGCAUCUUGGGCCCAUCUGCACAUUCACCAGAACCCAUUGAUUUGUUAAAUGUCAAUAACUUUUAUGAUGACUUUAUCGCAUUUCUUAACCAUGCAAUAAAAAACUAUUUCAUUCCUUUUACAGCGAAAAAGAUUUUUAUUUGUGCUCACACUGCUAAUGAGCUACUUGAUCUGUUACAAGCUUAUCGACUAGAGACAAAUCCCAGGACCUUGGUGUUGGAGUCUCUAAUUAAUGACGGUAACAAUAGCCGUAGUAAGAAGUACAAAUUAGAUUUAACUCUCCGCUUGUAAAUAUUUUCUUCUGUGUUGCACCACCCAGGUGAUGUCUUCUAAACUCUACUUCUUUCCUUUAAAACAUUGAGGACAAUGUUUCGUUCUGGUUGGGGGGAGGGAAUAGUUGACAAUUGUGGAAUCUUGGUUAAGUUUUUACUGAUUUUUUAUUGUAGGAACUAACUAUUGCUAACUUUUUGUGUUGAAGAUGGUUGAAUAUAGAGUGUAGUUACUCUAGAAUGUUUUAAGUUUUAAAACAUUGAGGACAAUGUUUCGUUCUGGUUGGGGGGAGGGAAUAGUCGACAAUUGUGGAAUCUUGGUUAAGAUUUUACUGAUUUUUUAUUGUAGAAACUAACUGUUGCUAACUUUUUGUGUUGAAGAUGGCUGAAUAUGGAGUGUAGUUACUCUAGAAACGCAUCUUCUUCGUUAAAAAAAAAAACAAAAAAAAAAUUCCAGACACUUUCUUUUUCUUUAUUAAGCUUUGAUAUUCAUUUUUUUUUUACUUCUUCUUUUUAAUUUCUCCCUUAUAAAUAUACAUUUUCAAAUUUUUGAGUCGAAGAUGGCUGAAUAUGGAGUGUAGUGCCUCUAGAAACACAUCUUCUUAGAAAAAAAAAAUAUUUUCUUUUUCUAUCAUUUUAAGUGUAACUUUUCUAAUUAGUUUUUCUGCAUCAUUUUCACAUUUCUGCAUGCAUAUUUUCCUUUCAUGUUUAGAAUAGGUUGGGGGGGGUAGAAUGUUGUUUAAAAAAAAAUUAUGUGAUUUAUUUUAACAUUGGAUGACAUGAUGAAUUUCAAAUUUUAGUAUUUGUACUAUCUUUGGUCUUAAGUGAUGUUACGACAUGUUUGCUACUCUACAUGUUGAUGUCGAAGACAAAUAUGAGUUGCUUGAAGGAAAUGCCAAGUGAGUUUUUGAGCCUAUCAUUUUUCUUGGAGAGUAACCCUUUUGCCCAUUCUUCAUACAGCUUAGCAGUUUAUUAUUUAGAGCCCUAAAAGACGAUGGAAAUGCCAUCUUUGAUCCGUUUGAACCUUUCUAGCCAUCCCUUUUGUGAAAUAUCCAUAGUUAACCCUCUUGAGCCUUAAAAACAAAAAUCUUUUCUUUGUCAAACUUAUCAUCUUGACCCACUCCGAUUUGGAGUAUUACCCGGUAUCUUACAAGUUCCAUCACCUAUUUAUGUUUGAGAAAAAUGUAAAUAAUUAUUUUGUUCAGUGAAGUUGUGCCAAACAAAAGAAAAAAAAUUGUUGUUAAAAAAAUAAAUAAAUAACAAUAAUAGGUGAAAUCCACCUUGCAACUUCCAAAAAAAAAUUUCUCUGCAUUUUUCUCAAACAUACACUUUGUUUUCCUCAUUUCCCCUCCUUUGUUACCCAUGUCCCUAACCUACGUUACGUCCUAGUAAAAGUCCUUCUUGAUUUUAGGGAACUAUAGUAUGAAGUAGAAGCUAGUUAUAUGGACUAAAAAGAUAUAGCGGAGCAUUAAAAAAAACAAAUAAAUAAAUAAAUUGGGUUGACUAGCAUUUUUAUUUGACUUGAGAUCGUAUUAUUUCUAAGCUGGGGGCAUAUUUAUUUCAUUUUAGUGAGAGCAUGUGAUAUCACUUCUUUAUUAUUUUCUCUCAAUUACCAUUCAUUGGAGUGACUAUUUUUAUUGGGUUUAAUUUCUUUGUGAGAGUGUCAUUAUUUCUAGUGAGAUUUUGGGGUUUAACAUGUCAUUCUUGAAAGUAGUUGUGACAAAGUCUACUGGGCUGAUUCAUGUGGAUGGUUGAUGUGGGUGUGAUAUUUCUUUAGACUUGAGAUAAUGCUUAUACUUUUAUUUGAUUUCUAUCAUUAGUCUGAUUGAAUAAACAAGAUUGUUUAAAAAAAAAAAAUUAUUUUGGGUUUGGAUUUUGUUUUUGCUUUAUUUGCUAGGGACUAGCAAUAAGCUGGUUGGGGGGUGUGUUGAGUGUUAGAAAAUGUAUAUUUAUAAAGGAGAAAAUCGUCAUUUUACAUUUCAAGUCUUAGUAACACCCUUACUUUUAUGUAUUUAAGCUUCUUGUGAUUUAAUUACGUGUGUUUUAUUUUAAUUAAGUAUUUUAUGUAUUUUAUGUUAACAUGAAUAUGUUAAUAAUAUUGAUUUUGAUGAUAACAAACUUUAAAUGGUUUUUGAUAAAAUUGUUGGAGCUAUUCCUUAAUAAAUGAAAGCCUUAAUAAUCAUUCCAUUCAUAUUCAUAAAAGAUGGACUUUCAAAUUAGAAAAAGAUUCUCUGCAAAAUCUGGUUUAAAAUGUGAUUAUGGAAAUAAACGGUGAAUCGUUUUCUUUUAAAACGGUUAACCGAUUAAUACCAGAGAGCAACAUAUUGCCUAAGCUCUAACCGUUUAUGAAAAACGGAAAACACAAAAGAUGGAAAGGCUACCAGAAUUUAACGGUGAACCUUUUAUUUAAACGGUUAACCGAUAAAAUCCAGAAUGAAAGUUUGUACCUGGAAACAAACGGCAAAAGCUUAAUUGAAACGGAUAAGGCUAACUUGUUUUGUAGGUUACUGGAAACAAACGGCGAACCGUUAAUUACAAACGGCUAACCGAUAAAUUUUAGAAAGGUUAUUUCAUAUAACUCUUUAACCGUUUAGUAUGAACUAACAACUGAAGCUUAUAUUGCAGGUCUAUGGAAUUUAAUGGCUAACGGGUAAUCCUAAACGGCAAACUGUUUAUAUGAAAUUUGGCCCAACGGUAAAUUUUGACUAGCCUAAACGGUUAACCGUUAAUGGUUAACGGCGAACCGUUUUCGGGCCGACAGUUUGUAACAGCUAGUUUUUCAGCUCCAAAUAUAAAUAAGCUCAUUCAAAUUCAAAGAAAUUUUGAUCACAACACGACUAUUGAGCUUAUAUUCGAGAAUACAAUCUUCAUAGAGCUUAGAACACAUUCUUGCUUCAUCUAUUCACAUAUUGGGCAUCAUUGUGUAAUUUUAUAUAUUGUGAGAGGCAAAACAAAUUUGAAAUCUUUUGUUUUGAGUGAUUGUAAGUGUUGGGAUACACUUGGGUUAAAGAGAUUGGGAUAAUCUCUUGUUGUAAAGGUUAUUGACACCUUGGAAGUCAAGUGUAAGCAUUUGAAGCCUUGGAGGCUUGCUUAGUGGAAUCCUCAAGCCCGGAAAGCUUGGAGGCGUGGACGUAGGCGAGGUUGGCCGAACCACGUAAAAAUCUCUGUGUUUGAAUUUCUCUUCCCUUAUCUUUUUAUAUUGUGAGCAACUUAAUUGUUAUUGCUUUGAAUUUGAAUUAUAUUUGCUUUAAGUUUUUCUUUAUAAAUUGAAUAAUUUUUAGAAUCCCAAUUCACCCCCGUCUUGGGUUGCAUACUUGUAUUUCAUUUGGUAUCAGAGCCUUGUUCUCUUAUUAGGACUUAAUCGUCUAGAGUAAAAGAUCCAUGGCAACCCUAAAUACUCAACCUUUAGAGAAGGGCAAUCCACAACUAGACCACCGUUCUUUGAGGGUAAUGACUAUGCAUAUUGGAAAACUAGAAUGAGAAUCUAUUUGCAAGCUUUAGAUUAUGAAAUUUGGGAAGUUGUUUGUGAUGGUCCGUUUUUGCCCGUAACUAAAAAUGAAUUCGGGGAAGAUAUUCCAAAACCUUCAAGGGAAUGGAAUAAAUUGGAAAAAAGAAAAGCUUCUCUAAAUUCCAAAGAUAUGAAUACUUUAUUUUGUGCUCUUGAUAAGAAAGAAUUUCAUCGAGUAUCUAGUUGUGAAAGUGCUAAUGAAAUUUGGUACAAAGUUGAAGUAGUUUAUGAAGGCACAAAUCAAGUAUAAGAGUAAAAAAUUAGUAGAUACACUCGACAAUAUGAGUUGUUCCAAAUGGAACAAAAUGAGAGUGUGUACUCUAUGUAUACGAGAUUUACGGACAUAGUAAACACUCUAGGAGCCCUAGGAAAGACCUUCUCAAAUAGCGAAAAAGUUAAGAAAAUCAUUAGGUCACUUCCGAAAGAAUGGAGACCAAAAAGAACCGCUAUUGAAGAGGCCAAAGAUUUAAAUACUUUACCUCUUGAUGAUUUAAUUGGUUCUCUCAUUUCAUAUGAAGAAGAUUUGGCAGCAGAAAAAGGGCAUGAGGAGAAGAAGAAAAGCAUUGCUCUCAAAUCUUCAAAAUAUGAGAGUGAUGGGGAGAGUGAACCGGAUGAUGAAGAGCUAGCCAUGCUAGCAAGGAGGUUCAGAAAAUUCUUCAAGAAAAUCGGAGAGCGAAGAAAUUUCAGAAACUUAAAGAACCAUAGGGAGAAGAAGGAGGCAAUCACAUGCUAUGAAUGCAAGAAGCCUGGCCAUAUAAGAUCGAAGUGCCCACUUAUCAACAAACUCAAGAAGAAAGCAAUUGUUGGAACUUGGGAUGAUAGCGAGGAAGAUUCAAGUGAUGAAGAAGGAUCGCAAGAAGUAUCAAACCUAGCACUUAUGGCAAUAGGAGGGGAUGAUGAUCUCACUGAGGUAAGUGAUCCCACCUAUGAUGAAUUGUAUGAUGCUUUUAAAGAUUUACAUAAUGAGUUGAUGAAGAUUGGUAAAAAGAAUGUAUGUCUUAAAAAGGAAUUGACAAAGCUUAAAAAUGAAAAUGAAUCUCUAAAUGCAAGAAUUGCAUGCCUAGAAGUAGGGAAUAAAACAUUGCAUGAUGAAAUUGCAUUAUCAAAUGAGAAACCUAGCAUCACACAUAGAUGAGUUGAAAAAUGAAAACAAAAUGCUCAAGAAAAAGAGCAAUGAGUUGAAUGAGAUUGUUUUGAAAUUUACAAAUGGGCAAAAGAUGUUGGAUAAUAUGCUUAACUCACAAAAAUGUGUUUUUGAUAAAGGAGGACUUGGGUAUAAGGCUAACUUGAAGCAAAAAUAUUAUAAGAAUUAUUUUGUUAAAGAUACCUCCACAAGUGAUCAUAAGAUUGUUUGCCAUUAUUGUAAUCAAAAUGGUCACAUGAAAUAUAGAUGUCCCGUGAGAAGGAAUGCAUAUUAUGGUGUCCAAUGUAUUUGAGUUCCAAAAGGAACCAUUGCUAACUCUCAAGGACCCAAAAAGCUUUGGGUACCUAAAACUUGAGAUUUUCUUUGUAGGGCUUAAAGAAGAAGAAAAAUAAAUGGUACUUGGAUAGUGGUUGUUCAAGGCACAUGACCGAAAAUUAUGCAUGGUUCUUAAGCUUCACCAAAAUUGAAAAUGGUGGAGACGUAUCUUUUGGAGACAACUCAAAAGGAAAAAAUUCUUGGAAUUGGAAAUGUUGGUAAAGUUUCCUCAACUCCAAUUGAGAAUGUAUGUUUGGUUGAGAACUUGAAACACAACUUAAUUAGUAUUAGUCAAUUAUGUGACAAAGGUUAUAAAGUUAUCUUUGAUAAAUUUAGUUGUGCUAUUGAGAAUUCAUGUGAUGGCAAGAUCUUAUUUGUUGGGAAUAGAUGUGGUAAUGUUUAUAUCAUUGACAUAGAAUGUGCAUCUACUCUUAAUAAAUGUUUUUCGGCAUUGUAUGAUGAUAGUUGGUUAUGGCAUAGAAGGUUAGGACAUGCAAGUAUGGAUUUGAUUUCAAAUAUUUUGAAAAAUGAUUUAGUUAAAGGUCUUCCAAAAAUUGGUUUUCAAAAAGAUAAAAUUUGCGAAGCUUGUCAAUUUGGAAAACAAAUCAAAACAUCUUUCAAAAAUAAGACUCAUAUUUCUACCUCAAAACCACUUCAACUUCUUCACAUAGAUUUAUUUGGGCCCUCUAGAUAUGCUAGUUUAAAUGGAAAAUAUUAUGCAUUUGUGAUAGUGGAUGAUUAUUCUAGAUAUACUUGGGUAUUAUUCUUAGCCAAUAAGGAUGAUGCUCUUGAUGCCUUUAAAGUGCUUUGUAAGAAAAUACAAAAUGAAAAAGGGUAUGGUAUUGCAUGCAUUAAGAGUGAUCAUGGAGGACAGUUUGAAAAUCAUGCAUUUGAGAUUUUCUGUAAUGACUUUGGCAUUGAGCAUCAAUUUUCAUCACCUAGAACUCCACAACAAAAUGGAGUUGUUGAGAGAAAGAAUAGAUCCAUUCAAGAAAUGGCUAGGACUAUGUUGAAUGAUAAUUCUUUGCCUAAGUAUUUUUGGGCCGAGGCCGUCAACACCGCUUGUUAUGUUUUAAAUCGUGUGUUGAUUAGACCUAACCUUAACAAAACUCCAUAUGAGCUUUGGAAACAUAGAAAACCCAACAUUGGUUAUUUCAAAGUGUUUGGAUGCAAAUGUUUUAUUUUGAACACAAAAGACAAUCUUGGCAAAUUUGAUCCAAAAUCUAAUGUUGGUAUUUUUCUUGGAUAUUCAAACUCAAGCAAAGCUUAUAGAGUUUACAACAAAAAUACAUUAGUUGUAGAAGAAUCUAUGCAUGUUACCUUUGAUGAGUCUAACCCUUCAUCUACGGAGAAAGUUGUUGUUGAUAAUGAUGUAGAUGAAGACUUACAAAAAGAAUCAUCAAGCGAUAACCAAAAGGAUGCGUCUCAUGGGAAUCAAGAUGAGCAACAUGAAGAAAUGAAUGUAGAGCAAAAUGAAGGUGCAUCUCAAUCACUCCCCAAGGAGUGGAGGUAUGUCUCUUCUCACCCUAAAGAUGUAAUUUUAGGAGAUCCCUCACGAGGUGUUACAACUAGAUCAUCACUUAGAAAUACUUGUGAGCAUAAUGCAUUCAUGUCUCAAAUUGAACCCAAAUCAUUUGCGGAUGCAGAAAAUGAUGAAUCUUGGAUUAUGGCAAUGCAAGAGGAGUUAAAUCAAUUUGAAAGAAACAAUGUGUGGGAAUUAGUUCCUAAAUCGGAACAUCAAUCCGUCAUAGGUACUAAAUGGAUAUUUAGAAAUAAGAUGGAUGAAUCCGAUGUGAUUGUAAAAAAUAAAGCUAGAUUAGUGGCUCAAGGUUACAACCAAGAAGAAGGAAUUGAUUUUGAUGAAACUUUUGCACCCGUUGCUAGACUAGAAUCAAUUAGAAUGUUGUUGGCAUUUGCAUGUCAUAAAGAUUUCAUCUUGUUUCAAAUGGAUGUAAAAAGUGCUUUCUUAAAUGGGUAUAUUAUGGAAGAAGUGUUUGUAAAACAACCCCCUGGUUUUGAAAAUGAAAAAUUUCCAAAUCAUGUUUAUAAGUUGCUUAAAGCCUUGUAUGGAUUAAAACAAGCACCUAGAGCAUGGUAUGAUAGACUUAAAAAUUUCUUGUUAGAAAAUGAUUUUUCAAUGGGUAAAGCAGAUACUACUCUAUUUGUUAAGCAUAAGAACCAAGAUAUACUUAUUGUUCAAAUUUAUGUUGAUGAUAUUAUUUUUGGUUCUACUAAUGAGUUGUUGUGUAAAGAAUUUUCAUCGUGUAUGAGCAAAGAAUUUGAGAUGAGUAUGAUGGGAGAGUUGAAGUACUUCCUUGGACUUCAAAUCAAACAAAACGAGGAAGGAAUUUUCAUAAAUCAAGCCAAGUACGUAAACGAUCCACACAGACGAUUCGACAUUGAUGACUCAAAGACCAAAAAUACACCAAUGAGCACAACAACCAAGCUAGACAAAGAUGAAAAAGGCAAAGAAGUGGAUAUCAAAAUGUAUCGAGGUAUGAUCGGAUCUCUACUUUAUUUGACUGCAAGUAGACCCGAUAUCAUGUUUAGUGUAUGUUUGUGUGCAAGAUUUCAAUCAUGUCCCAAGGAAUCCCAUUUGCUUGCUGUUAAAAGAAUUUUCCGUUAUUUGAGUGGAACCAUAGAUAUUGGCCUUUGGUAUCCUAGGGGAACUCAUAUAGAUUUAACAUGCUAUUCGGAUGCGGACUUUGACGGUUAUAAAGUGGAUAGGAAAAGCACUAGUGGAACUUGCUAUAUUCUAGGACACUCACUUGUUUCAUGGUUUAGCAAGAAACAAAAUUAUGUUGCACUUUCAACUACCGAGGCUGAAUAUAUAGCUGUCGGAAGUUGUUGUGCACAAGCACUUUGGAUGAAACAAACUCUUAGAGACUAUGAUAUUAAUCUUGAACAAAUUCCUAUUAAGUGUGAUAAUACUAGUGCUGUAAAUCUUUCAAAGAAUCCCAUUCAAUACUCUAGAACUAAGCAUAUAGAAAUUAGACAUCAUUUCUUGAGAGAUCAUGUUCAAAAGGGAGAUAUUGCAUUAGAGUUUAUUUCUACGGAAAAACAACUUGCCGAUAUUUUUACUAAACCACUUUGCGAAGAACAAUUUUCAAAAAUUCGGCAUGAACUUGGGAUGAUGAAAUUUUCGCAUUAACGUCUCUAUUAAUGCUAUUGAGUGUACUGAAUUGAGUGACUUAUUUGUGAUUUAAUAUUUAUGAAAUGCUUGAGCUUGAUAGUCAAAUGAUGUAUUUGCUUUGUUAAUUCUUGAUUGAUUAUAUGAAUUAAUUGCUUGAAUACAUGUUCAUGAAUCAUGCAUUAAAAUGACUCAUAAAACAUUUUUAGAUCAGUUAAAUGAUCUUGGAAUGUAUUAUUUGCUGGCCAAAAAUUAAAUCAAAUGUGCGAAAUUAUAGUUAAAAUAAACGGAUAACCGUUUUCAAAAAAUGGUGAAUCGUUUUAUUCCAGAAACGACUUUAUGUGUCUGUCUUUUUACUCUUCACCGUUUGAUGCAAUCGGUAAACCGUUUAAAAACAGAGAGUCCUCUAACAGUUACUCUUUAGCCGUUAAGUGCUUAAGCUUUCUCCGUUGCCUAUUCUUUAGCCUCUGGAAGUUACCCCUUCACCGUUUAAAUAAACGGUUAACCGUUUUCGCGAUUGUAAAAUUGUUCAAAGGUUUUUUCUUCUCCUUCUCCAGUUACCCUUUCACCGUUUCAGCCAUUGUUGCGCAGCGGAAGGUUCCUCUGCCCUCAAAUCCUCAUUUUUCUUGCUUUUCUUGCCAAAUCAAACUUACAAAAUCAUUUCUUAUCACCUUUAGAACACUUUCACCGAUUCAAAACUUCAAAUCAAGCCCAAAAUUGAAAAAUCCCAAAUCUAAACCCUAACUGCCACGGGUCGAGUUUCUUCGUUUUUAAUCCGAUUCUUCCCCUUCUUGAACCAAAUUGAGCAUCAAAAUCACAUCCUCUACUCAUUCCUAAGCAAAUCAUCGAUUCAUUUUCUUCUCAUCACAUCUCUCCCGCAUUUUUCACACUCCAUUGUGCUUCUCCAUGGCUGCACCCCCUCGGAGAAAUCUCAGGCAAAAAUCUGUGCCUCCAAGGAAUCCUAUAUCACCACGGGAAGUCUCUGAAUUUGCAAGAAUUCAUUUCCCCACGCCUUCCUUGGCCAAGCGGUUCGAGGAUCGCUUCGAUGGUCAAAAGGCACUUGACUCCUUCUAUGUUGAAAUAGAUGAUUUCAGUAACUUAGUUGUAUGUGGUAGAAGCGUUAGGGAUAUGCUUCAGCCUUGGGAAUCUGCCAUUGACUUUAAUGGCCGAGUUUAUCCCAAUUUAGUGCGAGUCUUUUAUUCGAACAUGGAAAUCUCCGCAACUCGCCUAAAUAGGAUAGUUACUCAAGUCGGUGGUGUGCCUAUAGAGUUUGAUGAUGCGAACCUAGCUGACUUUCUUGGUAUCUCUGGUAAGGGGCAUGAUAUUUACACUUCUAGGAAAGCCCUUUUCUUUGACAGUUUUUGUCAUACUGAUGGAGUCCGUAAUAUAUGUCGUCGACGAGACUUGUAUGAUGAGAUUUGUUUGCUUCCUUUUCGGUCUCAACUUUUACCUCUCCAAGUUCGCAUUCUUUACACUAUUUUACAGCACAUAGUGACACCUAGGAAGGGUCACUCGGAUGAGGUUACGAGGUUGGAUAUUGGCCUACUAGAUAGCCUACUUUUAGAUCGUCCCAUUAACCUCGGGUAUGUUAUUGUGCGGCACAUGUUGAGUACUCCCGCAGUUAACCACUGCGUGCUUCCUUAUGGCAGUAUCAUUAUUAAGAUACUGCGACGCUUUGAGGUGCCUCUUCUUGAUACCGGUCAUAUGGAGACUAGACGGAUUGGUCCUGAGGCCAUGACUAGUAUCGGUUUUUCUAGGAAGAAUGGAGAGUGGAUAAAGACAAGCAACUCCAAAAACCGGGAUACCUUGAUUGCUCCAGAGGACGAUCGGAUGCUCAACGAUAUCUAUCCUCUCGAUAAGCUUCCUGACUUUAGAUUAGGGGCCCAUCCUCAUCCUUCGCGUCGCCGUUUUGUCCCUCGGCCUCCAGCUGACUCUGACUCUGACUCUGGGGAGCAUGCGAUGGAUGCUGACAUUCCCUCCUCUUCCGAGCCGCCUCCUGCUCCUGAGCCAUCUGCUGUUCCUGAGCAGCCAUCUACCUCUAUGCCGCCUCCACCUCCAGUUCAGCCCCCUGCUUUAGACAUUGUGCAGCAGUUGAUUGCUGAUGUUCAUCGGCUUUCGGAGCGCCAGCAGCUGAUUCUUGAUCGGUUGGACACUGUUUCCCGUGACCACCAGCAGCUACGUUCUGACUUUCAGACCUUCCAGCAGCAGUGCAUUGAUCAGCAGCUUGAGCUUAUCGCUGGACAGCGCACUCUUCUCAGCUAUUUCGGUUAUGAUCCGGGGAGCACAUCUUCUCCACCUCCAUAGUUUCUGAGUUCUAUUUUCGCACAUACAUUUCAUAUUUUGGUUGUUUGCGUGUUAUCAUUUAUAUUUCUAUAUACACUGUUACAUCUAUAUGCUCUUUCUGGAUUUUGAUGACAUAUUUUUGUGCUGUUCUUGAUGUUGGGUGACUUGAUAAUUGGUUGAUGAAAUUGUUGGUUUGUUGGAUAUUGAAGUGUUGGUUUGUUUGUUCAUGGUGUUGUUGGUUUGUUUGUUCAUGGUGUUGUUGGUUUGCUGAAAGAUGGAGUUGUUGUUAAUAUAUUUUGGAAGUGUUUUAAUCUCAUUUUGUAUUAGUGGUUUUGCUCAUUUUUAAGGGGAAACUCUGCUAAAAUUUUCGUUCGCCAAAACCAGGUAAUUUCUUUAACGGAUUUGCGUUUUUCUUUUCUCUCUUUUCUUUUUGAUGAUGAAGGGGGAGAUAAUUAUGGGUAGAUUUAGAAUGAAUUUCAAAAUGUUUUCUUGAACAAAAAUCUUUUUAUUGAACAUUUCUUAAUUUGGCCAUAUAUUUAGGGGGAGCACUUAUUAAGGGGGAGCUAAAUAUUGAAUGAAGUUUGUCAUCAUAAAAAAGGGAGAGAUUAUUAACAUGAAUAUGUUAAUAAUAUUGAUUUUGAUGAUAACAAACUUUAAAUGGUUUUUGAUAAAAAUGUUGGAGCUAUUCCUUAAUAAACAAAAGCCUUAAUAAUCAUUCCAUUCAUAUUCAUAAAAGAUGGACUUUCAAAUUAGAAAAAGAUUCUCUGCAAAAUCUAGUUUAAAAUGUGAUUCUGGAAAUAAACGGUGAACUGUUUUCUUUUAAAACGAUUAACCGAUUAAUACCAGAGAGCAACAUAUUGCCUAAGCUCUAACCGUUUAUGAAAAACGGAAAACACAAAAGAUGGGAAGGCUACUGAAAUUUAAUGGCGAACCUUUUAUUUAAACGGUUAAUCGAUAAAAUCCAGAAUGAAAGUUUGUACCUGGAAACAAACGGCAAAAGCUUAAUUGAAACGGAUAAGGCUAACUUGUUUUGCAGGUUAUUGGAAACAAACGACGAACCGUUAAUUACAAACGGCUAACCGAUAAAUUCCAGAAAAGUUAUUUCGUAUAACUCUUUAACCGUUUAGUAUGAACUAACAACUAAAGCUUAUAUUGCAGGUCUCUGGAAUUUAACGGCUAACGGGUAAUCCUAAACGGCAAACCGUUUAUUUGAAAUUUGGCCCAACGGUAACUUUUAACCAGCCGAAACGGUUAACAAUUAAUGGUUAACGGUGAACUGUUUUCGGGCCGAUAGUUUGUAACAGCUAGUUUUUCAGCUCCAAAUAUAAAUAAGCUCAUUCAAAUUCAAAGACGUUUUGAUCACAACACAACUAUUGAGCUUAUAUUCGAGAAUACAAUCUUCAUAGAGCUUAGAACACAUUCUUGCUUCAUCUAUUCACAUAUUGGGCAUCAUUGUGUAAUCUUAUAUAUUGUGAGAGACAAAACAAAUUUAAAAUCUUUUGUUUUGAGUGAUUGUAAGUGUUGGGAUACACUUGGAUUAAAGAGAUUGGGAUAAUCUCUUGUUGUAAAGGUUAUUGACACCUUGGAAGUCAAGUGCAAGCAUUUGAAGCCUUGGAGGCUUGCUUAGUGGAAUCCUCAAGUCCGGAAAGCUUGGAGGUGUGGACGUAGGCGAGGUUGGCCGAACCACGUAAAAAUCUCUGUGUUUGAAUUUCUCUUCCCUUACCUUUUUAUAUUGUGAUCAACUUAAUUGUUAUUGCUUUGAAUUUGAAUUAUAUUUGCUUUAAGUUUUUCUUUAUAAAUUGAAUAAUUUUUAGAAUCCCAAUUCACCCCCCUCUUGGGUUGCAUACUUGUAUUUCAUUUUAGGGGAAUCAUAGUCAUUUCACAAUGAACGAGAAAUCAAAUGGCAAAACGGACAUCACUUUUAAACUCAUAACAGUCGAAAACCUUAGAAGGAGCAUAAAAGAAAAAAUGUCAUUGUUCACAUGUACAACACUAUUCAUAUGUACGGUACUGUCCAUGAUACUGUCAUGACACUGUUCACACAUACGGAAUGAUGAUGUGGCAUUGACCGAUGAUGUGGCAUUGACUGAUGAGGUGUCACGAUUCUAUUGGAUAAAAUUUAUAUACACUGUUGAUCGGUGACGUGGCAGCAUGUUAGUGGACCAAAAAUCGCGCGUACGGUACAUGUAUAUACACAGGAUUAUUUUCAACCAAACCGCGUCACUGUUCAAGCCGGUUGAGUGUUCAAACCACGUGGUCAAACCGUGUCACUGUUCAAACCACGUAUUGUUGACUGAUGACGUGGCGCAAUCCUGAGCGUCCAAACUAUUUUUAAUCCGAUGGCCAUGAUUUACUCAAUGUAUCUAUAAAAAAAGGGCCUCCCCCUCUAAUUUGAUAUCUCUGAAUCUAUUUUUGGACUCCAUUUUCUAUAAUUCCUUAUCUAUCUUGUAUUUUCUAUGUAUUUUAAUAAAUUCUCAUUUUGCCCCUAGUUCAAUUAUGAGUAGCUAAUUUUCUUUCAAGCUUGGGUUGAAGGUGAAGUCUCAACAUGUGCCAUGGACUUUAUUUGGUAAAUUUAUUUUCUCUUCCCUUCUAAUUUUUGUGGAUGUUUUGACUUUUCGUCGACAAAUAAUAAUAAUCUUGUCUAGAUACCGCUUUGGUUUCACCAGCUCCCUAGUACAAGGUUAUUAUUAUUUGGCACGAUAAGCCCUUAGCACCAUAUUGAUUAGAGUGUGGUUCAUGAGGUGUGGAUUCCCCCUUCAUGAUUUUAUUGGCACUAAUAAAGAAUAUUUAGCCCAUGGUGCAUGUUGAUACGGAUCCAGAUACCCAAGCGCUUCAAUUAUAAUAGCUUCCACUUUAAUUUAAUUUCACCAUUCCAAUUUAAAUUCUAAGAUAGUCUAAAUCACUUUCACCACAACCACCAAUUUAAUUCUACACACAAUUAAAAUCCACCUCCUCGUGGGAUCGACACUCGUCACCAUUAAUCUAUUCUAUAAUAGAUUCGUGCACUUGUGAGUUCAAUAAAAUUUGCACAACACUGAACCAUCUGACCAACCUGAGGAAGAAUGUGACAAGUCUGCAACUGAAACUUCACCAACAUAGGCAGAGGAAGAGUCUGAGAAAGAACGUGAGGAACCCCCAGUCAGGACCUCUUCCAAGCUCAAGAAAAAGCACAUCAUCCAAGAAGAGGAAGAAGAAGAACCUGAAGAGGAGCCCCCCAUUCCAAACCUUUCGAGAAAGGGCAAGGAAAAAAUAGCUACCCAUCCUGCCUCUGAAGAUGAAGCCGAACGAGUUGAUGCAGAGCUAGAAGCUGCAGUAACCAGAGUCACUUGUACACCCAUAGAAGCCAAGCAGCUACUUGACAUCAUUGCCGCUAUCACAGUUGAGGGACAUACAGCUGAUGCACCAGCUCCAGCUCUUCCACAGCAAACUCCUAGCAAACCUGUUCGUGCUAGUCCUAGAGGAUCCAGCAAAAGAAAGGGCAACACUUCUGGAGGCAUUGCUGCAACAGCCUCACCAGAACAAAAAAAAGACCAGAUCGAUGUCACUCAAGCAAGCUGCCCUAACUGCAACCCCUCCCACCAGCCCAUUGAAGAAAAAGAAAAAGGUGUUGCCAGCCACCUCCCCACAAGAAUCUCCAAAGGAUAAGCUGCGAAGUGCAUCCAAAAAGCGCUGAUGUCAUCACACCAUGUUGCAGCAGUGCCCAAACAACAGAGGAGUAUCCCCUUCCUGCUAGUCAUUUUAUUCAAUUCUGAAAAACUUUUCUUUCAUUAUGUUUUCAUUUUGUGUGGUUUAUUUUCUAAAUUCCUCUUCCAUGUCCUUGUCAGGUUGUGUGAAUUUGUUGUUGUGUGCUUGUGAGGACACAACACCAUUUAAAGUUUGGGGGGAAUAGAUGUUUCUGGGUGUUUUGGAUAUGUGUUUAUAUAUGUGUUGUGUGAAGCUCUAUUAUCUAAUAUUUGUGUAUGGAUUUGAAAAUCUAAUGAAGAUAAAUUGAGUGUUAAUUAGUGAUUAUAAGAAUGACGAGUAGAGAUAGUUAUAGAUAGAGAGUGUAAUUCUGUCCUGACACCUAAACUUUGGUGGAGUUUUAUGAGAAUGCUGUAGCAGAGCCAAAAGAAUAGAAAUUAUCUUAAGUUUGGGGGAAAAUUUUACUGGAUUGUGCUUGCUAUGAAAUAAAUUCUGCUCCAAUGGCUCAAGUUGCUGAGUAACCAGAGCUGAGUAUGUACCCCAUAUGCAGAUUUGUGUCCAAAGGCAACAAGAGUUAUGAGUAGUGUUGUAGCAUCUGUUAUAUUGAUUGCUAUAUAAAAAAAGAAAAAAAAAUGAGACAAUAAAAAGAGAAAGUCCUCUGUCUAGGAUAUUGAGUAGGCAGGUCUGUUCAUGAGCCUCAUGUUCAGCCUUGAGUUAAAAGAUAUCUCUAGAUAAAAUUAUGUUACAGAUAUUGCUACAACAACUCUGAUCUGUGCAUGGCUUGAGUAAUUGGGUGUCAUCAUUAUAAUUGAUUGGCAUUCACAUGAAAAAUAAAUGUUGCAGUGAAGAGGGUUGAGUACUCUUAAGUUUUCAUUCUUAAAAAGAGCAAAAUUUGAGUAUGUGAGAUUUAUGCUACCCCAUAUGUGAAUAAAAUUGUGCUACCUCUGAAUUACAUGCAAUCUUUUGGUAAUGUUGUAGCAUUUCUAGAAUUCAAUCAAAGUAGCACACACACACUUUGGACAGAAGGAAGCUUAAGUCUAGAACUGAUUUACUAUGGCCAUUUUGCAUGAUUGAGAUUGUGAUCUGAAGGUGGAAGAAUCCUUGUAAAUUUGAUAACAGAGCUAAGUUGUGUGUUGCAUGAUUGUGUGCGUGAAGUGUUAGUAUGUUGUCAUUACUUGAGGACAAGUAACGGUUUAAGUUUAGGGGUGUGAUAACUCUAUAAAAUGAGAGUUAUUACGGCAAUUCUAGACUUAAAUCAAGACCACUUAGAGAGUAAAUGAUGUGUUUUUAUUAUAAUUUGGUUAUGUUUUGCAUAAACAUCCAUUUUAGUUUAGUCUUAAUAAGUUUUGCUUGAUUUAAAGUAAUUUGUGCUCAAAACAUGUGCAUAAUUGUAGGUUUUCAGAAGUUUAUAAUCCAUGAAGGGAUGCUGAGAUAUUAGGCUAGCAUGAAGAAGAAAAAAUAUGGCUGCAAAAUAAGUGAAACACAAUCGGGAAUAGUACAAUGUUAUAGCCGUUGCUGGAGCGACCAUUAAAGUAGCAAUCCUGGAGCACCGAGGGAGAAAACUUAGCGCGGAUUAGCUGCAUAAUUGCGAUCUACAGUUUCCUAAUUUGACUCAUGUACGACCGAGGCUUUUGUUUACCCUAGUUUACAAUUAUAAAAAUAGGCGCGCAUCAUAUAAAAUGGCGGUAAGGAAUUAUCCUUGGGGAAAUUGAAGAGAAAAAGAAGAAGAAGAUCAGAAUUCAAGAGAACGGAUGCAGCGUCAUUGAAGAAUCCAGCAGAGUUAUUUGGAUUCACUUUUUGCCGUUCUCGACUUAUACCUUUCUUUACUCUUUGACUGAACUAAUGUAUUUCGUGACCAAUAUGUUGCUGUUUGUUUUUCUCUUUCAGAAUAUGAACUAAACUUGCUUGUAGUUGAGUGACAAACAAUCUAAUGGGUUCUUGACUGUUCUUAUGAGUUACUAUAUAAUUGCUGCAACAUUUUACUCUAGUAGCUAUUAUUAUAACUGUUAUUUCAGUUGACCACACAUUUAAUGGUUUAAGUUAAGAUAGAGCCGCAAAAGGGCAUGUCGUUGUGGAUAUUAUUAGAGUAAUACUUGAUCUUAAUUUAAGUUUCCUGGAUUAAAUUUAUCUUGAAUCCCAUAAGGGCCAUACUUGAAGUUAAGAUUUGUGAUAAACUAGACAUAGGUACUCACCUUAUAGGGUGGAGAGAAUGGAUGUUCAUAGUGUCAUGUUGUAGGUAGAAUAACAACUGAUCAUUGCUAAGGUACUUAAGAGUAUGAAAAUUCUAAUAUGCGACAGCUGAGGAUGCAAAAUAAUUCUGCCCAGUGCUAUAGAAAUUGCUGUAGCAACUGGUGUUAACUUGAUGAAAAGCAGUUAGCCCAUAAAGAGAGUUUGAUCAUUCAACUACCUUAUUCUCAUUUGAUUCUUUGACGCAUUUUAUUUAAUUUAUUUCAUCACUGCAUUGUUUCAUUUUAUUCUCUCACAAUUAUCAAUUUCAAUAGUACAUUUGUCCAUCUCGGAAUAAAGGUAUAUUGCACUGUUGUGAUUGCUAUAGAAUUUCUAGUAACAUCAAUCCCUGUGGAGACGAUCUUGAAUAUUCAUCACUUUAUUACUUGUGUACACUUACACAUUGGCAUCAAUAGCAUUUGAUUAAAAAAAUCACUAACACAUAUUCUUUGGGUCUCCGGACACAAAGUUUUCUAGUUGCAUCAUAUAAAUUGUCUCAUCAAUAUCAUCAUUGAGAAAUAUUGUCUUAUCAUCCAUCUGAUGUAACUUAAGAUUAAAAUAUGCCGCCAAUGUCAUUAUAAUCCUAAAAGAGUCUUUUAAAGAAACCGGACAGUAAGUUUCUUUAUUGUCGAUGCCUUCUCUCUACGUAAAGCCCUUUGCGACAAACUGCGCCUUGUACCUGUUUACAUUGCCUUUUGAAUCCCUCUUGGUCUUAAAUAUCCAUUUGCAAUUAAUAAGUUUCGUACCUUUUGGCAAUGGGACAAGAUCCUAUACGUCAUUGUCUUCCAUGGACUUCAUCUCCUCAUUCAUGGCAUCAAUUCAUUUAUGAGAGUUAGAACUUUCUAUGCCUUGAAGAAAAUUAAUCGAAUCAUCUUCCAUCACAUUGAUGUCUACCUCAUGUUCUUGGAGAAAUACAAUGUAGCCUUAUAGCACUACACUUCUCCUUUCUCUAAUGGAUCUCCUUAAUAGCAUAGGUUUUUAAGGUGUUAGAGUUUGUUCUUCCAAAACAACUUCUUGUAUGGGGGUUCUUAACAUUGUCUUGAUUUGUUGUGUCUUCAAUAAAGUCAGGAAUGAGACCCUAAUCAAUGCCAAUAACACCUAUGGGAAUAUGAACAUAUUUCUCUUCAAAGACAAAGUCCUUAACCGUAUCUCCUCCCUACAAGCUCUACAUCCUUAAAGAACGAUGCAUUUCCCGACUCGAAAAUCAACUUUGUCCUGGCAUCAUAAAACUUGUACCCCCUAAAUCAUUUAGAGUAUCCAAUAAAAUAACAACUCAUCGUCCUUGAGUCUAGUUUCUUCUCAUUAGGCCUAUAAGGCUUGCCUCAGCUAGACAUUCCCAAACAUGCAAGUGCUUUAGACUAGGCUUCUUACUCAUCCAAAACUUAUGAGGGAUUUUGGCAGUUGCUUUAGUUUGAACUCUAUUAAAGAUAUACACUUGCGUCUUAAGUGCUUCUCCCCAGAGUGAUUCUAGUAAGGUAGAAUGACAAAUCAUACUCCUCACCAUAUCCUUACGCGUCCGAUUUCAUCUUUUGUCUUCCAACAACACCUUAUCAUACUCCUCACCGUAUCCUUAAGCAUCACGUUUCAUCUUUCAAUAACACAAUUCAUACUAGGUGAACUUAACAUAUUGUACUGUAGGAUGAUACCGCAUUCCUCUAUGAAUUUAGCAAACGGUCCUAAACCUUGUUCACUUGAACCACCAUAUCUGCCAUAAUAUUCACCACCACGGUCAGAACUGAUGCUUUUAAUUCUUUGGCUAAGUUGAUUCUUAACUUCAACCUUAAAAUUUUGGAACAUAUCCAAGGACUGUGACUUUCCAUAAAAGAGACAUUUGUAGUCAUAUCUAGAAAAAUUAUCUAUGGUCGUUAUUAAAUAUUGUUGACCAUUCCAAGCAGCCAUAGGGAAUGGCCCACAAAUGUCCGUAUGUAUGAGUUCUAAGGCAUCCAAAGUCCUAUCGGCUUCAAAUCUCCUUUUACUAGUUUUUUUUCCUUGAUACAGUUAACACAAAUAGCAAACUCUGUGAAAUCUAAGGGUUUGGGAAUUUCGUCUGACACAAGUCUCUCUAUUCUCCGUCUAGAUAUAUGACCCAAACUCCUGUGCCAUAACACAACUGAAUUCUCAUUGGUUAAUUGUCUCUUUAAACUUCAUGUACUAAAUUGUAAGGAUUCAUUAAAUGAAGCAAUUGUAUCAACCAGAUAAAGAUUAUCAUUACUUGACAAAGAACCAGAAUCAACCAGUUUUGAAUCAUGAAAGAAACUCAAUUUUCUAUUUUCGAAUAAACAAGAAUAACCAAAUUUGUCCAAAGUGGAAAUGUAAAUCAAAUUUCAUCUAACAAAUAGAACAAUAAAUGUUUCAUUGAGAUCCAAAUAAAAUCCGGUCUUCAAUAAUAAUCUGAAUUUUUCAUUUGCUCCAACUUCAACAGUCUUGCAUUGCCCACAUAGAUGUAUCUUUCACCAUCACCAGGCUUUCGACAAUUCAAGCAAUCCUGCAUAGACAUACUGAUGUGAGUUGUUGCACUAGAAUCUAUCCACCACAUGUGUCUAAGUACUGAAGUUAAAUUAAUCUCAGAACAAACCAAACCAUAACUUUCAGCUCCAUAAAAAAAGUAAUUAACAGCUUUUGGAUCAUCCGAUUUCUUUUGUUGUUUCUUUUGAGGUGUUGUAUAUGCAACUUUCUUAUUCUUGUUCUUUUUCUUACUUUUGUCCUUGCAUUUACACCUUAUUGAAAUUAGGCUUGUCAAGAGUAUAUCAAUUUUAGUCUUUUUGUUCUUAACAAACCUCUGUUCAAGUUUUGCAAGGAACUCCUUAGCUGUAGUUUCUUUUCAAAUAUUAAACCCCAGAAUGCUUCCAGAAUAUUCUUCUUUAUAAUCAUCACACAUGCGAUUUGAUCUCUCCUACCUUUCAAUAUCCUUCUUGUUAUCAAGGGUACUUUCAUCCACAAGAGGUGGGGGAGAAUCAACCCUUAACACAAUGUCAAGAUCCAUGACUGUGAGAACUAUUAAGAAGUUCUCUUGCCAUGACUUGAAAUUAGAUUCAUUUAGCAUAGGAAUAGAAUUAAUGUUGGCAGUAAUACUAACAACAGACAUAACUGAACAGAGAACAACAAACAAACAAAACAAGCUCAUAUUAGUCUUAAAACAAAAUUAAAUUCAAAUAAAGGUAAACUCCAUCUCAAGAUUCUGGACACUCCAUUAAUAUUUCACAUUUGGACAAAUUAUUAACUUGUAAGUGAUAUUUUGAUAUAGUAAUCAAAUACUAAUAAUAAGAACAUGUCAAAUAAUAAAUCUUCUUUUGGGCCAAUUUAUUGUUCACAUGUAAAACCAAAUAAUCAUCACGUAUUUAUUACCACUGGUACACAUGUAAUUAUAUUAAAUAUGGACCUUCAAUUAAUUCUUCUAAAAAAAUAUAUAAACAUACGAAUAUUUGAAUUUAAGAUUGCAUCAAAAAUUACCAAAAAUAAAAAAAUUUGGGUUAAAGUCUGGUCAACGGUUAAAAUCAAUGGUAAGUGGGAAAUGGGAACAAUUCCAAUUAAAAAUAUUCUAAUUAUUUUACUUAUAAUUUUAUAAUUUUUAUUUUAAUAAAAUAAAUUUCUAAAUAUGAAUAAACUUUUAGAUAUAUGUAAUUAGGUUCACCAAAUAUAUAUAAUUAUUUUAAAUAAUGUAUAUUUUAUAUAUUUUUUUUAUAACUUUUGAAUUACAAACCAAAUCUAAGCUUAUCAAGUGAAGCCCAGUCGAAGUAUGCCUCAUCCGUAGGCUGGUUAUUACUGACCCCGCAUUGUAGGAUGGAUAUUUUUGACAUUCUGGGGAUCGGAAACAACUCCAACUCAAAUCUCAUGCGAUCAAGGUCAUUGGACCUUUCUACUCAAAAUAAAUGCUUGUCUUAAGAAGACCAAAUUACCCAAGGAACCAGCAAUAUGAAAGUGACGUGACUCGAAAAACUUUAUUUAGUUAUGUGUUUGAAAUAGUAGUGAAACAGUAGUGAAAGCAACUUCUAGAGUCCAGGUACUACUAUAAAAGAAAGUGAAGGGACAAUAUUGAAGAGAGUUUCAAAUAAAGAGAAAUCAAAAUAUCAACUUCAAUUCAAAUAUGGAUUUGUUAAUUAACUGCAUACAAUGGCUUGUAUUCACAUUGGUUUGGGUGAUGGCUUUAACUUUCAUUUCCAGAGGACGACACAAACAACUUCCACCGGGACCGAGGCCUUAUUCAGUGAUCAGAAACCUUCUGGAGCUGGGUGCUAAACCUCACAAGUCACUGGCCAAGCUUGCCAAGAUUCAUGGGCCCAUAAUGAGUCUAAGACUUGGCCAGGUAACCACAGUAGUGGUUUCUUCUCCAAGCAUGGCCAAAAGCCAUCCUUCAAAAUCAUGAUUUAUCAUUUUGUGAUCGAAUGGUCCCUGAAGCAAUCUUGUCACUGCCCUUCCCGCACCAUGAAUUCCAGUUUCAACAAUGUGGAAAAAUCUUCGAAAAAUAAGCAACAUGCAUAUUUUCACUAGUCAGUGAAAGAAAACAGAAAUGUGUUGUUUGGCUUAAAGGAAAAUUACAGAGAAAAUGAAGAAUGAUUUCCUGAAGAUUCAAUUCUUGUUUUAUUCAUCAGUCAACACAAGCUUAUAUACAAUUACUUACACGUGAGAAUAAUUUGUGACUAACUAACUUUCUUAACAAACAAAACCAACUACAAUUUGUUACAUCACAGUUUCAUGAGCUGUCACUCCUCACUGGCAAUCUCCUGCUGACUUGGCUUUACUAAGCUACUUGAAUAAUGAGCUGCCUUCACAGCCCCCCUCAAACUCAAGGGACAGGGCAUGACAUUGAGUUUGGCUCUUAGAUACCUAAACUGAGUGAAUGAGAGUGGUUUGGUCAUGAUGUCAGCUACCUGCUCUUCACUUGGUAUGAAUUGAAUAUUCAAAUCCCCAGCAAGAACUUUGUUUCUGACAUAAUGAAUAUCAAUCUCAAUAUGUUUUGUUCUUGAGUGAAAAACUGGAUUAUGAGCUAGCUCAGUAGCUCUAAGGUUAUCACACCAACUAACAGGCUUUUCCAUGCACUGUAAUCUCAGUUCAGAGAAUAGUGAUUGCAGACAACUUAUCUUUGCACUUGCUGAUGCCAAAGACCUGUAUUCACUCUCGGCACUAGACCUAGCAAUGACUGGUUGCUUCUUAGAUGACCAAGAUAUUAGAUUAUGACCAAGAUAGAUGCAAUAAGCUCCAACUGACUUUCUGUCAUCUAAAUCCCCUGCCCAAUCUACAUCUGUGAAGCCUGUUAAUUUCAUAUCACCAUCUUUAAUAAACUUGAGUCCAUAAUCUUGUGUUGCCUUUAAGUAUCUAAGCACCCUUUUGCAAGCCAUAAGAUGUUGCAGUGUUGGUGCAGAGACAUAUUGACUCAAUUUAUGCACACUGAAAGCAAUUUCUGGUCUUGUUAAUACCAAGUAUUGCAUUCCACCAACAAUGCUUCUAUAAUGUGUUGCAUCUUCAACAUACUAACCCAGAUUUCCUUGAGCUUCCUUCUGCAGUUUCAUCCCUGUACUCAUAUGAGUAUCAAUGUCUUUGCAGCUGAGCAUGCUAACCUUUGACAGUAAAUCCCUUAUGUAUUUCUUUUGAGACAAGAAAAUACAAUCUGUACCAUAUAGCACUUCAAUGCCUAAGAAAUAAGAAAGUGCUCAAAGAUAUUUCAAAGCAAACUUUGUACUGAAUUCAACAAUGAACUUUUCUAGCUCAGAACUAUUUGACACUGUUAUUAAGAUGUCAUCAACAUAUAUAAGGUCUAAGAUCAUUGAGGAUUUACUUCUUUUUAAGAACAAGGAAGUAUCUGAACUGGAAUUGGUAAAACCCCACUGCAGCAAGCAUCCUUUUAGCUUAUCAUACCAAGCUCUUGGAGAUUGUUUAAGUCCAUAAAGAGACUUAUGAAGCUUGCACACAUAAUUUGAUUUCUCAGCACUGGUAAACCCCUCUGGUUGAUCCAUGAAUACUUCUUAAGAUAACUCUCCAUUAAGAAAAGCAUUAUUCACAUCAACUUGUCUUAUCUUCCAUUUACUCAUCACAGCUAGACUUAAGACUACUCUCACAGUUGCUGGUUUUAUGACAGGACUAAAAGUUUCAAAACAAUUCACUCCCAUAAUCUGUUGGAACCCCUUUGCCACUAACCUAGCUUUGUAUUUAGCCACACUUCCAUCAGUAUUGUAUUUCACCUUGUAUACCCAUUUAUUUCUGACAACUUUCUGGUCAGCUGUUAUGGGCACUAAAGACCAUGUAUCAUUCUCCAUUAGUGCUGUAUAUUCUUCUCUCAUGGCUGUAAGCCAUUUUGGAUUUUGCAUAGCUUCAUACACAGAGUCAGGUUCUUUGUGAACAAGGGUUGCUAUAUAAAGUUUUGGUUUGAAAAUACCAGCUUUGCUUCUGGUAGUCAUGGGGUGUGUAUUUAGUUGAAUGAAAAUUGAUGUGUGAGGUAUAGUUUGAGGUGGAGAUGAUGAAGUUUGAGGCUCAAUAGAUGGUUUAUUAGCUGGUAGAUGUGUUUGCAAAUGGGAAUGUUGAUUGUCAAUGUGAGAAGAAUUGUCUGAAUUUUGUGAGCUGCUUCUGGUAGGAAUUGCUGACUGAGAAUUGCAUAAGCUGUUCACAACUAACAUUGGUGUUACAGGUAAUGUAGAUAACUAGUAUACUUGUUGAGAUGUAAGAGAUGAAUUUGAACAGAGUGAUGACUCAUUGGAAUUAAAGGCUGAGUCUGUGGAAAAAGGGAAUGUUGACUCAUCAAAUACAACAUGUCUAGCUAUGUAUAUUUUGCCUGAUGAAUGUAGACAAUUGUAUCCUUUAUAGGCUGGACUAUAGCCAAGGAAGAUGCAUUUGCUUGAGUGAUAAUCAAACUUGUGUUUGUUAUAGUCCCUUAAGUAAGGAUAACAUGUACACCCAAAACACUUGAGCAUGCUGUAAUUAGGUUUAAGUUUGAAAAUUUUCCCAUAAGGAGUAAGAAGCUCCAGGGCUGUUAAUGGUAGUCUAUUGAUGUGAUAAACAGCUGUAUGAAAAGCAUCCCACCAAAACUUAAAUGGUAGCUUGGCUUGUGCUAACAAAGUAAGUCCCAGCUCAACAAUAUGUCUAUGUUUUCUUUCUACCAACCCAUUUUGGUGGUGUGUAUAGGGGCAAGAAUGUCUGAAAAUGAUUCUACAUUGGUUUAAGAAUUGUGUAAAUGAUCUAUAUUUUCCCCCCCAAUCAGAUUGUAGGUUCUUAAUAGUGGUGUCAAAUUGGUUUUCAACCUGUAAUUUGAAUAACUUGAAAACAUCUAAUGCUUCUGAUUUCAACUUAAGUGGAUAAAUCCAAAUGUAUCGGCUAAAGUCAUCAACAAGGCUUAUGUAAUAGUUAUAGCCAUCUCUAGAAGGUGUGGGUGAAGGCCCCCAUAAGUCAGUGUGUAUAAGUUCCAGGGGCUUUGUUGUUUUGGUUUCUGUGCUGGGAAAGUGUAACCUGUGAGAUUUGCCCAUUUGACAUGCUUCACAUAAUUUUCAAGUGCUUGCUUAACGGUAUUGUGGGAAAGAUUAACAGAAGAAACACUUUUUAGCAAAUGCAUCAGAAUUUGAGAAUUUGGAUGCCCAAAACGUCUGUGUAAAAGCUGAACUUUAUUUUGCAAUGCAUCACAAGAUGAAAUGUAACUGGAAAAUUUAUUGAUUGAUGCAUUACAAGAUGAGACACAACUGGAAUAAUUAUUUUGAGUGUUUUUAGGAACACUUGAAUCAAAGGAAUAGACAGACAUCAUUGAUAAAGGUUGAACAGGAAAGAACUGAGACAAGUAAGCACAAUGAACAUGUUUAGAUGGCUUUAGAAGCAGCUUAUACAAUCCUUUCUCAGCAAUUCGUUUCAGAAGCACUUGUUUCUUCAGAGAAUCCUUCACAUAACAGACAUUACCAACAAAUUCAACAAAAAGAUUGUUAUCGGUUGUCAGUUUUGAUAUGCUUAGCAAAUUCUUUGUGAUAUCAGGCACUAAUAACAUGUCUUUAAGUAAGAUAUAUGUUGGUUUAUAUGCACCAUUUGACCCUUUAUAAGUAAAACAUGCAUUACCAAUAUGAGUUAUAGGCAAACCUUGUCCAUUGCCGAUGACUAGUUGAUAAGAUCCUCUAAAUUCCUCUCUGACAUUCAUAUUAGCCAUACUGUUGGUCAAGUGAUGCGUGGCACCAUUGUCAAGGUACCACCCUUCAUCAGUAGGUCCUUCAUAGUUGGAAAGAUAAGCUUCAGGAACAGUUGAGUCUGCUGCUGGAUAGGAUGAGUAGGAUAGAGGAUUGUAGCAUGGAUAAGGUGCAGUAUAUUGUUCUUCAAUUAGAGGGACAAUAUAACUGGUAAAUGGAUCAAAAUUAACUACAUAAGCAGCCUUAGGUCCAAAAGAUUUGCCUUUUCCAAACUGUUUGGGUAAUGGUGGAUCAUCAUAUCUAUGCCAACAUUCAUCUGUUGUGUGUCCUGUUUUGUGACAUAUUUGACAUAUAACUGGUGAUUCAUCAACUUGCAUGUUGACUGGGGGAUGGAGAUUUGGUUUCACAGGUGGCCUAAAAGAUUGCAUCAUUUGUCCUCUACCAUAACCCCCAAAGUUACCAAUACCAGUUGAAAAACCUCUUGGAUAUUGGUUAUGAAACAUGCCUCUGCCAGCAUUGAAACCUCUAUUCACGGAUCGACCAUAAUGUCCAUUUCCAAAAGCACCUCUUCGAAAAUUUCCUCUCAUAUAAGGAUGAUGCACAUUCAUUGUGCUGUAAUUUGCAUUAAACAUAGUUUUGGUGCCUUGAUUUUGUUCAAGCCUAGCUUCAUGUGUCAACAGUAAUGCAUAAGCAUCAUCAUAGCUCAUCUUAUUUGCAGUAAUUAUUGAGGCUAGAUCUAGAUAUCCUGGACCUAAUCCAUUUAACACUCUCAUUAACAAAUGCUUCUCAGUAAUUAUAUCACCAGCACAAGCUAAUUUAUUAGCAAGCAAUUUCAUUUUGGCACAAUAUUCCUCAACAUUCAUUGAAUCUUUUCUCAGAAUAUUCAUUUCAUAUCGAAGUUGCAUUACCUUAGCUUCAGAUUGAACUCCAAACUAUUUUUCAAUAGAUCUCCACAUAUCAAAGGAGGUGUCAUAGUUGGGAAUAGAACUUAGAAUACCUUCACUGAUAGUUGACAAUAGCCAGCCGAGAAGUGUUUGAUCCUGUGCUCUCCAGUUGAUGUAAGUUGGAUUUUCAAUGCUUUCACCAGAUCCUCCUGGUAGAAAUUGUUCUGGAACAAUUUGUGGCUUCGAGAUAAAUCAUUCAAGACGAUUUCCUCUGAUUGAAGUUAAUACUUGCUUACGCCAGAGUAGAAAAUUUGAUCGAUAAAGUUUCACAGUCACUACAAAUGUAAAUGAAGUUUACAAAGUUUGAAUUGAGUUUAUGAUUAGUUGAUUUGAAGUUGUAUUACUUGAGCUAGCCAUUUGUGGCUCUGAUACCAUGAAAGAAAACAUAAAUGUGUUGUUUGGCUUAAAGGAAAAUUACAGAGAAAAUGAAGAAUGAUUUCCAGAAGAUUCAAUUCUUGUUUUAUUCAUCAGUCAACACAAGCUUAUAUACAAUUACUUACACGUGAGAAUAACUUGUGACUAACUAACUUUCUUAACAAACAAAACCAAUUACAAUUUGUUACAUCACAGUUUCAUGAUUUGUCACUCCUCACUGGCAAUCUCCUGCUGACUUGGCUUUACUAAGCUACUUGAAUAAUGAGCUGCCUUCACAGAAACUCGAUGCCAAUCAAGAGCUCCGGCGCAAGAAAAUCAAAGACCUUCUUGCUCAUGUUGAAGACAAUUGCCGUGCGGGUAAAGCAAUAGAUGUUGGCCAAGCUGCUUUCAAUACUUCACUUAAUUUGUUAUCCAACACAAUUUUUUCUAUUGAUUUGGUUAAUCCCAAUGAGCGAGAGUUUAAGGAUACAGUUUCUGGUAUCUUGGAAGAAGCAGGAAAGCCUAACUUGUCCGACCAUUUUCCUCUUCUCAAAAAGUUUGAUCUGCAGGGGAUAAAGCGCCGCAUCACAGUUUAUAGUGCCAAGAUGCUCGAGGUGUUUGAUCGCUUGGUUGAUCAACGAUAGAAGCAUAGACAAGAACAUGGUUGCAGUUUUAGCACCGAAUGUAAAGAUAUAUUAGAUACUCUUCUCAAUAUUAUCCAAGACAAGAGUGUUGAGAUUGAAACAAAACAUCUCAAGCACUUUUUUUGUGGUAAUAUUUCUUUUCCUUUUUCUUAAUUUCUAGUACAAAUUACAAGUUAAAUAACAGUGUUCGUAUACCAGGAUUUGUUUAUUGCGGGGAAUGACACAACUUCAAGUACAAUGGAAUGGGCAAUGGCAGAACUACUCCACAACCCUGAGGCUUUAUUGAAAAAAAAAUUGGAGUUAGAACAAACAGUUGGCAAGUGUAACCCAAUUGAGGAAUCUGACAUCACUCGGCUACCUUAUCUACAAGCUGUUGUUAAAGAAACUUUGAGAUUGCACCUUGCAGCUCCCUUAUUACUUCCCCGCAAAGCCACAAAAGAUGUUGAAAUUACAGGCUUCACAGUGCCAAAAGGUGCACAAGUUUUUGUCAAUGUAUGGGCUAUUGGCAGAGAUGAAAGCACAUGGGACAACCCUCACACUUUUAUUCCCGAAAGGUUCUUAGGGUCAAAUGCUGAUUUCAAAGGCCAGAAUUUUGAGCUAAUUCCCUUCGGAGCUGGACGACGAAUUUGUCAUGGUUUACCAUUGGCAAUCAGAAUGUUACAUCUAAUGUUGGGUUCACUUAUUAACUCUUUUGAUUGGAAGCUUGAUAACCACAACAUGGACAUGGAAGAUAAAUUUGGCCUCACCGUACAGAAGGCUCAACCCCUUCAUGCUGUCCCUGUUGCCAUCUAGUUCUAUACUAUAGUUCGUAGCCAAUAUAUAAAGCGCUUGGUGGUAGCCACUAUAUAAAGCGCUUGGUGGUUAGUUAUAUGUGUGUGUAAUCAUUCUCAGGUGUGGGCGCUCUCAUUUUUUUUUAUGUAGACAUGCAACUUAACAGAGUUAAUCUUCAAUAAACUAUAAAGUCAUGCGAUUUAAUAGUAUUAAAAACUGACUCUAUUAAAUUGCACGGCUUAAAAGUUUGUUCACAUGAAAAAAAAUGAGAGUUCCCGCACUAUAUUAUCUCCUAUAAUUUAUUAGCAUCUAUCUAAUUAUUCAGCUUGUUUAAUCACUUUUGAGUGGAUUAAUAUUUUAAGCAAAAUAUGUAAAACUUUGAAUAUAACAAAGGAUUGUUAUAUAUAUCUUUUAAUAAAUCUUAUUUAAUCAGUACUAGUUUUGCAAGUGAGGACGAUUUUUUUCCUAUCUCAGCAGUUGAAAUUAUGCGAUUAUCCAUUAAAUGUUUGCGCGAUGUUUUUGUCUUUCUUGCGUAAAAAAAUAUGCAUGCAGGGUCAUAUUGAGUUUUUUGCAUGGUAUAUACAAUAUCAGUCCAAGUCAUCAAGCUAGCUAAUUUGGCAAUUGUAAGAUUUUGUCCGCACCACCGACAUCUUUAAAUAAUGAAUUAAUAGAAAUGGAAGCAAGAUAUAUUGCAGAAAUGUAAUUGUCAAAAUGUAAUUUGUCAGAUUAAAUUAGCUAGUCAAGUUACGUACGGAUAGAGAAAUUGUUUAUCUAAAAAGGCUAAAGUGAGAGCGUAAUAAUAGUAUUAUUUUACUAAAACUUUCUCAAGGUGUAAGAGUCCUAGAGUAAGAGCCUAAUAGCUUAAUAUGAGAUUGGCAACUAAAGUUGUGCACAGAUAGAGAAACUACUUGUCUCACAAGCAUAAAGUAAGAUCCUAAUAACAGUAUUGUGUAACUAGAACAUUCUCAAUGUAAGACCCUAAUAAUAGAAUCGUCGGACCAGAACAUUGAGGAAAUCAAACUUUAGACUUUGACUUCGAAUUGUAUUGGAUAAACGGCGUGGCCCAGAAGCUGAUAGAUAAGUGCCCAAUAAUAAUAUUUAAGACAAAUCUUAACAUGCACAAAUUAUAAAGUUGUUCAAUUUAGUCAAAAAAUUAAAUAAAUAAUUUGUGAGAUUGUGUAAUAUUGUUGUAUGAUUGAGAAAUUUUUUGUAUGUAAUUGGGAUAGAGUAAGAAAAAAAACCAUUAGGAGAAUGUAGUUUGGUUAUAAUAAUUUUACACAUGGUGGAUAUUAUUUAGUCAUUCUUGAUGGCUACAUUUUUUCUUUGAUAGAGAAGUCUUCCACGUAAAAUUUUUGUUAUGUGAUUGAUAUUAUUCUCCACCUUUAUUUUGUUUAUAUGCUUGUUUGACAUAUUUUGCAGAGAAUUUGGGUGGGAACCAAAACUUCCUAACAUUAUUUAUCACGGAGAUUUUAUGAGUAACAUAUUUUUUGUAUGUAAUUGGGAUCUAGAUCAAAGAUAAAAAUACUAAGAGAAUGUGGUGUGGCUGUAAUAAUUCAUUAGAUAGUGAAUUCAAUCUAGUUGUUCAUGACGGUCAUAUUUUUUGGCCAUAUUUUUCUUUAAUAGAGAAAUUUUCCAUAUAAAAUUUGUGUUGUACAUAUGAGUAAUGUUGUUCUCCGCCUUUAUUUUAUUUAUAUACUUGUUUGACUUAUUUUGGAAAGAACUUGGUGGGAAUAAAAAAUUCCUAACAUUACUUCUUUCAGAGAGAUAUUUUUGUGCGUGUAAUUGGGAUUUGGAUCUAAGAUAAAUAUUUUGGAAGAAUGUGACUUAGUUGAAACAAUUUUUCGCAUGGUAAACUUUAUCUAGUUAUUCUUGAUGGCCGUUUUCUCUAAUAGAGAAAUUUUCUACACAAAUUAAUUUUGUAUGAACAAUGUUAUAUUUUGUCUUUAUUUUAUUUAUUUAAUUAUUUAACAUAUUUUGCAGAGAAUUUAGGUGGGAACUGAAACUAUUUAACAUUAUUCUUUGCAGACUUUUCUGUGUUUAAAGGUUUCACUCGUACAAAAGAAAAACAAUGGGGACAUUCCAUAAACGCCUUAGAAAUACUCAGAGUUGUAUCUUUCUAGAAGGACGUCGAAGUCUUUUUGCUCGGAAACAUCUCAAAAAUAUUAUACAUUCUUGAAUUUUCUUAUGAACCAAAUACUAAUUUGAGCAUCUGAGUGUUUUUGAGCAGAUGCCAAACAAAUGCUUGGAGCUUGGAGCUUGAAAACAAGGGAGCACAAAUUCCUCAUUUCCGAAAAUAAAGAUCGCACAUUCCAUCUUCAAGAAGGAAAAAUGGUAAUCUCCCAAAGUUAUGAAUCAAACAUUACAAGUUGAGCAUCCUUUGCUCUACACAAAUCUUGUCAAAUUUAUGUUCUCAAAUUGGAAUAGAAACUAAAGAUGGAAAAAAAUAGAGGAGCUUCAUAUAGAGUUGGAAAAUUUCCAUUCCAUCGUCGAAUUUUUUGAGUGAAGAUGUUACGAAAAGGAAACAAUCUUUAUGAUUUUUGUGAAUUCCCGAGAUCACGAUUCUAGAAUCCUCAAGAUAUGUGUGUAUAAUUGUAUUUAUUAUUUAUAUAAUCUCUUUCCUAUAAUUAUAUUACUUCGUUCCUAUGAAAGCUCCCUGUAAAGCUUAUAUAAAUGCCCUGCGUUGUACAUACAAGAACAGUAAAAUAUAGAUUUUCUAUUGAUUCUCUCACUUGGUAUUAGAGAGAGGUUGAUCUGUGUGUCUCUCUGGUUUGCUUUCUUUUUGAUUUCUUGUCUCUUUUUCCUUUCAUUGGUUGUUAUUAUGGAAAAAUUAGAUGUCCCACCGCCGAUUCAAGCCAUAUUAGAUGGGCACAAUUAUAUUUUAUGGGCACAGGCUAUGCUUAGUUUCUUAAGGGAUGAAAACUUUGGUGUUUUGUUACUAUAUUGUAAAACCUAUUGACAAUGAAUAUGAUGAGAAAUUUGCUAAUUGUCUUGAAGAUUGGGAUAGCCAAAACUAUCAGAUAAUUAUUUGGUUUCGAAACAUAUCGGUACCUGUUGAGAAAAUAUGCUCUUUAAAAGCAUAAGUGUUUAUUUAAUUGUAAUAAACAUUUUUUUCUGAUUAAUAAAAUUAAUGAGGUAUUUUAUUCAAAUAUCUUAAUUACAUUAAUAUUUUCAUCAAAGUCCAUUUAAUCAUAUUAUAUGUAUUUAUGUGAUCACCAUGUGGAUUCACAGAAGACAUAAAUAUAAGCUAUCUUAUGAUUAAAUAAAUUUAGUUCGCAGUUGAUAAAUAAAGUUGGGCACUUUAUUUAGGUAUAGACUGUAAUGAAUUCAUUGAAUGAUUUGCGGUAGGGAUGGUUAGUAGAUAUCAAUCUAAUCCUGGACCUGAACACUGGACUGCGGUCAAGCAUAUAAUGAAGUAUUUGAAAAGAACUAAAAAUUAUAUGCUUGUGUAUUCUGGUGAUGAACUCAUUCCAGUGGGUUAUACUGAUUCUGACUUUAUGUCAGAUAAGGAUUCCAGAAAAUCAACUUCCGGCUAUGUGUUUACAUUGGGAAGUGGAGCUAUUAGUUGGAGUGUGAAACAAUCUUGUAUCGCAGACUCCACAACUGAAGCUGAAUAUGUGGCUGCAUCCGAAGCUGCAAAAGAAGUUGUAUGGCUCCGUAAGUUCCUACAAGAUCUUGAGGUGGUACCUGCUGUAACUGCACCCCUUAAACUAUUUUGUGAUAAUAGUGGUGCGGUAGCUCAAUCUAAGGAACCAAGGAACCACAAGAAACAAAAACAUAUUGAGAGGAAAUAUCAUCUUAUAAGGGAUAUAGUGUAGAGAGGUGAUGUGGAGGUUACUCAGAUUGCGUCACAGCAAAACUUGGCAGAUCCUUUUACUAAGGCCAUACCUGGGAAACCUUUUAACUUGCACUUAGAAUCCAUGGGCAUGCGUGAGAUGCCAAAUAUGCUUUGAGAGCUAGUGGGAGAUUGUUGGGAAAAUAUGCUCUUUAAAAGCAUAAGUGUUUAUUUAAUUGUAAUAAACAUUUUUUCUGAUUAAUAAAAUUAAUGAGGUAUUUUAUUCAAAUAUCUUAAUUGCAUUAAUAUUUUGAUCAAAGUCCAUUUAAUCAUAUUAUAUGUAUUUAUGUGAUCACCAUGUGGAUUCACAGAAGACAUAAAUAUAAGUUAUCUUAUGAUUAAAUAAAUUUAGUUCGCAGUUGAUAAAUAAAGUUGGACACUUUAUUUAAGUAUAUAUUGUAAUGAAUUCAUUGAAUGAUUUGUCUUAAUCAUGUAUGAAUUUAUUAAUGUAGUAGGACUACAUUGAAUAGGAUCACAUAUGAGAUUUAAUUAACAUUGAAAUGACUGUCAGACUUAUUAAAUCUCAUAGGCAUUGAUUUUACUGUAAUCUUAAUCUUGAGUUAAUUAUGAUUUCAUGAUUGUAAUUGUUAUUCCAUUUGAGUUACCAAUGGGCACGACACAUUCUUGUGGUCAAGAUUAACCGGUAUCUUGGUGGGAGCAAUUAUGAGUAUUGGAGUUAUGGAUUAACAAUAUAGAAUUUGUACAACACAUCUCUUGAUGGGUUUUCGGCACUUGAUCAUAGAAUUAUCUGGCCAGAGUGUGUCAACAUAUUUAGUAUGUUGAAAAUGAUCAUUAGAGAAAACCAGUAAGUAUCAAGGAACAAGAUGUUAUUAAAUUGAUUGGACAGUUGAGAUAUCAAUUUAAUUAACGAUGUGGUACAAAGGAUUGUGCAGUAAAGAAAUCAAUGUGGUUUGGGACGAAUUAUUAUUCGAGCAUACAAUUAUGGAGGUCAAUUCCAAUCUUUUAGUGGAGUAGAUUUGGAAUUAAAUAAUUAAGCUAGUUUAAUUACAGGCCUAAUUGUUAUAGCCACUAUUGUAUGUUCCCAAAUGAUCCCCAAGUUAGCUCAUUUAGUUGAGUGCACCGCUACUGGACUAAUAAGCAAGAUAACUAGCUAUUUGGGUCAAAAGCCUAAAUAUAUCAUUUAGUGGGAGGCUCCAUUUAAUUAGCUUAUGUGUAAGGGGCCUUAUAUUAUUUUACAUGGUGGGUCCUCUAUUAAAUGAAAAGUAACGUGAGUUUUAUUUAGGGCAUUAUUUGGAGCCUAAGGUUUUCACUAAAGGGAGAUAUAUAAAGGCUUAUUUUCUCUAAAGAAAGAUGGUGAAGCCACUUUAUACAGACCAGAGAAAAAGAUUUUUCUCUCUAUUGUUGAGAGAAAAAUUUUCUCGUGCUAGUUGCUUUGGUAGUGAUAAAGGCGCCCACACGUCAAGUGCAGAUCAAAUCUGAGUCAUAACCUGGAAGAUCAUUGGAUUGCCAGUUCAUGUUCUAACAAGCGUGGUGGUGAUGGAUCGUGAUCUAAUAGGAGUGGUGGUGACGGAUCGUGAUCUCGGAGCGUAAAUCACUUCAGUGGAAAAAGCCAAAUCGGAUUUUCAAGGUACGAUUUCUAGAUUACGUAUUUUUAUAUAUUAUAUGAGAGCGAUCUUAAUUAGGUUUUAUAAAAUUUUUUAAAAAACCUAAUUUUUCCCCAACAGUACCAACUAUCAACUUAAAAUUUGGAUGAUUUGAUAUAGCUAAGUCUUUAUGGGAUUUUCUUGCUCGUCGAUAUACAACUACUAAUUUCUACACCAGCAUAAAUUGUUAUAUAGUCUGCAUCAAAUGCAUCAACCUAGAAAAAGUAUUUUUUAUUUCCAUUCAAAAAUGCAAUUUAUAUGGGAUCAAUUGGCUCUUUCUGAACUUAUUGGGAAACUAGUCUUGAAUUUAUAGCCCAUAGAGAUCGACAAAGGCUGAUUCAGUUACUUAUGCCUUAAAUAUUAGUUUUGAGCCCACUCGGGCUCCCUUGCUCCAUCAGAACCCACUUCCAAACCCAAACUCUACCAUAUAAAAGCUUAUCUUAGAAGAAACGCUCCACUUUGCCAUCAAGACGCAUACUAUAAAUACUGUUGAGCCCACUCGGCCUAUGCAUGCUCGUGCCGUGCUCACUAUGUGUUUCGUACCGUGUCGUACCGUACUGUAUCCACUAUGUGUUUCGUGCUGUGUCUAAUUAUUUUUGUUUAGCUCCGGCCCGGCACAUGCGUCGUGCCUACUUGUACCGUGCCCACACGUGUUGUGCCGUGCCUAAGAAAAAAAGUCCAAUAAAAAUCUUUCGUUUACUUUUUUAAAAAAGUGCAUGCCAAAUUGUUGGCGUACUUUUUUCAAGUUUAUGUAUUUUUUUUAGGUCUAUAUGUCUUUAUUCAAAUUUAAUAGAAUUGAAAAUUCAAAAUUCAAGUCCAUAGUAAAUAAUAAUAAACUAAUAAUAGUAAGAGAAUGUAAUAUUAAUUAUUAAGUUUGACCUUAUAGUAUUAGAAUUUCUUUUAAUAUUUAACAACAAUAAUAAAAAUAAAUUUUUCUUAAGGGUUAACUUAAUUGUUUACUUGGAUUUAUAUAGAGUCAUAGAUCAUAGUUCACAAUAAUAUCAUUAUUAACUCAAGACUUUGACUCUGAAUUGUAUUAGAUAAACGGCUUGGCCUAGAAGCUGAUAGAUAAGUGCCCAAUAACAAUAUUUAAGACAAGUCUUAACAUGCACUAGGGAUGACAAUUUUCCUGACAGGAUCCCAUCCCAUUUGGGACGAGAUUGAGACAUAUUUUUGUCCCAUAAAAAAAUAUAGGGAUGGGAGUGAGACAUUUUUUAUCCCACUUGUAUAUACGGGACGAGUCUGGGAUUGGCAAAUCCCGUCCGAUCCCGUUUCAUUGCUAACUAAGAAUGAUAAUUUUUCUAAUUGGGAUAGGAUCCCCUUGGAUCCCAUCUCUUUUGGGACGAGAUUGAGACAUAUUUUUGUCCAAAAAAAUAUAUAUAUAUAAGGACGGGAGUGAGACAUUUUUUCAUCUCACUUGCAUAUACGGGAUGGGACUGGGGUUGGUAAAUCCCAUCCCAUCUCGUCCCAUUGCCAACCCUAACAUGCACAAAACAUGAAGUCUCUCAAUUUAGUUAAAAAUUUGAAGAAAGAAUUUGUGAGAUUGUGGAGUAUAUGUUGUAUGAUUGAGAAAUUUUUUGUAUGUAAUUGGGAUGAUCUAAGAAAAAAAACCAUUAGGAGAAUGUAGUUUAAUUAUAACAAUUUUACACGUGAUGGAUAUUAUAUAGUCAUUCUUGAUGGCUGCAUUUUUUCUUUGAUAGUAAAGUUUUCCACGUAAAAUCUAUGUUAUGUAAUUGAUAUUAUUCUCCACCUUUAUUUUGUUUAUAUGCUUAUUUGACAUAUUUUGUAGAGAAUUUGGGUGGGAACCAAAACUUCCUAGCAUUAUUUAUCACGAAGUUUUAAUGUGUGACAUAUUUUUUGUAUGUAAUUGGUAUACAUAUCUAAUACAAUUCGAUGCCCGGCCUAGCACGACACGCACAAGGGUUAGGCCAAACUUAGAAUUUUAGGCACGUGGACCUUAAAAACAUGGCACAAUUAAAGAUGGGUUAAGACACGACACGUGAAAAAGACCGCAAUAAGAAUGUUUUCUCUUGUAUAAUGAAAGUAAACUUAAAAUUUUAUGAUUUACAAAUAAUUUGAAAUUGAAUCUUUUAAUAUAUUUUAUUAGCGCGAGUUUUAAAAAUUCAUUUAAUUCUUAGUUUAAAAAAAAUACUAUAAUUGAUUUAUAUUUAUAAUUUAUUAAAUAAAUAAUUGAUAUCAUGAUUUUAAUGAAUAAAAUUAUAAAUAUCAUGAUUUUAUAAAUAUGCAUUGAUAUUAUUGUGAACUAUGAUCUAUGACUCUAUGUAAGUCUAAGCUAACAUUAUGUUAACCCUUAAGAAAAAUUUAUUAUUAUUGUUGUUGUUAAGAAUUAAAAGAAAUCCUAAUACUAUAAAGUCAAACUUAAUAAUUAAUAUUACAUUUUCUUACUAUUAUUAGUUUAUUAUUAUUGAAUAUGAACUUGAAUUUUGAAUAAGGUAAGGGAUAAGUAAUAUAUUUAUAUGAGCACACUUGCAUUUUUUAAAAUAGGUGGCCUCAAAAGCCUACUUGAGUGAUUUUUAAGUAGUUUUUUUAAUUGCCUGUUAUGAUUUGAAUAUUGGGGAGAUAAGGGUUCAAGAUUUGAUUUUUGCUUUAUUGCCUCCUCCUCUACCUUUUUUUUUUUAAAUAACUAACACGCAUAAAUUUAGAUUAAAAUAAAAAUAAUGGUUGAGAACUAAUGGAUUGGAUGAUAUGACAUUGAUGCUAUAAUAUUUAUGCUUCUUUAUUCUCUAUCCUGAUCAACGUUCCUAUCAAAUUUUGAAUUAAAUUUUAUAGGUUAACCCAAAUAAGAGAAAACAAUUGUACGCAACCAAAAAAAAUGAUGAGCUAAAAAAUAGUCUAAAUAUGACUCUAACAAAAUAAAGAAUGCUUUCCAAGAUAACUAAAUUUAAUUUUGUCUUACAUCAAGGUGACACUACUACAAAAUUAAUUAACAAUGAUGGUUUUCAACGGCAUAAGAUGAAGAUUUUAAAACCAACAUCUUAGGUAGACAUUGAAAGAGAUAUACUUUUCAUGGCGGUUCAUUAACCGUCAUUAGAUGUGUAUUUAUAAUUACGGUUAUUUAUUACAUGGUCAUUAUUUGUAGUAUUUACAUAAAUUUUAAUGACGUUUUUUACAAAAAUUAUCAUUAAAGUGUCCUUAAAGGUAUCUUUAAAGGGAUCUUUCAAUUUUUUUUUAAAAAAAGGUCAUUAAAAGGAUUCCUUUAAUGACUAUAUUUAAAUAAUGCUCAUUUAUUAUAUUUCUUUAAAAAAAAUUAUAAGAAUUUUUGUUUAUAACCGUCAUUAAAUUUAUAUUUUUUACAACAGUGUUUACAUAAUAACGUCGUUUUUUUGUCAUUCAUUACCAAAAAAAUAAUAAAUAAUAAGUUGCAAUUCAAGAACCAAUUCAAGCCUAUGGUUCCAUUGCAAUUUCUUAUUAAUUUCAUUUAAAUGUCUCAUUUACAAAAGAUAGCUUUACCCAAAACCUUUAACAUAUAUGAAAAUCCGAUUACCUAAAAAUGUAUACAAAAUGAUAAGUAUGCAUGUGUCAUGCUUGUAGGGAUGGCAAAUAUCCAAUGAUGGACGGAUAUUAUCCAUCCAAACACAAAUCCAUAAUUAUCCAUAAUGGAUAUAUCCAUAUCCAUAUCCAGUAAUUAAUAUUGGAUAUGGAUAUGAAUUUUAUCCAUAUAAUUAUGGAGAUCCAUGGAUAUUUUAUUUUUAUUAUAUAAAAAUAAUAAUAUAAAAUAGUUAAAAUUCUAAUAUUAAAUUUGGCUAUUAAACUAUUUAUAUUAGUAAUAAUAUAUAUAUAUAUAUAUAUAUAUAUAUAUAUAUAUAUAUAUAUAUAUAUAUAUAUAUAUAUAUAUAUAUAUAUAUAAUAAAAUGCCGGUCCGGUGGUUGGUGGUGGUGGUCCGGCAAUUUUCCAGCAAAGUCCGACAGGGUUCCGGCGACCUUCCGGCAAGGUCCGGCGGAGGUCCGGCGAUAUUCCGGCGAAUCCGACGGUGGUCCGGUGAUAUUCCGGCGAAUCCGACGGUGGUCCGACGACCUUCCGUCGAGGUCCGGCGGUGAUUCCGGCGAUAUUCCGGCGAUGUCCGACGGUGGUCCGGCGAAGUCCGGUGGUGGUCCGGCGAUUUUCCGGCGGAUGUCUAUUUAUAAUAUUAAAUCAUUAAAAUAAAAUAAUAAUUAUUAAUAAUAUUAAAUAAGUUAAAAAAUUAAAGGGUAAUUUUGAAAACUUUAAUUUUUAAUAUAAGAGAAAUUUAAAAUUUUUACUAGUUAAUAUAAGAUAAUAUUAGAUUUUGUUGUUUUUUUUAAUUUUAGUUUAACAAUAUAAAUUUUUUUAACUUUAAAUGGAUAAAUUAAUUGGAUUUUGGAUAUCCAUUAAAUAUCCAUACCCAUCCAAUAUCCAAUUGGAUAUUUUUAAAAAUAUCCAUAUCCAUAUCCAAGAAGAUUUUGGAUGGAUAUUAUCCAAUCCAAUUGGAUUGGAUAUAUGGAUAUCCAAUUUGGAUGGACCAAUUUGCCAUCCCUACAUGCUUGUAUAUUUUCUAAUAAUAAAAAAUUAGAAAAAGAAAAAAAGUCUAGUAUUGUAUCUUCAAUUUGCCUUCAAUACUUAGCCAAAAAAAUUUUAUCUUCACAGCCCGCAUAUGAAUUCAAUUCUUUAAAUAUGUCCUAAGGAAACUUCCAGGUGCGUUUUUUCUACAUAAACAGCAGCUAAACAAUAUUUGAAAACUUCCAGAUACUCUUUUUACUGGAUGACAACAGUUAAAUAGCACCUGAAAGUGUUUUACCACGUAAAAGCAGUUCCAGGUGCUGUUUUUGCUGCAUACCAACUAAACAGCACCUGAACACUUACAGGUGUUGUGUUUCUGCAUUAACAAUAGUAAACAGUAAAAACAACACCCAGAACUUCUAGUUGCUGUUUUGCUGCAUAAUAGCAGCUAAACAGCAAUAAAAUAGGCUGUUGUGCUGUUGCAUAGCAGCAAAAUAAUGCAAUUUAAAUUGAAAAAGCAUACUUAACCAAAUGUAAAUCAUCUCAAUAAGAGCACAAACAAAAAGAACAAAUCACUUCCAAAAGCUUCAAUAAUCGUUUUAUUUUAGAUGGAGGAGGAGGAAGAGUUAAAGUGCACAAAGACAAUUUCUUUGCUUUACCUAGUCGAGCUAGUAACUCAAGAAAUCAACUCAUAAUAAAAUUUUUGCUCUACUUAAUUCAUACUAAAAAACAUAAAUAAUUGAAUUAAUCUUAUGGGAAUUUCAUCAAAUAUCAUAUGUGAAUGAACACAUUAUUCGAAUUCCAAACACAGUCCAACUCUAAAUCCAUGAGAUAAAAUCCAAAACACACAAUCUCUUAUCAAUCACACAGUUAUCAUCACAUAAACAAUUCUCGUGAACCUCACAAACACAAUUCUCAUAAGCAAAAGCUCUCCAUUAAUCCAACCUAUAACAAGAAAGGGAGUAACGGACUGAAUCAAAAAGCAAACCAAAUCCCAAAAGAACUUACAAUACCUGACUCCUCAAUUAAACUUUCAUUGCUGUAACUUCUACCAAAAACUAUAAUACAACAAUUUCUGUUACUCAAAUUAGAACUAUGUGUUCAAUAUGCAUUAAGAACUCAACAGAAGCAAAAUCCCACUUCACAAAUCAACCGCGAAAGCUCAAAACUCAACAAUUUUUAGAUUUUGAUCACUAAAAACUUAAUUCCAAAAACCCAUUUAACUAUAUAGUCCCAUAAUCAUGUUUGAAUCCACAUAUUCACCUAACGAAAAUUAAAACCAGACCAAGAAUAUAUAUUUACAAAGAGAAAUUGAUUUAGAUAUGAGAAAGGGACCGUCAAUGUGAAAAGUUAAUUUUGAUCGAUUCCAAGACCAUUUUAUGAUCCUGAACACUUUGAAAAGCCAUUUUAAUGCAUGAAUCAUGAUAAUAAACAUUCAAUGAUUAUAAAUUCAAAUAUAUAACACAUUUAUCAUGCAUAUACAUCACACAAUCAUGAAACAUGUAAGCAUUCAAAGAUUAAUAAUUCAAGCAUAUAACUCAUUUAUCAUGCAUAGGCAAUACAAAGUCAUCAACAAUCAUCAAUCAAUCAAUUUUAAUAGCCUCAAUAACAUAAUUAGAGAUGUUAAUGCGAGAAAUUUCAUCAUCCCAAAUUCAUGCUGAAUUUUUUAAAAUUGUUCUUCACAAAGGGGUUUUGUAAAAAUAUUGGCAAGUUAUUUUUCCGUAGAGAUAAAUUCUAAUGCAAUAUCUCCCUUUUAAACAUAAUCUCUUAAGAAGUGAUGUCUAAUCUCUAUAUGCUUGGUUCUAGAGUGCUGAAUGGGAUUCUUUGAUAGGUUUAUAGCACUAGUAGUAUCACACAUGAUAGGAAUUUGUUCAAGAUUAAUGCCAUAAUCUCUAAGUAUUUGUUUCAUCCAAAGAGCUUAUGCACAACAACUACCUAUGACAAUAUAUUCUGUCUCGGUGGUUGAGAGUGCAACCAAGUUUUGUUUCUUACUAAACCAUGAAACAAGUGAAUGACCUUGGAAAUGACAAGUUCCACUAGUACUCUUCUUAUUGACCUUGUGACCGGAAAAAUUGGCAUCUGAAUAACAAGUUAAAUCUAUAUGAGUUCCUCUAGGAUACUAAAGACCAAAAUCUAUGGUUCCACUUAAAUAACGAAAAAUUCUUUUGAUAGCUAGUAAAUGAGAUUCUUUGGGAUAUGAUUGAAAUCUUGCACACAAACAUACACUAAACAUGAUAUCGGGUCUACUUGCAGUUAAGUAAAGUAAAGUAAAGAUCCGAUCAUACUUCGAUAUAUUUUGAUGUCAACAUCUUUACCUUUCUCAUCUUUGUUAAGCUUAAUUAUUGUGCUCAUUAGAGUGCUCUUGGUCUUUGAGUCAUCAAUGCCAAAUUUCUUGAGUAGAUCUUUGACAUAUUUAGCUUGGUUGAUGAAGAUUCCCUCAUUGUUUUGUUUGAUUUGAAGUCCAAGGAAAUACUUUAAUUCUCCCAUCAUGCUCAUUUCAAAUUCCUUACUCAUACAAAAAUGAAAACUCCUUGCACAUAGACUCAUUAGUAGAACCAAAGAUAAUACCAUCAACAUAAAUUUGAAUAGCAAGUAUAUCUUGGUUCUUAUGCUUAACAAAGAGACUAGUAUCUGAAUUUCCCAUUGAAAAACCAUUAUCCAACAAGAAAUUUUUAAGCCUAUCAUACCAUGCUCUGAGUGCUUGCUUCAAUCCAUACAAUGCUUUUGAAAACUUAUAAACAUAAUUUGGAAAUUUUUCAUUUUCAAAACCAGGGGGUUGUUUUACAUAAACCUCCUCCAUAAUAUAAUCAUUUAAAAAAGCACUUUUGACAUCCAUUUGAAAUACAAUAAAAAUAUUUAUAACAUGAAAAUGCUAACAGCAUCCGAAUGGAUUCUAAUCUAGCUACAGGUGCAAAUGUUUCAUCAAAAUCAAUUCCUUCUUCUUGGUUGUAUCAUUGAGCCACUGAUCUAACUUUAUUUCUUACAAUCACAUCGGAUUCAUCCAUUUUAUUUCUAAAUUCCCAGUUAGUACAACAGAUUGAUGUUCCGAUUGAGGAACUAAUUCCUGCACAUUAUUUCUCUCAAAUUGAUUUAACUCCUCUUACAUUGCCAUAAUCCAAGAUUCAUCAUUUUCAACAUCAGCAAAGGCUUUUAGUUCAAUUUGAGAUAUGAAUCCAGCAUGCUCACAUGUAUUCCUAAGUGAUGAUCUAGUGAUUACAUCUCACGAAGGAUCUCCUAAGAUUAAAUCUUUAGGGUGAGAAGAAACAUACCUCCACUCCUUGGGGAGUGCUUGAGAAGUACCUUUAUUUGGCUCCACAUUUGUUUCUUCAUGUUGCCCCUCUUGAUUUCCAGGCGGUGUAUCCUUUUGGUUAUCAUUUGAUGAAUCUUCUUGUCAUUCUUCAUCUGCAUCAUCAUCAACAACAACUUUCUUCACAAAAGAGGAGUUAGAUUCAUCAAACGUAACAUGCAUAGAUUCUUCCACAACUAAAGUUCUUUUGUUAUAAACUAUAUAAGCUUUGCUUGAGUUUGAAUACCCAAGAAAGAUGCCAACAUCAGAUUUUGGAUCAAAUUUUACCAAGAUAAUAUUUUGUGUUCAAAAUAAAACAUUUGCAUCCAAAAACUUUAAAAUAUCCAAUGUUGGGUUUUUUAUCUUUCCAAAACUCAUAAGGAGUCUUAUUGAGAUAAAGCUUAAUCAACACACGAUUUAAAACAUAACAAGUGGUGUUGAUGACUUCGGCCCAAAAAUACUUAGGCAAAGUAUUUUCAUUCAACAUGAUCCUAGCAAUUUCUUGAAUAGACCUAUACUUUCUCUCAACAACUCCAUUUUGUUGUAGAGUCCUAGGUGAUGAAAAUUGAUGCUCAAUGCUAAAAUCAUUACAAAAAUUCUCAAAUGCAUGAUUUUCAAAUUCUCCACCAUAAUCGCUUCUAAUAUAAGAAAUAUCAUAUCCCUUUUCAUUUUGAAUCUUUUUACAGAAAACCCUAAAUGCAUCAAAGGCAUCAUCCUUAUUAGUUAAGAAUAAUACCUAUGUGUACAUUAACUUGUAUAUGUUCUUUAUAAUGAUUUUGAUGAUAACAAACUCUGAAUGUUUCUGAUUAAAAUGUUGGAGUUUUUUGUUUAAUAAAUAUUUCAUUAAAAAGUCGUAUAAUACUUUCCUAAAAUAUGAGAAACCAUUAAACUUUAAACUGGGAAAAUAUCUUCUGCAAAAUGAUCAUUAAAACUGUGUUUCUGGAAAUAAAUGGUGAACCGUUAACAUUGAACCGGCUAACCGAUAAAUUCUAGAGAUGAGUAUUUUCUUAAACUUGAACCGGUUAGUAAAAAUGGGCAACACAAGUGUGCAGGGAAGGUUAUUGGAAUUAAACGGCUAACCGUUUAUAUCAAACGGUGAACCGAUAAUUUCCAGAAUGGAAAUAUGUGCUAACCUUGAACCAUUGAAGAAAAACGGAUAAGCCUAUUCUAUUUUGCGUGUUGCUGGAAAUAACCGGCGAACCGUUAAUUAACGGCAAACCGAUAGUGGCAAAUGGUCAACCGUUUAUUUGAAUUUCAGCUCAACGGUUACUUGGACAAGUAAAAACGGUUAACCGUUAAUGGUUAACGGCGAUCCGAUUUUGCGUAGAAAGUCAACAACGGCUAUAUUUCAGCUCCAACUAUAAACAAGCUCAUUCAAAUUCAAACAAGGGUUGAUCACAACGUUAUCAUUGAGCUUAUAAUCAAGAAUACAAUCUUCAUUGAGUCAAAAACACAUUCUUAUUCCACUUAUUCUUACAUUUGGGCAUUGAUUUGUAAUCAUAUACUUUGUGUGAGAGAAAAAUAAAUUUGUAAUAUUUGUUUGAGUGAUUGUAAGUGUUGGGAUACACUUGGGUUAAGAGAUUGGGGAUAAUCUCUUGGUGUAAAGGUUGAUUGACACCUUAGAAGUCAAUUAUAAGUGUUCUUGAAGCCUUGAAGGCUUAACUAAUGGAAUCCUCAAGCCUGGUGUGUUUGGAGGUGUGGACGUAGGCGAGGUUGGACGAACCACGUAAAAAUCUCCGUGUUUGAAUCUCUUUUCCCUUAUCUUUUUAUAUUUUGAUUGAUUUAUUUAUCAUUGCUUUUAUUUGUUUUAAGAUUUGCAUCUAGAUUCAAUUUGAUAUUGCAUAAUUCUUAGAAAUCCAAUUCACCUCCCUAUUGGGUUACUUAGAUAUUAUUUUAGUAUAUCUAGAAUAAUCAUCCACAAUCACAAAUGCAUAAUAUUUACCACUUAAACUAGCAUAUUGUUGGUUAAUUUCUAUAAGCAAUUAUUAUCAAUGCCAAUGUGCAAGUAUACACAACAAGUAAUAAAGUGAUGAGUAUUCAAGAUCGUCUCCACAGGGAUUAAUGUUACUCAAAAUGCUAAAGCAAAUCACAAUAAUGCAAAUCAAUUAAGGACCGAAACAAACAAUUGUCGAAUAAUUCUAUGUAACUAAUAAUUGUGAGAGAUGAAAAUAAAACAAUACUGUAAUGAAAUAAACUGAGUUGAAUGUGUCUAAGAUUCAAUUGAGAAUAUAGUAGUUGAAUGAUCAAACUCUCCUAAUGGGAUGACUGUUGUUUACCAAAUUAGUACCAGUUGUUACAAUAAGUGCUGCAGCAAUAGGUAGAAUAAAUUUGCAUCCGCAGCUAUCACAUGUUGGAAAUCUCAUACCUUUAAAUCUACUAACAAUGACCAGUUGCUCAUAUAUUUAUAGUAUGCCAUUUUAACCUGUAAUCUCUCUACCCUACAAGGUGAACACCUAUGUCUAGAGUGUCACAAAUCUUAACUUCAAGUAUUGCCCUUAUGGGAUUCAAGAUAACCUAAUCUAGGAAACUCGACUUAAGAACAAGUAAUACUCUAAUAAUGUCUGCUAAGACAUGCCCUUUUGCUGCUCUGUCUUAACUGAAACUAUUAAAUGGGUGGUCAACCGAAAUAACAGUUGUAUUGAUAAAAACUACUAGAGUAUAAUGCUACAGUAUUACCAUAACAACAUAAAAGAACAGUCAAGAACCCAUUGGAUUAUUUGUCACUCAACCACAAGUAAAUUUAGUUCUUAAUCUGAAUGAGAAAAAUAAACACAAAUAUAUUGGUCUCGGAAUACAUCAAAUCAAUUAAAGGAAAAAGAUAAAUAUAAGUUGAGCACAAUAAAAAUCAAAGUCAAGUAAUUCUGCACGAUUGUCCAAUGUUGCCAAAACAACACUCUUCAAUUCUGAUCUUCUUCUCCUUCGUUCCUUCUAAUUACUCUAAUGAUAAUUCCUUUCCGCCAUUCUAUGUGGUGCACGCCUCCUUUUUAUAUUGCAAAUUAGGUUAAAACCAAAGCCCAUGAGCGUGCAUGUGUUUAAAUUAGGAAACAUGCAGAUCACGACUUUAUGGCUGACUCGCGCUUAAAUUUUCUCCCGCACUGCUUCCAAAUUGCUACAGCACUGGUUGCUCUAACAGCCGCUACAACACUGUUUUAUUCCCGAUUGUGCUUUACUUCUUUUGUGCCCAUCUUCCUUCCUCCUCUUGCUCUUCUAAUGCCUCAACAUCCUCUCACGAAUUUAAAACCUACAAUUUAAAACCUGUUUUUAGCACAAAUUACUAUGAUUCAAUCAAAACUUAUUAAAACUCAUCUAAAAUGAAUGUUUAUGCAAAAGGUACCCAAAAUGUAAUAAAAACACCUUAUUUGUUCUCUAAGUGACCUUGAUUCAAGUCUAGAAUUGAUGUAAUAACUCUCAUUUCCUAGAGUUAUCACAUAUCUAAAAGGUCCAAACAAAUCUAUGUGAAGUAAUUGAAGUGGUUUUGAAGUAGAGACAUGAUUCUUUUUCUUAAAAGAUGUUUUGAUUUGUUUUCCAAAUUGGCAAGCUUCACAAAUUCUAUCUUUUUGAAAAAAGAUUUUUGGAAGACCUUUAACCAAAUCAUUUUUGGAAAUUUUUGAAAUUAAAUCCAUGCUUGCGUGUCCUAGUCUUCUAUGCCAUAACCAACCAUCAUCAUGUAAUGCGGAAAAACAUUUAUCAUGGGUAGAUGCACAAUCUAGAUUAAUGGUAUAAACAUUAACACAUCUAUUUCCUACAAACAAAAUAUUGCCAUCACAUGCAUUCUCAAUAAUACAUCUAGUUUUAUAAAAAAAAUAUUUUCAGGCUUUGAGAGCAAUGCUUUUCUUCUUCUCCUCAUUUCCUUUUUCUUCUGCCAAGUCUUUCUCAUAAGAAAUAAGAGAACUAAUCAAAUCAUCAAUAGAUAAGGUAUUUAAAUCUUUGGCUUCCUCAAUGGCAGUCCUCUUAGGUCUCCAUUCCUUUGGAAGUGACCUAAUAAUUUUCUUAACUUUCUCGCUAUUUAAGAAGAUCUUUCCUAGGGCUCCUAGAGUGUUUACUAUGUCCAUAAAUUUAGUAUAUAUAAAAUACACACUCUCAUUUUGUUCCAUUUGGAACAAUUCAUAUUGUCGAGUGUAUCUACUAAUUUUAAACUCUUUCACUUGAUUUGUGCUUUCAUAAACAACUUCAAGUUUGCUCUAAAUUUUCUGAGCAUUCUCAAAACUAGACACUCUAUGAAAUUCUUUCUUAUCAAGAGUACAAAACAAAGCAUUCAUUGCCUUGGAGUUGAAAGAUAUUUUUUUUCUUUUCUAACUCACUUCAUUGACUUGAAGGAUUUAGAAUAUCAUCUCCUACUUCUUUUUUAGUCAUAGGCAUGAAUGGACCAUCACAAACAACUUCCUAAAUUUUAUAAUCUAAAGUUUGUAAAUAAAUUCUCAUCCUAGUUUUCCAAUAUGGGUAGUCAUUACCGUCAAAGAACAGUGGUUUAGUUGUGGACUGUCCUUCCCUAAAGGUUGAGUCAUUUUGGUUUGCCAUGGAUCUUUUUCUUUAGACGGUUAAGUCCUAACAAGAGAACCAAGCUUUGAUACCAAAUAAAAUGCAAGUUAUGCAACCCAAGAGGGGGAGUGAAUUGGGAUUUUAAAACUUAAGCUAAACAUGUCACACAACAAUGUCAUUUGAGUUAACUAAUGCCCCCGCAACAUUUAUGGACCUCAUAAACCGGGUGUUUCAUCCUUAUUUAGAUCAGUUUAUUGAUGACAUUAUGAUAUAUUCACGUAACAAGGAAGGACAUGUAGAACACUUGAGGAUUGCUUUACAAACAUUGAGACAUUGACGGCUUUAUGCUAAAUUUAGUAAAUGUUAAUUCUGGCUAGAUUGAAUUGCAUUCUUGGGCCAUGUGAUUUCAGCUGACGGUAUUUAUGUGGAUCCCUAGAAAAUAGAAGCUGAAUUGAAUUAGGAGUGUCCAACUGGUGUAUCUGAGGUUAGAAGUUUUCUUGGAUUGGCAUGUUACUACUGCAGAUUCAUUUAAGGCUUUUCAAAGAUAGCUUUGUCUCUAACGAAACUGACAAGGAAAAAAGGGAAUUGCUUAUGCUUCUAUCAGGCAUAGAGGGAUUCAUACUUUAUAAUGCUGCUUCUAGACAGGGAUUAGGUUGUAUAUUGAUGUAGCAUGGAAAGGUAAUUGCUUAUGCUUCCCGACAAGUCAAGCAACAUGAACUGAAUUAUCCGACACAUGAUUUAGAGCUCGCAGCAAUGGUAUUUACUUUAAAGACUUAGAGACAUUAUUUAUAUGGAGCUACUUGUGAGAUUUAUACAGACCAUAAAAGCUUAAAGUAUUUAUACACACAAAAGGAAUUAAAUUUGAGACAACAUAGAUGGGCCGAGUUAAUUACAGAUUAUGAUUAUAUUAUCAAUUAUCAUUCAGGCAAGGCGAAUGUGGUAGUUGAUGCUCUCAGUCGGAAGUCUUCGAGUUUAGUCUCUCACUUAAAAAGUGUUGUACCUUUCGUUAUUAAUCGAUUUGAGGCCCUUGGGUACAAAUUUGGCAGUGGGUCAGAAUGAAGCACUUUUGGCACAUUUUCAAGUUAGGCCAAUUUUGAUUGAUCAGAUUCGAGAAAAAUAAUACGUUUGCAUGGAGCUCCUGUGUCUAUUGUUUCAUAUAGAGACUCACGAUUUACUUCUAGGUUUUGGCCAUCGCUACAACAGGCUAUAGGUACUAAAUUAAAUUUUAGUACUGUUUUUUAUCCGCAGACAGACGGGCAAUCAGAGAAGGUUAUUCAGAUUUUGAAAGAUAUGCUUCGAGCAUGUGUCAUGUAGUUUCAAGGUAAUUGGGAUAUGUAUCUGCUUUUGAUGGAGUUUGCUUAUAAUAAUAGCUGUGAGUCUAGUAUUCAGAUGGCACAAUUUGAGGCUCUCUAUAGAAGGAAAUACAGGACUCCAAUUUAUUGGGAUGAAGUCAGAGAAAGACAUUGUUAGGGCCAGAAAUUGUCCAGAGUACUAAUGAGAAGAUUAAUGCCAUCUGAGAAAAGUUGAGGGCACGAAGGACAAACAGAAGAGUUACACAAAUAAGCUGGAAGACCAAUUGAGUUUGCUGUGGGUGAUAAAGUUUUCUUAUAGAUUUCUCCUUACAAGGGCAUUUUUCGAUUUGGAAAACGUGGAAAGUUGAGCCCUCGUUAUAUAGGCCCAUAUGAGAUUAUUCAGCGAGUUGGUUUGGUUGCUUAUCGUUUGGCUUUACCUCCAGAGUUAUCAAGAGUUCAUGAUGCUUUUUUAUGUUUCGAUGCUAUGAAAGUAUAUUCCUAACCCUUUUCAUGUUUUAGAUACAGAACCAGUCCAAAUGACAAUAAAUUUAACUUAUGAAGUAGAACCAGUUCAGAUACUCGAUCGGAAACAACAUGUGUUACGUAAUAAGAUGAUCACAUUGGUUAAGGUAAUGUGGAAGGGUCAUAAAAUAGAGGAAGACACUUGGGAGCGUGAAGAACAAAUACGGUCACAGUAUACAUAUUUAUUUCAGUAAGGUAUGUGAAUUUCAAGGAUAAAAUUUUUGUAAGUUGGGAGGAAUUGUCAUGCACGGCUUGGAAAAAAAAAGGCCAAGCGUGGCUGAUUUCAAGAGCAACAGCCAGCUGCAUGCUCAUCAUUUUGGUUGCUUGCUUCACCAGCUUGCUUCAUCAAUUUACUUGUUAUCUUGUUUAACUUGGUGGCUAUAUAAAGCACAAAUGUUGAGAGUGCUUCAUUUUAUACAUCUAAAGGAUUGAGAGCAAAACUGAGAGAAGAAAAGAAGAAAAAUAGAGAGAAAAGAGAAGAGAAAAGAGAAGAAAAAAGAAAAGAAAAGAAGAAAAGAAAUAGAAAGAAGCUGAGUAUGGGAAAUGAAGUAAAAUUAAGAGGAAAUAAUACGGGAAUUAAAACUGGACAAUUAGAUUUAUAAAGUGAGUUAGUGGUAAUAGAUUUAUGAAAUUUAAGUAGUUAUGAUUUAAUUUACCUCCUACGUAUAAGUUCUUAUAUUAGUUCUAAUAGUUAAUUUUUGAAUCCUAUAUUCUAGGAGGAACUUGAUAAUUCAAUAACCUAGAAGAGCCCCAACGAGCCCUAGAGUGAAACAGGAUCUGUGAGUGAAUACUAUUACUAUUAUAUAUUCCAUGAAGCGUUUAUUUUUGAUAAUAUGAUUUAAUAUUAUGUUAUGAUUACAUGUACGCACAUUAUAUAUUUUAUUGAGUCAUGAGAUGUGAUUGUCAAUCACCAUAUAUGUAUCCUUCCCCAUAGGCUCUGCGCAUGCGUAUUGAGGUUAUGUUACUCUACCCGUGUGAGAUAGUUUAAUUAUGCCGGGUAUUGAGAGGCUUUUCCCCUCUUUACUCGUUCGAUGAUGAUCCCGACGAGUAUUGAGAGUUAGGUUACUCUACCCGUGCAAGAUAGUUUAAUUACGUUGAGUAUUGAGAGGUUUUUUCCCCUCUUUACUCGUGCGAUGAUGAUCCCGAAAAGCAUUGAGAGUUAUUUCCCCUGGUUAUUAUUUGGUGCAGUUUGUGAUGUAUGUAUGUAUGAAUUCCAUGUCUGUUAAUGUAUGAUAUUUGAUGUAGAGUUAUGAUCAUGUAUAUAUAUCCUAAUACGAUAUUUUAUAUAUAUACGUAUAUUUACAUCCACUCAUUGAGCUACAAGCACACUAUUUUUCUAUUUACCCUUUUUAUCCCAGGAUUCUGCAGGAUUUCGUGCAGAUUAGUUCUAAUUAAUUGAGGUUGGGCCACGAGACGCAUUGCUGCAUGUCUUGCAUUUUGAGCACUUUUAUAAUGCUUUUUUUUAUAUGUAUAUUUAUAAUUUCAGUGUCAGUAUGUAUAAUGAGACAUGAGCUAUGCAAGUUUUAAAUACAUAUAUAUUUUCAGAAAAAGGCUCAGAGGUUGUUACGUGCUUAUAGUAAAGGUCAUAUUAUAUACAUAUAUUCAUGAAUUAAAUUUGUGCCACGAGUUUUAGCUACUAGAUCGCAUGAUUCGCCUCGGAUUCGACAUAUAGAUCAGGGCAGGUCUUGUCAGAUAAUGAUUCUGUCAUUUAUGUCUUUAUUGCCUUGCCUUUUUCUUUUGGCUUAUAUUCCCUUUUUGCUUUAGCUUUAGCUUUUCCUUUGUCAAAAUGGUCAGUCAAACUUGGAUCAUGAUUAUCGAGCUUGCACUUGAGGUCAUCAAUGGUUACUCCUUCUGAUAAGAAUCCAAAGACUACCCUUCCUAUAUCUGAGUCGGUGUAAGCCCUUAUUUCCUUGUCUUGAUCAUGAUUCCCUUAUGUUGAGAUAAUGAAUAGAGAGAGUUUAAGAGGCUGGUAGUUAUCAUCUUUAUUGUGAUAAUAAUAAAACUUAAUCCACCAUCUUGUUGAAAUUAUCCUCAUAAGUUUUGGGACAGUUUCUUUUGGACUAGUGUGACACUUAAAAUUAAAAUUAUAUUCCCACUUCAUGAUGCAUAAAAUAGCAUGAGAUCCUACGAAAUACAUUGUGUUCUCCAGACAGCUUCCAAAGCUGUUCUUGUCAUAGAAUUUAUCAAAACUUUCCUUUAGGGGAUAAGGUAAAAUUGCAUUAUCCAAUCCCCAAAACUUGAACAGAAGAAUUCAAAAAACCAGUUAGGGUAUUUGAAAAAUUCAAAGAUAAUGAAGAACUGUAAGUGCAACAUUUUUUCGUUCUGGAGAAACAGAGCUUGUUCCCAUGCAUGAACAUAAUCAUAAUAAUUAUAUUCAGAGGGUUUAAGCCUCUUAUCUUUAAAGCGUCUUCUGAGUACAGGCGUAGCCUCUUAUCCUUAUUGUCGUAUGUUGAUGAUCGUUAAGACCUUUAUAACUGUAUAACCAACUUUUGUGUCACCACGAGCAAGUUUCUGUUAAGACUUGCUCAUAAAAUCAUUGAUCUUUUAUAAGAAUGUGAUAAUGAGAAUAACCUACAAGAUAAAGGUCAGCCACAUCAUUUGGUUUUAAGUUGAUGUGUUCAUCUAUGAAUGCUACAGGAAUUAAGUCGUUAAGGUAGUAAGGGGUUUCAUCCAUCUUCUGCAUCGUGGUUGGGGACGCUUUAAGUUAUCUUUGAGAUGAAGAUCAUGAGCUAACUUUUCUUGAAGCCCUACAAGAAUUCUCUAGUUAGAAAAUCUGUCGAGGAAUUAUUUUCUCCUCUUACAUACUCUAUAUUAAAAUCAAGGACAGAAAGCAUAGCUUGCCAUCUAGCAAAUAUCAGUUUCGAAAUUAUAUUUUUGACAUCCAUUUCUAAUGCAUCUUUAGCAGACCUGCAAUAUAUUCUAAGGAGGAAUUUUUUGUUCCAAAAACUAUCCUGGAACUUGGAAGCACAUAAAACCACUAACAAAAUUUCCUUUUUUAUGGUUGAAUAGUUUUGUUGAGUAGGUUCCAUGCUCCUGAAGUGAACCUAACUAAACUCUUUUUGCCCCCCAAAAUUCUUUGAGGAUACUACCACAGCCUAGGUCUGAGGCAUUAGUUUUUACUAUGUUAGAGGCAUCAGGAUGGGUAAUGUUAAACAUGCUAGCUCUUUAACUUUAAGCUUAAGCUUUUGAACUACCUUUGUACAUUCAAGUGUCCAUGAAGAAGGGUUUUUUUUCGCAAUCUAGAAUAUAAAGGUUUAGCAUCUUUAGCUAGAUCUUGACAGAAGUCUAUCUAUGUAAUUAAGACUUACUGUAAAUCUUUGCAAUUACUUUUAUCCCUAAUUUCAUCAAGAAAUUUUAAAGUAGAUUCGACAGCUCUAUCAAAUGGCUUGAUCGUCCCUUUAGAAAUACUUUGUCUAAGAAAAUUGACGGACGUUUGGAAUAACUUCAUUUUCUUGGACGAAACAACUAUACUAGCAUUCUUAACAGCUUCAUAAAAAGCAUUCAAAUGCUUAAAGUGCUAAUCUAUAAACUUAGAAUGUAUUCGAACAUCAUCAAUGUAGACAACAAUAAAUCAUGUAUAAGAAUUAAAAUGUCAUUCAUGAUGUUCUGGAACUCUGACGGGGCAUUUUCUAAACUAAAUGGCAUUAUGUUUCAUUCGUAAUAACCGAAAAGGACUGCGAAAGCUGCCUUGUUGUAACAUAUGUGAAUUUCAAAAUAAAAUGAGGCGGUUAAGGAUUUUGGAGGUUCAGGAUUUUAUUAAACAAAAGAAGAAGCUGGAAAAAACAGAGCAAAAAACCAGAAGCUACACGUGUGUGAGAGAGUGAGAGAGAGAAGCCGUCAACCCGACCCGAAAACCCGACCCGGAACCCGCGACCUUGACCCGACCAUAUCUCCCAUUUCCGGCCACCGUUUCGGCCGAGCUUGGUACCAAUCUGAAGCUUACAAGCCGUCCGUCGUUCCCCUGCCAUCCUCGCUGCCGAAAACCAACCGUAACGCCGGUGAUCGAAGCUUUAAACCCGCGACUGUUUCACUUUACUCCGCCCGGAUUUUCGCCGGUUUUGGGUGACACCACCGGUUGGAUCUUGUUCCCCACGACUCCCUCUUCCACUUCCGAUCAUCCAUAGGCACCGAGAGUCACUGUUUUGCCGCCGGUCGAUUGUUGGAAUUCACGGCUGCCGAGCUCGAUUCCGGCGCCUUUGCCGCGCGUUGGAGCUCACCGCCGGUACCAAUGAACUAAGCGUGAUUGGAACUUUCAGAUUUGAGCUUCCUAGCCAGCGUUGACCAAAUUCCGGUGACCGUUGACCGGCAAUGGCAUUUUGGUAAUUUCACACUAUGAGGGCAAUUUUGUAAUUUCUGAGCCUGUGGAUAUUUUAGUAAUUCCUAGAAUUGAGGAUUGGGUGUAAUUACGAUUCCGAGGGUAAUUCGGUGAUUUACGAUUUCAGAGCAUGUUAAUGAUUUACGGACUCAAGGGCAUUUUAGUAAUUUUAUGGACACUGGAGUUGUCAAUUUUAGAUAGAUGUUCGUUUUGAGUUUAUUGCAUAAAUUGAGUCGUAAUUCCAAUUUACGGAAAAUAAUUAUGUCGUUUCCUUGAUUUAGGAGGAUCUACGAGCGAUAACCGGUCCACGGACGUGGACGAUAACCGAUCGUGAACACUGUCACUGUGAGUGGAAUAUACAAAACCUAUUUUCAUAGUUAAUUAUGAUAGUAAUGCAUGUUUGUGAAAUAAGUAUUUUGAAUGUUCUGAUUUAAUGAUUUCCUCGAAAUGGAUUUUUAUUUACGCAUUGGUAUUUUAUUAAAAUGUUUGGUUCUUGAUUUGCGUAUCGACUUUGAAUAAAGCAUGAUAAUAUUUUAAAGAUAAGAAAAGUGGAUUCAAAUGUGGUAUGAUUUCAAGUAUGAUUAAAAGAUAUGUGAAUAUGAGUAUAAUGAUUGUUUUUGAAAUCAUUAGACAAUACAUUUCCCCUCCAGAUACAGUGAUACAGGUGAUAUGAGAUGAGAGGCCUUUGGGGCCCGUCUGAACACACAUAGAGGCUUUGGGCCGUGUGUUUGAGCGCUUUUGCCUUUUGGGGGCAUAUGCAUGCGGUAUGAUGAUUACAGAGAUACAGAUAUAAGAUACAAACAGAUAUUGAGAUACAGAUGAUACAGAUGAGUUACAGGCCUUUGGGGCCCGUCUGAGUACACAUAGAGGCUUUGGGCCGUGUGCUUGGGCGUUUUAUUAUGCAUGCACAAAUAUGAUGAGAUAUGAGAUGGUAUUUCCCUGUCUAUCCGUGUAGCUCCGGGGCAUGACGUUACCCAGAUAAUACGUCAUUGCCCGUCCGUUGAGGUCCGGAUAUGACGAGAUUAUUUCCCUGGGUACUUGUUUGGUGACAAUUUUCAGAUUUGUGAAUUCUAUAUGAUAUUGUGAUAUGAUUUCCAUGGUUAGUAAUCUGAUUUAAAUGUUUAAUGAUUUAUUAUUGAUUUCUCGCUUAUGGUUUAAUGAAAUCGUGUUUGGAAAUGAGAUGAUUAUUUCUUUUAAAGUAAAAAUUAAUUUUCAAAACUACUAUCCACUCACUGAUCUCACUGAGUUUUAAACUCACCCUGUUUUUAUUAUAUUUCCCUCCCCCCCUCACCAGGAGGUUGCAGGUACACCAGACCUACCCAGCGACCGUAAAUAUAUUUUGAGUCUUGGCCACGUGAUGAUGUUAGAAGAUAUAGAUGUUUUUGUUAGGACAUCUCGGUCAUCUUGUUCUUUUGGGAUUGUAUAAUUUUUUUAUAUUCUUCUUUUGGGAUUAAGAAUAAACUGAGAUAUUAAUAUUAGUUAUAAUAUUAUCUUUUGAGACUCUGGAGAUAUAAAACUCAGCAUCUUGGUUGAGGAUGUUGAGCACUGGAGUUUGUUGUAUAUUGAAUUGUAUUGGAAGUGUUAUAUUCAUAUUUGUAGAUUGGGAGUGGUAUAUAUAUAAAGGAGAUUCUGCCGAAAAUUCGGCUGAAUCUUUACGAAUAGAAUUAUUAUCAAGUCCGUUUUGAUGAGACUAGAUAGACUCGCCUGGGGGGAUUCGGGGCGGGUCGUUUCAGUUGGUAUCAGAGCAUGGUUUUAGAUUCUGUAGACUUUACUGUCUUUAUAAGACUAAGUUUUAUCUUUAUUAAAGUUAGAAUUUAUCUCUUGUAGGCACCAUCAUGCUUCAUCGUGGCAGUAGACGUGGCCGUGGCCGUACUAGGCCAAUAGUUGGGUUGACUUCUGGUAGUGUACCUGCGGGGGAAAGUGAACCCGCGAAUGAGGGGAUAGUUGAAUCCUCCACGCAUGAAAUUGCACAACAGACACCGGGGAAUGCCCCGAAUAUUGAGCAGUCAUUUGAUAGGCUGGUUCAGAUCAUGACUACAGUUGUGCAAAAUCAGACUCAAGCGCAUGUCGGUAACGCAAACACUAUUGAGCGAGUGAGGAGUUUAGGGGCGAGGAGCUUUAAUGGUUCCGGAGAACCACCUGAGGCUGAGUCAUGGUUUGUUAAGUUAGAGCGUAUUUUUAUCGUGAUGAAGUGUUUGGAGGAUGGCAGAUUAUCCUUCGCCACUUUCUUGCUCGAGGAUAGAGCUUACCAUUGGUGGCAGACUGUGGAGAGACGAUAUCAGGGGCAUGCUGCGAUUACUUGGGCCAUUUUCCGCAAGGAAUUCUACGAUUAUUAUUUUCCUGAUGUGUAUCAGGAUAUUAAACGAAGUGAAUUCUUUCGGUUGGUUUAGGGAUCUCUGACAGUUGAGGAGUAUGAGAAGAAAUUUUUAGACCUCUCUAGAUUUGCUACAUCUGUAGUCGGUGAUGAGAGUGAGAGAUGUAGACGGUUCGAGGAUGGCCUCCGAUUUGAGAUUCGCACCACCGUGACUACAUCACGAUAUACUGAGUUUGGAGAGGUGGUUAAGGCAGCCAGGAGAGUAGAGCACAGUAUUUCAGAAGGACGUAGAUUUCAUGCACUGAAGCAGAAGCGUAGCCAGAGCUGGGCAGUGGGUGACUCUAGUAGUAGGCCGCCCAAGAGAGGGGGUAUUCCUACGAGUUAUUCUGAUAGUACGUAAAGGAGUCAGAGUACAGGCUUCAGGGGAGACGCGAGACAGGCUGUCAGUCAAAGCUCUGUGCAACCAUCAGUGGGGAGUAAUACCAAGAAUCAGGGACAGUACGACCGCAGUGGUAGGGGAUAUCGUGAUGAUCGUUCUAGGAGUUUCCAGCAGACUUCUUGCCCUUCAUGUGGCAGGAAUCAUCAGGGCCAAUAUCGCGUUGAAGACAGAGUUUGUUAUUUAUGUGGUCAGCCUAGACACAUCAGGAGAUUCUGCCCUACUUCAUCUCAGGGUGAUAACUCUACAGGAGGGACAGCCUCACGGUAUCAGCCUUACUCUGGCCAGACUCAGGGUCAGAAAGGAGUGCAGACAGGAGGUUCUACAUCUACCUUUAAGAGUCAGAUGACUGCUCCAGGUCAGAGAGGUCAGCCUGGUCGACCUCAUAAUCAGGCUCGAGUUUUUCCUUUGACGCAGCAGGAGACACGUGCUGCACCAGAAGUUAUUAUGGGUAUAUUAUCUAUCCUUGGCCGCGAGGCUCAUAUUCUUAUUGAUCCUGGAUCCACACACUCUUUUGUUUCUCGUACGUUUGCUAUGCACAUAGGGCGAGAGCCUGAACUGCUAGAUUGCGAUUUAGUUGUUCGUACACCUGCCGGAGAGUCAUUACUUGCUGAGAGUGUGUAUCAAGAUUGUAUGAUUGGAAUGGGUGAACAUGCAUGUGAGGCAAAUUUGAUUUCCUUAGAUAUUUAUGACUUUGAUGCUAUUUUGGGCAUGGAUUGGCUUGAAUCUCAUUAUGCUAUGGUGGAUUGUUUCAAAAAGGAGGUUGUGUUUAAAAAGCCAGGGAAAGCUGAGGUGAAAUUCUGUGGGGAGUGCAAAGUUCUACCUUCAUGUGUUAUAUCUGCUCUUAGUGCAAGAAGGUUGCUAAGAAAAGGAUGCUCAGCUUAUUUAGCUCAUGUGAUAGAUACAGAAGCUCGAGAAUUGAGAUUAGAGGAUAUUACAGUAGUUAAAGAAUUUCCAAAUGUAUUUCCAAAUGAACUUCCUGAGAUGCCACCUAACAGAGAAGUUGAGUUUUCUAUUGACUUAGUUCCUGGAACAUCUCCAAUAUCUAUGGCACCGUACAGAAUGGUUCCAGCAGAAUUGAAGGAAUUGAAGGUUCAAUUACAAGAGUUGGGGGAGAAAGGGUUUAUUAGACAUAGUGUGUCCCUGUGGGGAGCUCCAGUCUUGUUUGUUAAGAAAAAUGAUGGGACUUUUAGACUCUGCAUCGAUUACAGGCAGUUGAAUAAAGUUACGGUACGCAAUAAGUAUCCACUUCCGCGUAUUGAUGACUUGUUUGAUCACCUCCAAGCGCCAAAAGUAUUUUCUAAGAUCGAUUUGCGCUCGGGUUACCAUCAGCUUAGAAUUAAAGAUGUUGACAUUCUUAAAACAGCAUUUAAAACCCGUUAUGGGCACUAUGAGUUCUUAGUGAUGCCAUUUGGGUUGACAAAUGCCCCAGCUGCUUUUAUGGACCUGAUGAAUAGGGUAUUUCGCCCGUACUUCGAUCGGUUUGUGAUUGUAUUCAUUGAUGAUAUCUUGGUGUAUUCCCGAAGCGAGGAGGUGCAUGCAGAGCAUUUGCGGACUAUUUUACAGACUUUGAGACAUAAUCAAUUGUAUGCCAAGUUCAGUAAAUGCGAGUUCUGGUUGGACAGAGUAGUAUUUUUGGGCCAUGUGAUAUCAGCGGAAGGCAUUUAUGUUGAUCCUCAAAAGAUUGAAGCAGUUGUGAAAUGGGAACGGCCUACAAAUGUCACAGAGGUUCAAAGUUUUCUUGGAUUGGCUGGUUAUUAUCGUAGAUUUGUGGAAUGAUUCUCCAAGAUUGCUACUCCUCUGACACGGUUAACCAGAAAGAAUGCUAAGUUCCAAUGGGAUGAUAACUUUGAGAAGAAUUUUCAAGAACUUAAGACAUGUUUGACCUCAGCACCAGUUCUUACACUUCCAUCUGGUAAUGAAGGAUUUGUGGUUUACAGCGAUGCCUCUAGGCAGGGAUUGGGUUGUGUAUUGAUGCAGCAUGGGAAAGUGGUGGCUUAUGCUUCUAGAAAACUUAAGAAGCAUGAACAAAACUACCCAACACAUGACUUAGAGCUAGCAGCAGCAGUGGUGUUUACGAUGGGAAAUGACGGAGUCUUAUUCAUGGGUAAUAGACUCUGUGUACCUGAUAUUAAAGAUCUGAAAGAAGAGAUUAUGGAAGAAGCUCACUGUUCAGCAUAUGCGAUGCAUCCUGGUAGUACAAAGAUGUACCGUACCCUGAGAGAUCAUUAUUGGUGGCAGGGCAUGAAGAGAGAGAUAGCAGAAUUUGUUUCUCGAUGUUUAGUCUGUCAGCAGAUUAAGGCUGAACACCAGAGGCCUGCAGGGUGUUCUCAGCCGCUUCCUAUUCCUGAGUGGAAGUGGGAGCACAUCACCAUGGAUUUUGUAGCGGGACUUCCACGUACUUAGAAAGGACAUGAUGGUGUUUGGGUGAUUGUUGAUCGACUUACAAAAUCUGCUCAUUUCUUACCUUUCAAGACCACCUACUCGAUGGACAAGUUGGGGAGUAUUUAUGUGGCUGAAAUAGUUCGAUUUCAUGGAGUACCUGUGUCCAUAGUCUCAGAUAGAGAUUCCCGAUUUACUUCUAAGUUCUGGACUAGCUUGCAAAAUGCCUUAGGCACCAAGUUGAACUUCAGUACAGCUUUUCAUCCACAGACUGAUAGACAGUCAGAGCGUACUAUUCAAACUCUGGAGGAUAUGUUGCGAGCUUGUGUUAUGGAGUUUAAAGGUAAUUGGGAUAAUUAUUUACCUCUGAUGGAGUUUGCUUACAACAACAGUUAUCAAGCUAGUAUCGAGAUGGCACCAUAUGAGGCUUUGUAUGGUAGAAAAUGCAGGACUCCAGUAUAUUAGGAUGAAGUUGGUGAGCGGAGGUUAUUCGGUCCAGAACUAGUCCAGGAUACGAACGAGAAUAUACAAUUGAUUCGGGGUAGAUUAAAGGUGGCCCAAGAUAGAUAGAAGAGCUAUGCAGACAAGCGUAGGCAGGAACUUGAAUUCGAAGUUGGUGAUAGAGUUUUUAUACGGAUAUCUCCUUGGAAAGGGGUGCUUCGAUUUGGGAAACAUGAGAAGUUAAGUCCACAUUACAUUGGGCCAUAUGAGAUCAUUAAGCGCAUCGGUCCGUUAGCUUAUCGAUUAACUCUACCACCCGAGUUAUCCAGAAUCCAUGAUGUGUUUCAUGUCUCAAUGCUCCGGAAGUACAUAUAUGACCCGAGUCAUGUGUUAUCGAAGCAACCAAUUCAGUUAAAGGAAGAUUUGACUUACGAAGAGGAACCAGUGGAGAUACUGGAAGAGAAACACCAAGUUCUGCGUUCUAAGACCAUUCCUCUAGUAAAAGUGCGGUGGAGGAAUCAUACAAAGGAAGAGGCUACCUGGGAACGCGAGGACUUCAUGCGAGCUCAGUAUCCUUGUCUUUUCUUAUCAGGUACGUAAAUUUCGAGGACGAAAUUUUUAUAAGGGGGGAGGAUUGUAACAUAUGUGAAUUUCAAAAUAAAAUGAGGCGGUUAAGAAUUUUGGCGGUUCAGGAUUUAUUAAACAAAAGAAGAAGCUGGAAAAAACAGAGCAAAAAACCAGAAGCUACACGUGUGUGAGAGAGUGAGAGAGAGAAGCCGCAACCCGACCCGAAAACCCGACCCGGAACCCGCGACCUUGACCCGACCAUAUCUCUCAUUUCCAGCCACCGUUUCGGCCGAGCUUGGUACCAAUCUGAAGCUUAGAAGCCGACCGUCAUUCCCCUGCCAUCCUCGGCGCCGAAAACCAACCGGAACGCCGGUGAUCGAAGCUUUAAACCCGCGACUGUUUCACUUUACUCCGCCGGGAUUUUCGCCGAUUUUGGGUGACACCACCUGUUGGAUCUUGUUCCCUACGGCUCCCUCUUCCAUUUCCGAUCAUCCAUAGGCACUGAGAGUCACUGUUUUGCCGCCAGUCGAAUGUUGGAAUUCACGGCUGCCGAGCUCGAUUCCGGCGCCGUUGCCGCGCGUUGGAGCUCACCGACGGUACCAUUGAACUCAGCGUGAUUGGAACUUUCAGAUUUGAGCUUCCUAGCCAGCAUUGACCAAAUUCCAGUGACCGUUGAUCGGCAAGGGCAUUUUGGUAAUUUCACACUAUGAGGACAAUUUUGUAAUUUCUGAGCCUGUGGAUAUUUUAGUAAUUCAUAGAAUUGAGGAUUGGGUGUAAUUACGAUUCCGAGGGUAAUUCAGUGAUUUACGAUUUCGGAGCAUGUUAAUGAUUUACGGGCUCAAGGGCAUUUUAGUAAUUUUAUGGACACGGGAGUUGUCAAUUAUGGAUAGAUGUUCGUUUCGAGUUUAUUGCAUAAAUUGAGUCGUAAUUCCGAUUUACGGAAAAUAAUUAUGUCGUUUCCUUGAUUUAGGAGGAUCUACGAGCGAGAACCGGUCCACAGACGUGGAUGAUAACCGACCGUGAACACUUUCACUGUGAGUGGAAUAUACAAAACCUAUUUUCAUAGUUAAUUAUGAUAGUAAUGCAUGUUUGUGAAAUAAGUAUUUUGAAUGUUCUGAUUUAAUGAUUUCCUCGAAAUGGAUUUUUAUUUACGCAUUGGUAUUUUAUUAAAAUGUUUGGUUCUUGAUUUGCGUAUCGACUUUGAAUAAAGCAUGAUAAUAUUUUAAAGAUAAGAAAAGUGGAUUCAAAUGUGGUAUGAUUGCAAGUAUGAUUAAAAGGUAUGUGAAUAUGAGUAUAAUGAUUGUUUUUAAAAUCAUUAGACAAUACCCUUCCCCUCCAGAUACAGUGAUACAGGUGAUAUGAGAUGAGAGGCCUUUGGGGCCCGUCUGAACACACAUAGAGGCUUUGGGCCGUGUGUUUGGGCGCUUUUGCCUUUUGGGGGCAUAUGCAUGCGGUAUGAUGAUUACAGAGAUACAGAUAUGAGAUACAAACAGAUAUUGAGAUACAAAUGAUACAGAUGAGUUACAGGCCUUUGGGGCCCGUCUGAGUACACAUAGAGGCUUUGGGCCGUGUGCUUGGGCGUUUUAUUAUGCAUGCACAGAUAUGAUGAGAUAUGAGAUGGUAUUUCCCUGUCUAUCCGUGUAGCUCCGGGGCAUGACGUUACCCAGAUAAUACGUCAUUGCCCGUCCGUUGAGGUCCGGAUAUGACGAGAUUAUUUCCCUGGGUACUUGUUUGGUGACGAUUUUCAGAUUUGUGAAUUCUAUAUGAUAUUGUGAUAUGAUUUCCAUGGUUAGUAAUCUGAUUUAAAUGUUUAAUGAUUUAUUAUUGAUUUCUCGCUUAUGGUUUAAUGAAAUCGUGUUUGGAAAUGAGAUGAUUAUUUCUUUUAAAGUAAAAAUUAAUUUUCAAAACUAUUAUCAACUCACUGAUCUCACUGAGUUUUAAACUUACCCCGUUUUUAUUAUAUUUCCCCCCCCUCACCAGGAGGUUGGAGGUACACCAGACCAACCCAGCGACUGUAAAUAUAUUUUGAGUCUUGGCCACGUGAUGGUGUUAGAAGAUAUAGAUGUUUUUGUUAGGACAUCUCAGUCAUCUUGUUCUUUUGGGAUUGUAUAAUUUUGUUAUAUUCUUCUUUUGGGAUUAAGAAUAAACUGAGAUAUUAAUAUUAGUUAUAAUAUUAUCUUUUGAGACUCUGGAGAUAUAAAACUCAGCAUCUUGGUUGAGGAUGUUGAGCACUGGAGUUUGUUGUAUAUUGAAUUGUAUUGGAAGUGUUAUAUUCAUAUUUGUAGAUUGGGA